UGGGACUUGUAACCGUCACUUCCAUCUUGAGUGGUUAAAAGAUAGAACAGUCUAGUCAAGUGCCAUGUCUCUUAUUCUUGAUCAGCUAUAGCUCUGGGGUUUUUGCAGAUUUUCAAAUAAAACUCAGAAUUCCUUGUAUGAUUCUCUCAGAUCUCUCUUUUGUGGUAUUUCUGGAUCCUUACCAAGGCAGUGAUGGUAUAUGCCUUCUCUCAAGAUAUGUAGUAUUUAUGGUAUAAAGCAUAGUGACAUUGCCUUCUCUCUCACCCUACUCUAAUAAGGCUUUAAUAUCUGGAGCUCAUAGGUGGGAGAUAAAAUAUACAUACUCACAAGACAUUUAUUGCAUAGUCAAACCAUAGAUCCAAAGAAACAAAUCAAUAAGUCAAAUCAAGAUGUGCAUGUGUGGCGAAUGAAUGGUGUAUGGUGAUGAUGGUGAUAACAAUGGUGAAAGUCUAAUUCUACUUUGCUCUUUGAGGGGAUACAUACCUUCCUUGCUUUUUAAAACUUUAUGACGAGAAUGAGAUGCUCUACAUUUUUUCUUUUCUCUCAGGUCGGUAUCUUGUACCCCUAAUUCUACUGUCGGACACUUGUCCAUUUUUACCUCUCGUCUCUCUUUUUCUUUUCUUUCGAGGUUCCGAGCACUUGCUCCUUUUUAUUUCCUCGUAUAUUUUUUUUAGAGCACUCAUCUCUUGAGAUAAUAUAGCAAGUGGUAGUAAAAAGAUAACUUGAGCAUUUAUUUCACAAGGGAAAACAGAAAUAUUUUUGGUUAUUCUCUCCUGGAUUAGGAGUAGAAUAUUUUUAGGUGAUUCUGGAGAUGGAAAUGGAUGGAUAUAUGUGGAUGGUACUUCCGGAGUAGAAGUAGCAUAUAUGAGUGAACGUGCAAGUGAAAUCUUGAUUUAACCACAUGACAAGCUCCUAAAGGUCUACACAGCUUGACCACACUCAAUGCUCAUAAGCAGUAAAUAGUAAAUGUGUGGCUCAAAGUCUAGAAAGCAUGUAUAUAUGGCUGUGGUAGGAAUUUAAACUCUCAUCAUACAGGAACUCAUCAUGCAACAUUUUAAAGAUUUUCAAAGAUAAAAUUCUCCAGAAUUCUAGCAUCUCUAGGAACAGAUAAACAGUAGCUCAACCUUUCCAUAUCGUAUCCGUUAACAACUUAAACUUCAGAUCAAGUUUUGAUCCCACAAGUUUAGGUCUAGAGCAAGCUUUAAAUUAUAACAGUUAUGUCUAAACUUGAGAGAGAACUUAAAAUGUGCAAAUUAGGCAGAGCAACUAUUCAUCAUAUCCAUGCUUGAGUUUUAUUAUUAAGAUACAGAUUAGCAUAGCCACUUUAUUUAUUUAUUAAACACACUAAGCAAAAGAUAUACAUAUAAGCAUAAAAUCUUUAUUUGAUUUUUCAUAGUUUAUGUAUUUUAAUAUUCUAAUAUAAUAUAAGUAUAAAGAUAGAUAGAAUACUUAUCGAGAUAAAUGGGGGUGCUCUCCCCAAGCAGAAUUUUGACGUAAUUUCUCUUGAUGUAGCUAGCAGGUGGCAGAGGUGUAUUUGAAAGUCAGCAGCAUUCUGACAGCGAUUAGAAUGUCCUCCGUCUGCCAGUCUUCUUCGUUCUUAAAUUCUGUGGAGCUCAAAUUGACAACAAAGCUUGUGGAACUUGAUUAAGUGUUAGCAUAAAUAUCUAGCCUUUAUUAUGUUGCGACUCCUUAAUAAUUAUUACUCCAUGUUUUUAUAUUUUUAUUUUAUAAAGCAGAAAAGAAAUUUUUAUUUUAUUUUUAUACCACCACAGUGAAUGUACUUAUGGGUUUUAUGCCACUCGCAUACUCACAUGGGGCUUACUGUUUUUCACAUUUUUAUUUUAUUUUUAGGAUAGUAUGAAUUUAAUUAGCUAAGUAAUCUAUUUGAAAUAAUUAAAAGGGAAAGGAUAACUACCAAGUUUACCUCUUGGCAAGGCGUUCGGUGUUUUUAAGUCCUCCGAACGGGACUCCGUUUUCUCAAUUGUCCUGAGGUUCGUUGGGUGGCGUAGUCGGUACUUCCGGGAGCGCCUCCUCUUCAUGUAUAGUUAUCUUCAUUUUCCAUACCUGACUCGGUGCUUCAGUCUCCUCUGGAUAAUUCUGUUUAAACUCUACGUCUUCUGACCUUACAACUUCUCCUUCAUAGUCUGCCCAUCCGUCCUUGAUCAUUUGCCUCCUCUGGUUGCGGUUGCGUCGUUUCCUUACCUGCUUAGAUUCUUCAACGAUAUAGUUAGGGUCAGUAAAGUAACGGCGUACCUUCUCUGAGGGGAAGUGCAUAUGGACUUCUCCGGUUCCAAUGUAGAUAAUUGCUUUAACGGUGCUGAGGAACGGUCUUUCGAGGAUGAUGGGUGGAUCGUACUCGUCUUCUCCCAUGUCAAUAACUUGAAAGUCUGUGUAGACAAAGUGAUCGUCUAUUUUGACUGGGACAUCAGUUACUAUUCCUUUAACUUCUCGAAAUGUCUGAUCUGCCAUCUGGAGCUGAAUGUAUGUUGGUCUUAGGGGCAUGGUCCCGAACAAGAGCUGAUAGGUGACUGCGGCUAUUAUGUUGACGCCCGAUCCGGUGUCACAAGUUGCCUUGUAGAAGUUGUAUCCAUUUAUGGAGCAGUAGAUGCUUGGCAUUCCUGGGUCGUCCUUCUUGGUCAAAAGCGGUGACUUAAGUUGGUGAUCUUGGCCUCCAUGAACUACAGUGACCAUCUUAGCUGACUCGGUCCACACUUGUUUGUUCUUGUUCCUCCUGUUGGUCCUCUUCCUUGAUUCACGUCUGGAUUGAUUUGGAAUUUGUGUAAUCUUGUUCUUGAAGAAAAAUGUCUCCUUCCUCCCUUUGACGUAGAAACUGAUCUUAGCAGCACUAGCGUAGAUGAUAGCUCCCGUGGUAUUCAAGAAUGGCCUCCCUAAGAUGAUAGGUGCUCUCUCAUCAUUUCCAGUCUCUACUACUAUGAAGUCUGCUAGAGCAUAUAAGGUACCAACUCGGACACAAAGGUUCUUCAAUAUUCCUUUUGGAAAAGUUAUCGUCUGAUCUGCAAACUGCAAACACAUGGUUGUUUCUAAUAAAGGAUAUGUAAAGAUUUUUUCAUAGAGUACCCUGGGUAUAAUGUUGACGCUAGAGCCAAAAUCACAGAGUGCUUCUGGGACAUCCACCAUGCCGAUGGAGAUCGGGAUGACGGGGCAUCCUGGAUCGCCUCUCUUGACCGGCAGAAGGUCAGUAGAGAAUUCAGUGACGGGGUUACUCCAAUUAUUACCUGCAUUAAACAUGUCUACAAGAUUUGCAGAUUCUAAUCCUUCCGGUUGUGAUGGUAUACCGGGGUUAGUAGUAGGAACAGCAGCAGCUAUUUGAUUUAACUGAGAUUCAAUCAUUUUAUUAAAGCUAAUUUGAUUCUUGGUGGCAGUAGAGAAAUUAUCCAUUCUAUUAUUUAUAUUUUCUAGCAUUUUAUCAUUAGAUGCCAAUUUCUUAGAUAGAUUAUCCAUUAGCUUUCCUUAAUUAGACACUAACUCUCUCAAAGGUGGAAAAUUAUUAUUAUUGUUGUAAGAAUUAUUACCUUGAUAAUUACCUGAGUAGUUAGGCCUCUGUUCAUUCCACCCUUGAUUUUGUUGAGGACGGUUGUAGUAGUAGUUGUUGUUGUUGUUGAUGUAGUUCACAUCCUCAAGCAUCUCAAGGCAGUGGUUGCCUGAGUGUCCAGAGUCUCCACACUCCUCGCAAGUCAUGUGAGAGUCGUAGAUGUGCAUAACUUCCUUCUUAUCUCCAGCUCUAUCGUCGAGCUUCUUCAUGAGGAGGUCUAGCUUUGCAGACAGCAUGUCUACCUCCUUCAGCUGAUGCAUACCUCCAUCUCUCUUGCGUGUCUGGGUCCUCUCUUCAUUCCAGCCUUGAUUGGACGCCAUCUUCUCCACAAGAGCUGUGGCUUGUGGUAUAGUAAGUGAUAAGAAUGCUCCUCCAGCUGCAGCAUCCAUGGUUUCUCGGGCACUGUUGCCGAGCCCGUGAUAAAAUGUCUGCAUCAAUAGCCAACUUUCCAUUCCAUGAUGGGGACAUUCUAGGAUGUAGUCUUGAAAGCGCUCCCAUGCUUCUGGAACAGAUUCAUCAUUUUGUUGCUGAAAACUUGUAAUCUUCCCACGGAGAGCAUUGGUCUUGCCCAUGGGAAAGAACUUUGCCCGGAAGUUUGUUGAGCAGAGUGCCCACAUAGUAUUCUUCUCCUUUGUAGCGUAGAACCACUGCUUCGCUCUUCCUAACAGUGAGAAUGGGAAGAGGCGAAGUAGUAUAGCAUCUUUGGAAACUCCUGAUAUGGUGAAUGUGUUGCAAAUCUCCAGGAAGUGUUGUAAAUGAGCACUAGCAUCUUCGUGUGCCUUCCCACAGAACUGGUUGGAUUGCACCAUGUUGAUAAGUCCAGGCUUGAGCUCAAAGUUGCCAUCGAUCUCUGCAGCAGGCCCAGUGCGGAUGUUGUCCGUAGUGGGAGCUGAGAACUCGCGGAUUGAUUUGUUCGCCAUGGCUUCGAACUCUGAAGACAUGUUCCGGUGAUCUUCUUGAUUGGAUGAAGCUUCUUGCUGAAGUGUUGAUGAUCUCUUCUUGAGCUUGGCUCUCGUCUUCUUGAAUAAUGCUUCGGGAUUGUCAACAAAAUUUCCUGGAAGAUGUCUUCUAUUCAUACAUUCCCCUGCAUAAGAUAAAAAUAGAAAAUAUCGGGGUAAAUCUAUAUGAGAGAAUAGAUAAGCUCAAUCAUAUUAGUGAUGCGAAUGAUAACUCAAAAUCUUUUAUUCCAUUCCUGAUUAGUAAUCAACCUUCCCCGGCAACGGUGCCAAAAAAUGCUUGUUGGGUAUUCUUAACAUCAUUACCAAAAGUAGACUAAGUUCUCUAAAUCUAGCAACGGCGCCAAAAAUGCUUGUUGGGUAUUCUUAACAUCAUUACCAAAAGUAGACUAAGUUCUCUAAAUCUAGUAAUGGUGCCAAAAACGCCAAACCUAUCCCUCACACCACUUAAGCCAAGUUGUCAUCCCCAGCAUGAUAUAAGAGACGCGGUAUUGAAAUAUGCAAUUGCUCUUCUAAAUAAAUAAUGAAUGGGAUCUGCAAGCGCACAGGUUAAUACCGAUGCAGCAUUUUAACUGGGAAGUAUUCUAGGUAUCGUUAUUUAUAUUUUUACCACUGGGAAGGGAUUAACAAUCAUCACUAUUGAUUACAGAAUAGAAUAUGAGAUUGAGCAUCUAUCAUUGCAUGUAUAAUUGAGAACAUUAUAUCUAACUCUUCAUACAGGGAUAAAUGUCACAUAAAAGAUAUAUGAGAUAAUAAUAGUGACAAAGAUAAUUAAUCUGAUCUAGCCACAUAAUAAAUAUGAUAAGCACCUCAAUUAGAUACUCUAGAAAGUCAUUAGCAUGUUAUUAGAACGAACUACAAGAAUAUUCCCUAAGUUAUUCUCAACAUAUAGUCUAGCAUUAUCAUAAUUAGUGCAAGCAUACUUAGCAAUCAUUGCAAGACAAGACUACGCCCAUGCAUAGUGAUAUUAGCAAGGAAUAUGAGAAACAUAGCAAUCACUCCCCUAUAAUAAUGUUGCUCUGCCAGCCCAAUACACGAGAGGGGGACUAUAUAAGAAUCAAUGAAGCUGUCACUAUCACGAACCACCCCACGAUCUGGCAUAUUGGGUACAAUCGCAGAUAAAUACGGUAUAAGCACCACGCCUACAAAAUAUCUAUCAUUUACCCAUGGAUUCGAUGGAUAAACGCUAUACGAUCCUAAGCAUGUAUAUAGAUCCAAUCUAACUAAGCUAAGUACAUAACUAUGAUAAACUAAGAACAAUAUAAUCUUGAAUAUAAGCAAAUAGAGCAAAGUCAUAAGCAAUAUAUUGAAGUAGAACAAAGUCAUAUUCAUAAUAUUGAAGAACAAAGAUAAUUAGAAAGUAAUUAGAAGCACAAUUAGAGAAUUACCAAGAAUCCUCCUGACAGAUCCGGAAACCAAUCGAAGAUUGACUCCUUCUAGUUCUAAUCCUAUGUAGCUAUGCUAAUCUAGAUAUCUAAUUGAUGUGGUGGCUCUAAUCUUGAUCAGGGGCUUCUUCUCCCUUGAGGAACAAUGAAUUAGGGUUGAGAGGCUCUCUCCUCCAGGAGCCAGGGUGUCUGGUUUUAUAGUCCCUUCAAGUGAAUAUGGGCCGUUGGAUCAAACCGACAUAGAUUGUAUGGUUUAGAUUCAUCCUUUAGGUCGGUGGAGAUCUCGCACGAAGCAGAGUCCUGAUUGGACUCAGGGAGGGGGCGGGCGCCCAGGAGAAUAGGGCGAGCGCCCUGCCUCUGGCCCCGUUUCGCCUCCGCUUCGGUCUCGUGGCUUCUGGAGUCUUCUAGAUGUAAGAUAAUUGCGCGGCACGUUAAUAUCUUUAUGUAAUCCCGACGUGUGGGCCUUUCUUCCGUAUUUCCUGAUAACCCCCUGCAGAAAUAGACAAACACCAAAACUCGUGGAAUUCUGUUAGAUAAAACCCUAAGUCUAGAUGUUGAUUUCAUUUGGAUCAUUUUCUUUGUUUAUUUGAUAAUUAAAUUUGAUACUUAAGGACCGUCAACAGUGAUGCACCCCGGCUGUCCAACAUUUUUGCUGAGGGAAGUUCUGAGGCUGAUCUUGAUGCUGCUGAAAUGUACAAGCCAGGAGCUCAUCCAGAUUUCAAGACCACUCAGUUGAAGCCGUUCUUCUAUGUGCUGAAUAACUUGAUAUGCUACACCAUUGAUCCCAAGUUUGGAGAUUCUAUUCACCUCCGCCUUGAUGCUCCCAAGAUCUUGGCUCGCUUUGGUGCUAAUGGUGGCCGAUUUGGUGUCUCGGACUUCAUGUGGAACAAGAUUGUGGAUGCGUCUGUUGAUCCACACAAGUAUUUACCCUAUGCUCCCUAUCUGAUGCAUAUCAUUGAGCAAGUUGCUGGAGUGCAGUUCUCGCACCCUUGUGUUCAUGCUCCGGUUCGUGCCAAGCACUUGGGUGCUCCUCAUGCUCCACCUCUCAGUCCUACUGGUGCUGCUACUCCCGCUGGUGAUGUUCCUGCUGCUGGUGCUGGUGAUGCUCAAGAGGAAGCUGUCCCUCCCUAUGACAGCGGUCGUGGACGCCGCAGCCCUACCCGUCAUGCGCUGCAGCGGUUCUUCUCCUAUUUUUGCUAUUGUCAGAAGAAGACCGAUCAGCGUCUCCAUUGUCUUGAAGAGAAGUCCGCUCUUCCUCCGUCCUCUCCUCUUCGUGAGUUCCAGGACCCCUAUGAUGAAUAUGACAACAUGCACAGGACUUCUGUUGAUGAGGAUGAGGAGCAGCAGGAUCCUCCACCACCCUCUGCUUUUGAUCCAUCUUAUGGUGGUGGGAUCCCUGCUGGUUUCUCCAUGGAGGACACCGAGGUAGGCUUUGCUUAUCAGGACAUCUUUGGACCCACGGAUGAUGUCACUAGGGCCUCUGCCUCUGCUGCACCUCCUCACGAGCAGUCUACCUCCGCUGAUCCUCAUGGUAAGGGGCCGCUGCGUACCUUGAUUGACUACGACGACGACGACGACCUCGAUGAUGAUGAUGAGGAGUAGUCUUUCUAGCUCUUUCUCGCAGCCUACCCUUUUUGGCACUUGCUGCCAAAGGGGGAGUGUUGGGCUUAUCUUUGAUGUAAUAAGUUAGUUGUUGGUGCCCUUCUUAAACUUUUCUAAGUGGUGAACUAUGUGUGGUGAACAAGAACUACUUUUGUGUGGAGGUUGAUUGUAAGCUAAACACUUUUAUUUCUUUAUUAUAUCUUGCUUGUGUUAGCUUAUUUGGACCUUUGUUGAUGCAAUGUUGUUUUUGAAUGGUUAUUGUGAGUCCUUCAGUUCUUGCAUAAUCAUUCAAAUUCUUCUUUUACUCUUUGUGAUAUAUCCUGUCAUACGCAUCACGGUUUGUUUCUUGUCACACACACACACACUCUUUUAGGCACCCCACGGAUUGCAACAUUUAGGGGGAGCUUGAUCUUAAUGUAUGUCAUCUUGAUAUUAAUCAAGAUUUGAAAUUCCAAAUCCCAUGCAUACAUUAAGGGGGAGCCAAACCUGAUUUUUGGAAUUCAAAAGCUCUACUUCUUUCAAUCCUUUAUAAGCCUAAGUUGGUUGUCAUCAAUUACCGAAAAGGGGGAGUCUGUAAGUGCAUUCGCCCCCGGUGUGGGUUUUGAUAAUUAAUGACAAUCAAAUUAGGAACUAACAUGUCUAUCAAGUGUAAUCUAUAGGUGUUAGUUCAUUGAUGGAAUCAAACAAACACAUUUGGUGAAUCACAACACCCCCAAAUUUUUCAUCUUUUGAGCGAUGUUUCAUCUCAAGAAGCUACCUAGUUUUAUUUCUUGUUUGAGUUAUAGGAAAUGCCACACUAUCAAGAGGGAUGCAAAUUGAGUUGGUAAGAUGAGGAUAAAGGUGCUCAUGUCAACUUAGCUUUUGCGCUUAAGAGACACACUUGCAUGCACGAACACCUACGAAGUUUCUUCUCUCCCAGGGUGAGCCGGUAGUACCGGCCCUCAGGGCCGGUGGUACCAGCAGUGCCAAUUCUUCUCCAGAGUUUUGCGAGAAAAUGAACUACCAUUAGUACCGGGCUUUGACCGGUGGUACCGGCUACCGCCGGUGGUACCGGUGAAACGCUGGUAGUACCGGAAGGCCAAAUUCUCGCAGAACUGCUGAAUGCGGGAAUUUGUACUGCCGGUGGUACCGGCCUUCCACCGGUGGUACUGGUAGGCCUUUUUCUCGCAUCUUCCACAGCCUUCUCGCGUUUAGAUCUGAGGACACCGGUGGUACCGGUGGUUGCACCGGAAGUACCAGCAGGUGUUCUGUACUCUAGUAUAAAUAGCUCUCUCCUCUUUUCUAACCGUUGGCUUGCUCAUUCUAGCUACUCCACAUCUGAGAAAGUAGUCUCCAAGCUUUGUCUCACCCACUCUCUCUCCCUCUUGCUCCUAUACUUCAUUUCUUGAGAGAUUCGAGCUAGAGAAGUGAGAUUAGAGAGUUGGGAGCUUCGAUAUGUGACUUGAGCACUUGGUUCCUCGUCUUGCCGGUUUGGUUUGUAUUUGUUACUCUUAGCUUCGAUCUGUGACUCUCCCUCUUGCUCCUAUACUUCAUUGUGGUUGCCCGUGUUGAUUCACUUGUGAGGGCACCCUGAAGUGUUUGUAUUACCCCUUUAUUCUUAGUGGAAUCAUCAAGCUAACCUUUGUGGUUGCUUGAGGAGGAGACCUAAGUGGUCAGACCUUUGUGGUCACCUCAACAAUGGGGACGUAGGAACUCCUUAGUGGAGAUUGCUGAACCUCGGGAAAAAUAUCUUGUCUUGCUAUGGCGGUAGCUUCGACUACACUUUGUCUUGUGUUCCUUCUCCUCCCACUCUUUGAUAGGUAAACAAGGGUCGAUCUAUGUUGUGGAGAAGAACCAAGCUAAGGAAUCUUCAACAACAUCCUCUCCUACAUCUAGGAAAGUGGGGUAACACUCAGAUCUGAAAUCUAAGCUCUUUACACUCUGAUUUCGUAGCUGUUUUAAGGAGUCGGUUGUUGACACUUGCUAACACCACUUGAAUAAUAGGUUGUCAUCCCCAGCAUGGCACUAGAGUGUACUAUGGUAUUUAUACGCACACAGAUAAUCCGCAGGCGCACGGAUACCGUUGAAGCUUUUACCUGGUUAAUGGUUUUAUCGUAUCCACAGGGAAACGGGAGAACUAACUACACUCUAACUUAACCAAGAUAGAUAGAUAGGUGUAAAUAGGAAAGAUGAUAGAAUUAAAUAAGAACAAUAUUAAAGGUAAGAUAACAGUGAGUGAUAAUAUGGGAAUAGAGAAUAGAGCAAUUCUAGUAUAUGGGCGAUGGUAGCAGAAUAGAGAGGAUAACUAUGGUUUUUCUACUUCAAAGGGGUAUGUCUAUGUCUGGGACGAACCACGUGAUAAGAUUACACCACAAAGGAUGCUUAUCCAUAGGCCGAUAAACCCUACCCGUCCUGCUAAUGAGAGGUGGACUACAGAGGACCAACGUAACUGUCACCUACGCGGCCUACCACACGAUCCAGCUAGACAGGGGAUAUGCACAAGUAAUCUAGGUCUAAGCACCACGCUUACACCUAUACUACAACUCUAACCUAUAGCGUCCUAUAGAUUAGAAGUACUCAAAAGAGUUGUGAACCAAAACAUACAUGAUUAGUAAUUGCAUAAUGAAUUAGAAGUAGAUUACCAGAGUCAUCCCAUGAGCAAGCUUGAUUAGAGCUUGAUCAUGACGAAGUACAACCGGAGGAAGAACCGACAGGCCGACCUCUCCUCUAAUCCUCCUUCGCUCUCCAUCUCGCUACUAUCUAGAUCUACUCUAGUUUAGAGAAGAGAUGAGAGCUCUCAUCUCUAAACCCUAGCUUUUGCUCUGUCUAUGAAUAAUGAAUAAUGAUCAAGGGGUGCCUCCUCCAGGGGCCAGGGGGUCUGGUUUUAUAGUCCCCUCAAGUGAAUAUGGGCCGUUGGAUCAAACCGACAUAGAUUGAACGGUUAUCCUUGAUCCUUUAGGUCGUGGAGAUCUCCCGAGAAACAGAGUCCUGUUUGGACUCCAACAGAGGGCGGGCGCGCAGGGAAACAGGGCGGGCGCCCUGCCUCUGGCCCCUCUUGGCCUCCGCUUCCUUCCUGUGGCUUCUGGAGUCUUCUAGAUGUAAGAUAAUUGCGCGGCACGUUAAUAUCUCUAUGUAAUCCCGACGUGUGGGCCUUUCUUUCGUAUUUCCUGAUAACCCCCUGCAGAAAUAGACAAACACCAAAACUCGUGGAAUUCUGUCAGAUAAAACCCUAAGUCUAGAUGUUGAUUUCAUUUGGAUCCUUUUCUUUGUUUAUUUAAUAAUUAAAUUUGAUACUUAAGGACCAUCAACAAACUCCCCCAAGCUUACCUCUUGCUCAUCCCUGAGCAAGGUUAGACUCAGCAAUGUAUCAGAAGUUGUUGCAAUAUCUUAAAAAUUUGAUGGUACACAUGCUUUUAAAUAAGAUCUCAUCUCUGAGUUAGAGUAAACUGUCAAGAACUAAAACUUACUUACUUUACCUUUCACCAUGGGACUUGUAACCGUCACUUCUGUCUUGAGCAGUUAAAAGAUAGAACAGUCUAGCCAAGUGCCAUGUCUCUUAUUCUUGAUCAACUAUAGCUCUGGAGUUUUUGCAGAUUUUCAAAUAAAACUCAGAGAUUCCUUGUAUGACUCUCUAAAUCUCUCUUUUGUGGUAUUUUUGGAUCCUUACUAAGGCAGUGAUGGUAUAUGCCUUCUCUCAAGAUAUGUGGUAUUUGCGGUAUAAGGCAUAGUGACAUUGCCUUCUCUCUCAUCCUACUCUAAUAAGGCUUUAAUAUCUGGAGCUCAUAGGUGGGAGAUAAAGUAUACAUACUUACAAGACAUUUAUUGUAUAGUCAAACCAUGGAUCCAAAGAAACAAAUCAAUAAGCCAAAUCAAGAUGUGCAUGUGUGGCAAAUGAAUGGUGUAUGGUGAUGAUGGUGAUAACAAUGGUGAAAGUCUAAUUCUACUUUUGCUCUUUUGAGGGGAUACAUACCUUCCUUGCUUUUUGAAACUUUAUUGAGGAGAAUGAGAUGCUCUUCUUUUUCUUUCCUCUCAGGUGGGUAUCUUGUACCCCUAAUUCUACUGUCGGACACUUGUCCAUUUUUACCUCUCGUCUCACUUUUUCUUUCUUUCGAGGUUCCGGGCACUUGCCCCUUUUUAUUUCCUCGUUUAUUAUUUUUUUCUUCUCUUUUCUUUUUUUUCAGAGCACUCAUCUCUUGAGAUAAUAUAGCAAGUGGUAGUAGCAAGAUAACUUGAGCAUUUAUUUUACAAGGGAAAACAGAAAUAUUUUUGGCUAUUCUCUCACGGAUUAGGAGUAGAAUAUUUUUGGGUGGUUCUGGAGAUGGACAUGGAUGGAUAUAUGUGGAUGGUACUUCCAGAGUAGAAGUAGCAUAUAUGAGUGAACGUGCAAGUGAAUCUUGAUUUAACCACAUGACAAGCUCCUAAGAGUCUACACAGCUUGACCACACUCAAUGCUCAUAAGCAGUAAAUAGUAAAUGUGUGGCUCAAAGUCUAGCAAGCAUGUAUAUAUGGCUGUGGUAGGAAUUUAAACUCUCAUCAUACAGGAACUCAUCAUGCAACAUUUUAAAGAUUUUUCAAAGAUAAAAUUCUCUAGAAUUCUAGCAUCUUUAGGAACAGAUAAACAGCAGCUCAACCUUCCCAUAUCAUAUCCGUUAACAACUUAGAUUUCAGAUCAAGUUUUCAUCUCACAAGUUUAGAUCUAGAGCAAGCUUUAAAUUAUAACAGUUAUGUCUAAACUUGAGAGAGAACUUCAAAUUUGCAAAUUAGGCAGAGCAACUAUUCAUCAUAUCCAUGCUAGAGUUUUAUUAUUAAGAUUCAGAUUAGCAUAACCACUUUAUUUAUUUAUUAAACACACUAAGCAAAAGAUAUAUAUAUAAGCACAAAAUCUUUAUUUGGUUUUUCAUAGUUUAUGUAUUUUAGUAUUCUAACAUAAUAUAAGUAUAAAGAUAGGUAGAAAUACUUAGCGAGAUAAAUGGGGGUGCUCUCCCCCAAGCUGAAUUUUGACGUAAUUUCUCUUGAUGUAGCUAGCAGGUGGCAGAGGUGUAUUUGAAAGUCAGCAGCAUUCUGACAGCGAUUAGAAUGUCCUCCGUCUGCUAGUCUUCUUGAUUCUUAAAUUCUGGGGAUCUCAAAUAGACAACAAAGCUUGUGGAACUAAUUAAGUGUUAGCAUAAAUAUCUAGCCUUCAUCAUGUUGAGCUUCCUCAAUAAAUAUUACUCCCUGUUUUUAUAUUUUUAUUUUAUAAAGCAGAAAAGAAAUAUUUAUUUUAUUUUUAUGCCACCACAGUGAAGGUACUUAUGGGUUUUAUGCCACUCGUAUACUCACAUGGGGCUUAGUAUUUUUUAACAUUUUUAUUUUCUUUUCAAGAUAGCAGGAUUAACUAAUAAUCUAUUUAAGGAAAGUAAAUAAUUAAAGGGAAAAGGAAAUGCAGAAAGGAUAAAUAUGGAUAACUAUCGAUCUUACCUUUCGGCGAGGGUUCAAUGUUUUAAGUCUUCUUAACAAAACUUCUCACCGUUUUCAUUCUUCAGGUGCGUCAUUUGAUUCAGGUGCGGACCUUGACGUCUACACCUCUUCGUUUGCCCAGCAGUUCGAAGUGCGGCGUUGGCAGUGUCCUGCUCAGUGUGUUUGUGCUUGUAGAUCUAGGUCCUUCACUUGGUAGAGUCUGAUAGUUAUAAAACUCCUCCGUGUUUUGCUCGAAGUGUACCUGCUCAUAGAGACAAGGCAGAGAUCAAGUGCAUGGGUCCUGUUGGUGGAAAACACCAAUAGAACCUAAAGUGUAUUUGUUCUUCUCUAACCCUAAGAAUAGUGAGCAAGACAAAGUUGAUGGAUGAAAAGUUCAUGAGUGUAGCACUUAUAACAUUUGUCAGAUCAGAUCACUCAACCUUAUGGAAAGAUAAUCUAUCUAUGUAUAUGUCUUUUUCUUUAUAUCUCUCAAUGAUUGAAUGUGUAACAUUUUAGCUCAUAUGAUUAGGAGUGUGGGAUCAUGGAGGUAGUACUAAGAACAAGGAUUAAAGGACUAAACAUGUUGAAUCAGUUGGGUUGGUUAAUCUAGAGUUGUAAAUCAUACAUGUUUGUGUCUUUUUUUAUAUGAACGCCAGAACCAAGGAGAAGCUUAUAAAAGUGAUAGUCAAGUACCUUAAGAUGUUACCUUGCUUGAAGAGUGAUGGUACAGUAUCACCUUGUGGAAGCUUUCCUUUCUUAGCGGUUGUGCAUCGUGUUUGUGGCACCCUCCAUGGAUCAUCUCUCUAUGAGCUAUGUCCUUCUUGUGCAAAUUGUUAAACUUUAUGUGUCACUCUCUUCUUCUCUGAUGUGAGUUUAUCUCAGGACUUCCCAAAUCGAUAUUGAAAGUUUUUCUGCAGGGGUUAGUCCGACAAAAAUAUACCAAUGUCUACACAAGCAGUUUUUAGUUCAAUAACCGAACUAGACUCCAUGUCUAAUCAGAUUAAGGAAGGUUGUUUAACCUAAGCACCAUGCUUAAUUUAAAAGCCAAUAGAAGUAUGUGCAGUACUUCCAAACUAACACUUACUAGUAAAUAGAUAAAGGUAACACGACAGCAUUUAUAGAGAUCUACUCAAGUGGAGAUGAAGUAGUGUGAUUAGUAUUUAACAAAUUGAGCAUGUCUUAAAGGUAGGGACAACUAACAUAGCAACAUGGCAAAGGAUGUUUUUAUGUAAAGUACUCCCCCAAGCUUGAAUUUUGCAGAAUUCAAGUUUGGAUGAAUUUAAUUCAGUGUUGCAUGAUGAUUGGUUGGACAUACCUUGUACUUGCUUGUCAUUCAUCUGAUCUUCUUGUUCCAAUCCUGGAAAGGUUAGUGACAAGAAUACCCGAAGGAAUAUUUUUACAAUUAUCCUUAUAUGCUCAAUACACAAGGUAAUGUUGCAAAUAAUUAAAAACUCAUGUUAUGAUCUGAUCAGUGCUUAUUUUAGGACACCAAGCUUGUCGUUGGGAAACCAUCAAUUUAUGUCGGUGAAUUUGUUUCCCUUCCAACGCUGACCUAAAUCAAGAUCAACUGAACGAGAUCUGCAAUAUUUAUUAUAGACAUAUGCAUUGACAACCGCCCUUUUAAAGUUUUUAUAAAUAGAAAGGAAGAGGGGGUUGGAGAUCUCAAAUGUGGUGAUGUUGGAGAGACCAAUAGAUUGGGAAGAUGUUGCAUAUGAGCAUGGAGUGAAUGAAGUAGCUAUGAAAUAAAUUCCAUGCUCAUUAAUGUUAUCUUCGUCUCCAAUCUGAAUAUUUGGAGUUUCUCCUGGAUUGGUCUCACCUAUAUCCUCUUCUGUAGUUGGAUGAAUCUCAUCUUCAAAGGGAGUCAAGAACUCAUCAUUUGAAAUUGAGCCAAAGUCAGAAUCCAUUAAGGCUUCUUCCUUAUCCAUCCAUUCUACACAUUCUAACCAUUUAGAACUUGUGAUCAAGAAAGGGGAGGUGUUAGAAUUUUCUAUAUGGCUUAGCUCUCCUUCACUUGAUAUGUCAUCCUCGACUUCUUCAUAAUAGGAACCAGGACAUUCUCUAAGAGAAACAUUAUUACAAGGAUUUGAAUUAUCCCUACUUGAAGGUCUCUUAUGGAACCAGAAGUCUAAACCAUCAGUAUCUGAAAUAUUUAAGGUCAGAAUUCCUUCCUCCCUUGGAGAAUUUUGGGGUAUUGAUGGUUUAGGAUCGAUAGCUAAAGUUUGGGAUUGAAGUGGUUGUGAUCUGGCUAUCGAAACAUCUUUUUCUUGUCUAGGAACUCGUUCUUUCUCUUUCUCAGGGAUAUAAAAGCUAGGAGACUUUCCACUUAAUAAAUCAAUCAAAUUCCAAGCUCACUAGCAGGUAGGUGGUGGAAAGAUCCUCCAGAGGCCGCAUGAAGGGUUUGCUUAUCUUCCCUACUAAGGCCCUCAAAAAAAUGAAUUAGAAGAACUUCUUCUGACACGAUCCAGCUAGACAGGGGAUAUCCACAAGUAAUCUAGGUCUAAGCACCACGCUUACACCUAUACUACAACUCUAACCUAUAGCGUCCUAUAGAUUAGAAGUACUCAAAAGAGUUGUGAACCAGAACAUACAUGAUUAGUAAUUGCAUAAGGAAUUAGAAGUAGAUUACCAGAGUCAUCCUAUGAUGAAGCUUGAUUAGAGCUUGAUCAUGACGAAGUACAACCGGUGGAAGAACUGACAGGCCGGCCUCUCCUCUAAUCCUCCUUCGCUCUCCAUCUCGCUACUAUCUAGAUCUACUCUAGUUUAGAGAAGAGAGGAGAGCUCUCAUCUCUAAACCCUAGCUUUUGCUCUGUCUAUGAAUAAUGAAUAAUGAUCAAGGGGUGCCUCCUCCAGGGGCCAGGGGGUCUGGUUUUAUAGUCCCCUCAAGUGAAUAUGGGCCGUUGGAUCAAACCGACAUAGAUUGAACGGUUAUUCUUGAUCCUUUAGGUCAGUGGAGAUCUCCCGAGAAACAGUGUCCUGUUUGGACUCCAACAGAGGGCGGGCGCCCUGCCUCUAGCCCCUCUCGGCCUCCGCUUCCUUCCCGUGGCUUCUGGAGUCUUCUAGAUGUAAGAUAAUUGCGCGGCACGUUAAUAUCUCUAUGUAAUCCCGACGUGUGGGUCUUUCUUCCGUAUUUCCUGAUAACCCCCUGCAGAAAUAGACAAACACCAAAACUCGUGGAAUUCUGUCAGAUAAAACCCUAAGUCUAGAUGUUGAUUUCAUUUAGAUCCUUUUCUUUGUUUAUUUGAUAAUUAAAUUUGAUACUUAAGGACCGUCAACAUCGGUGGUACCAGCAGUUUGCGUCGGUAGUACUGGUUGUCUUACACCAGUAGUACCGGUCCAAACUGUCGGUAGUACCGACAGGCAUUUGACUUCCGCAACUUGAGUUUUGAGUUUUAGGUUUUUAGAUACGCCUAUUCACCCCCCCCUCUAGGCUAAUUAGAUCCUUUCAAUCAUAUCGCAUUCAUACAUACAUUCUGUCUACUCCUUCCUUUAUGAUAUCAUUCCUUUUUAAUUAAUAAGUGUUGCUUAAAUAAUCCUCUCUCACCCACAGUUAUUUCCUUUCCACAGAUGGAUGUGCCCGCCUCACCCCUCCCCAGUGACACCUUUCUGAGCGAGUUUGGCACUCCUACUCUGCUUUGGAGGGUGCUGCAGUCAGUGGGGUAUAAUGAGCCACCUCAGUACUCCUGGUGGGAGGUGGAUAUGACAUGAGACUUGCAGUGGUUCACUGUGCAAGGAGUUGUCCCACCACAUGGGGGUAGGCCUACAUGGACAGGAUGGACCUGCAACUCAGAUGGGCAGACCCCAUGGGAAGCAGCUCAGGUUGUGUGAGGGUAUAAACCCCUAUACCCUUACGGCUAGGCUUGGGCCAGGAGGCUUGGCCCAUUACGAGACGAGUCCGAGGCUUGAUCCGACUGCUCGGAGUUUCGUGCAAGGAAACAAGACGUGGAGAUUAAGCAGGAUUCUAGUCGGUUAGAAUAGGAAUUGAUGUCGUACUAUCUAUGGCAAUUGUAACCGACUAGGAUUAGUUUCCACAUCUGUAACCCUGCCCUCUGGACUAUAUAAGGAGAGGCAAGGGACCCCCCUAGGACACAUUAUCUCAACACAAUUCAAUACAACCAGAUGCAGGACGUAGGUAUUACGCCCACACGGCAGCCGAACCUGGAUAAAAACCUUGUCCGUGUCUUGCGUCACCAUCAAGUUCGUAGCUUGCGCACCAUCUACCGAUAAACUACUACCAUGGGUAUACCCCAAGGUAGACUGCCGACUAGCUUUCGUCGACAGUGGCACGCCAGGUAGGGGGUGUGCGUACAGCUCUCCCGACGAACAAGAUGGUCAUCGUUCCGGCUUCCGCAGCCGUGGCUGAAGGCCUCACGUUCACCGUCAGCCAGAUCACGUGAACGACUUGUGGCGGCGGCCUCGCGACCACAAUUUCGAGGAAACCCAGAUUCAAUCUGGGACAACAGAGGCGUCGACUUUGAUCACGCCGAUUUCGACCACUCGACCCCCACUCCCUCGUUACGAGGCAAAGAGGGUCGACAACUCGGGUCUUCUCCAAGCCCUUGAUCGCGCUGACCUCAGGCUCCUCGAAGCCUCUAACUUGGUGGAUGCCAUCUCGCGCAAACCCGAUCAGGCGGCUUCAACAAACUUUUUCGACUCCUGUCGGCCAACUCGUGUCACCAUGCACGAACAGCUAGAAACGUCCCUAACGAUAACGUCGACCCCCACGGGACGGUGCGUCAAGCUCAAGACACACUACAAGAAACUUGCUAAUCCGUGACGAUUUCUUAGUGAGGGAAUUACAAACUGUCACUAACAACCACUGACACAUGUAAUCCGUGAUGAAAUUUAUUUUUUCGUCAAGGAUGAGCCCAUUGGAUAUUCCCAGCCCGCUAACUGGUGACGAUUUUAUCAGGAUCGUCGCGGUGUAUGAAUUUUGAAUUUGUCAUACUCUAAUUGGCUCAAAACAAUAUGCACGCUACCAGUAUUUAGUGCAAAGAAAAAUAGAAAAUAUGAUUGCAAAAAGUAUCAAACCCAAAAGACAAUCUGAUAAAUUAUUGUAACAAUAUAAUUUUGUUAUUACUUGUAUUUUAUUCGAACAAUUUUGCUACAAGCAUAUAUGGCAAAAUUAAAAAUAUGUUCCAUUUGCACAUUUAAACAAAAAAUUGCACCUAUAUGGGAUUUCCAUUUGACUAGUAUUUGUAUUUGUUUACCGACCCAACAUCACGGUAGGCCGCCUGGGCCAUUCACUCGACUUUAUGCCCGCCGACCACAUGGCCUUGCCCAUUUUGUAAACACAAAUAAAAAGUGCAGCCUAUAUAAAUUGAACCUGCAACACUUGACUUCAUAGAGGUGCAAGGCCAGCAAACAUUACAACUUUUUUUUAUAAAAAACAUUAUAAAUUUUGGAAAAAAGUUCACAAUGCAUCAAAAAGGAUAAUUUUUUUUUAAAACAAUACUGCUCCAGGCUUCGAACCCAGAAUCAGCCUUACAAAGCCAAAAUGCCUGACCACUGCGCUAUUCACUUGUUUAUGUUGGCUUUGGUUAUUAAAAUCUUUUUUUUAGUUUAUCGCCUUCCUUAUCAGCCUCCUCGGACGACAGUUCAUUCACGACCUUCACUUCGACUUGUGCAGCGCCGCCGACGGCGACUAUCGAAGCGCGAGCGCAAGAGCUCUGAUUCUUUUCUCAUCUCGGACGUGUUGUUGCUCCCGAACUUGCUCUCCUCCUCCUGUUGUUGCUUGUCCUGCCAUCGCCCGGCCUGGAGAGGAUGACAGGGACGCCUACCAGAUCGACCUCCGGGCCUUGUCAAUGGCGGAUGCAGCCAGUCCUUGGCCCCGCAAGGCGCCUUCGCGUGCUCCCUCCCACGAACGUGAUAUACGCGAAGAACGGCUUGAAUCGAGAAUAUGAAUAAAAGCUUUUGUAUUUUCAAUUAAUAUGCUUGUCAAUACUUGAAGAACAAGAGCAAGAACAUGAACCAAAACUUUUUCUGUUUUUAAUCUCAAGCAAAAAAAUGUAACCAGUUUUUCUCACUCAUUCGAACUCCAAAUGGUAUGUUCUUUUUUUCUAAAUUUUCCUAAAAUCAUGAUCUAUCAACUGAAAACAUGCUUUUUAAGUAAUUAUUAUUUCUUAGUUCUUCAUAUAUGGCUUAUUUUUCCAUCCAUUCAUUACUUUAUCUUCAAAUAUAACAUAAAAUAAUUUUAACAACUCAAAACUUUGUUAGAAAAUCCUAUAAUCUUUCACAAUAACAUAUUUUUGAUGUAUAAUGUUUAAUCAAAUGAUUUUGAAAAAGAGGUAUCAUGCAUUGUCUAACAAAUGGUAUAUCUCUCACACAAACUACAUGAGACAUAUACCAUUUGUGAAUAAUGUAUAGUCUCACUUUCAUAAAAUGGUUUGAAUUUUUUAUGACAAGCAUAUACACCCACAUUAUGCCUCCAUAUCAAUUCUUAAUAUUUUUAGACUACUUUAUGAUAUUAUUGUUUUUUUCUUUGGAGUCAUCAAAAUAGUAGUUCGAGUAAUGUCUAACAAAACACUUAAUUUUCCAUUGAUUUUGAGUAAGUGAGCUCAAAUACAACAUGCCUUGUUACCUAUAUAUUUUUUAAAAUUUUUUGAUAUUAUUUGAUAGGACGUGUAGUUCAAGUUGAAGUUAUUUUCUAAAAGCAUGCAAUAAUUCAUUUAAACUAUAGAAAGUAGUAAAUCGGUUUCAAAUUUUUUGAAAAAUCUAUGAGAGGACAUAUAUGCAGUCUAUUUCAUUUUAAAAAUAUAUUGGGUACAUGAAUAUAAUUGGCUUAAAAUGUUUACUUUACAAGAUUGCUUAAUCAAUGGAAAAUAAGAAAUACAUUAUUAGUAAAGCGCUCCAGCCUAAAACUCGUUAAAUAUUAGGCCCAGCGUCCUGGGCCUGGGCCGCGCAUUCGCGGCAGGCCUCGUGACCCGCCAGCCUGCUCUGUAUUUCCUGAAUCUGAACCAUCCAAUUCUGAUUGACGGCCACGAUUGCAGCAGUAGCGCAUAAAACUACCGUUCCCAUGAGCUUCCCAAACCCUAAGUUUUGUUUUUCCUUAGGCCCUCUUUAGUUCCCCACCUAAAAUUUUUUCACCCAUCCCAUCGAAUCUUUGGACACAUGCAUGGAAUAUUAAAUGUAGAUAAAAAAUAAACUAUGGUUGAAAAUCGCGAGACGAAUCUUUUAAGCCUCGUUAGUCCAUGAUUAGCCUUAAGUGCUACAGUAACCCACAUAUGCUAAUGACAGAUUAAUUAUGCUUAAUAGAUUUGUCUUGUAGUUUCCAGAUGAGCUAUGUAAUUUGUUUUUUUAUUAGUUUCUAAAACCCCUCCUGACAUUCUUCCGACACAUUCGAUGUGACACCAAAAAAUUUUUCAUCUCCAAUCUAAACAGGCCCUUAGUCUUCACCCCAAAGGCCCAAACCUAACUCAGGAACGCGCCACUGCCGCUCCCCCAUCGACCCUAACAUCGCGCCGCCAUGGCCAUAGUGCCCUGUUCCACCCACAGAGACAUCUUCGUGUCGCUCCUCUCGUGUGUCCGGCGCUGAGCCGAGUCGUGCUGCGGGAGAGUUCAACGAUGGGGCGCCAACACGGUGGCGGAGGUGAGAUCCAUGGCCUAGAAGCCUAGAUCCCUCGCUCUCAGUUUUGCUAUUUGCCAGCUGGGGCAGAGCGAACAUGAGAUCCACGUAUCCUCCUGUGGUUCAAAGCCUGCACCGGACGGCGUCGAUGGUGACUACAAGAGCACGCGCCAUUUCGUUUCCUUUUCCCGUAAGCACCCGCUCUUCACUCCAUCUGUUCGAUUAAUAACCUUUUCUUUGGUCGAUUAGGAUCAUCAGAUGAACAUUCUCCUCUGGACUAUAAUUUGUUUGAUUAAAAAAUUGUAUUUUAUCAGCUCUAAUGCAAUUAGAUCCGCUGGACUAGACUUCCUUCUAGCCCGUCUAAUGAUAACAAUCACAUUUUUAUAAUACGUCCCUUUUUUCUGUCAAUGAUUUGCUUCAUGGUCGAGAUUCAUGAUGUAGACUAUGGUGCUGAGUCAUUUUCGUUGGAUGCCGACUAAGGUGCUUUGGCCUUUUCUUUUUAUUCUCUGGUUUAUAUGGAGCAUACUUGUCUGUCACUUAAGCAAUAGUAACAGAUUGACGUAUCUUAUUCUGUCCUUUUUACCAACUAGUACUAGAUAACUGCUUGCCAUGUGCUGAAUGUUGCUUCCUAAAAGCAUAUGUGUUGCUCACUUUGUGGAAAUUUGGUUUGAAAGCAUAUAUGUUGCUGCCUAAGUAUUGUGUGGUAAACUGAAUUAUCCUGAAAUCAUAUAAAAGUGUCUAUCUAAAUACUGAAUUUCCUCAAAUUUUUAGACAGUUUGUUCCUGAUGCUUUGUUUGUGGAUCCUAAAUAGGCAUUGCAUUCUCUUGGCCGUAGAAUGAUAUUUUUCCUGAUGUUUGGUUCUCAACUGAUGUUAAUGUUGAUGGCUGGACUUGGGAGCAGCUCAACUAAAAUUUCCAUUUGACAUGUGUAUCUGCUCAUUUAUAUUCUUCAGCUGGGUUGCAGCAUGCUGUUACAUGGGCAUGUUGGGAUAGUAAAUGCCUAGACUGUUUCAUGUUGUGCAGAUAAUACAAGCAGCUCUGUUAUGUGGUUAUUUUUUAUUUUCUUGAUCUGGUUCACUACAUAUAUAUGGUUUUGACUGGCUGCUGCAGUAUCUGAAGGAGAAAGAAGACGGCGCACAAUGCCUCUGCUCCAAAGUGGGCGCCACAGAAGCAUAAGGGAACACACGGUUCACCUCUGUGUUCCCCAUUUCACCUGCCGGUAUGUACGCACUUAUUUUCACUCUACCCACUGGCGAUGUUUAGAUCAGUAUAAGAUUCAACACGCUGUGAUACUAGGUACAUCUAUCUUUUGUGUAGUAUUUUAGUAUUAUCUAUUUUGAGAUUAAGCACGCUGGUUUUAACCUACAACUACCAUAUUGAACGAAACUUACUUGUGACAAAUCCUUCAGAUAAAAUUUGAACCCAACAUUGUUUAUAUCAACAUAGUUUCUUUGUUUGAUUUUGAAAGUGGUGUAACAUCCGGUGAGCUUGUGCACCUUACUAAGAUGCUUCCAAUUCUAAUCUUCUUUGAAAGUACCUUACUGAAAUGGUUUAAAUUAUAAUGUUCUCUGAAAGUGCAGAUCUGGAACAUUUGGUGAUACAUUGUGUUGCUAGAACUUGACAUUCUGCUGCUGCAACUUGAUGAACUAUGCUGCUGCAACUUCAUACAUGGCUGCUGCUGCUGCUGCAACUUCAUGCAAUUUCGGGAACCUGUAAUUUGUUGGUGGCUUAUGUGCCAUGGUGCAUUGCACGAUGUGGUGCUUUAUGUAACUUUGUAUCUCAUCUUAUGAGAAUAAACUUGAGAUCUUAUGUGCUGCUGGAUUGAGUUCUUAUGUAAAUAAAAUUGAAUUGUUUGUCUAUGUGGGCUGUAUAUUUGUAUUUGCAAUAGUAAUGGGAUGUAUGUUGUAUGUGCUAUAAAUGGCUGAGAAAAUAAAAAAUGGCUGAAUUCAACAUGUAAAUUUUCUGAAUGCCAAUUGAAAAUGGGCUGAAUGCUAAUUGGAAAUGGGCUGGAAAUACGUCAAAAUUGCGUUGAGAAUAAGCUAGAAAAUGGCCCAUUUUUAUGUUGGGCUGUUAAUAAAUGGGCCAAUAUGCCACACAUCAUCCUUGUCAUCGUCCACAUCAUUAUCCAUGUAAGCAUCUAUGAUGAUGUGGCAUUUCAUCCGUGACGUUUACUUUUCGUCGUAGGGAAUGGACUUGGGUUGGGCUAACAGGGCAUGGGCUCAAAUGGUGAUGGUUUAAAUCUGUCACUGAUUACUUUGAUCUGUGACGGUUUUUGAUAAAUCGUCGCGAGGUUUAAUCCUUGACGCUCAAUCCGUGACGAUAUGUGGAACCAUCACAGAUGCUACAUAGUGACGGUAUUUUGGUGAUCGGUGACGAAAAUUUUUUGUCACUGAUGAGCAGGAUUCUUGUAGUGACAGCUCAAGACCAGAAUUGCCCUUAUGGUUAAAACAACUCAGCCGACCACUAUUCGCGGCACACCCAAUCUCUUUUCAGCAGGGCGGGCUUGUCGCCAGGACAAGCACCUCACCAUUAUGUCAACAUGGUAUCUAUCCGAGUCCUGCCGGACGACAAGGCUACCAGUAUGAACUCCAGCACAAGGUCCGUUCCCACCGAGGUUUUGCACUCCGAGGACGAAGAUUACGACCUGGAUUUACCACCAUAUCCUCCAGGUUUUUCUCAUUUCCCAGUCUUUCCACCUCAGCAAGGAGAUCUUAUCUUUAACGUCAGCAAUGACAAACCGGUCGUCGACGGCGAAACAGACGAGCAGAAGCAACUCCGCGAGCAGCGCAAUGCCGACCGUGCUCGGCGGCGCGCGGAUGAGGAACGGCAACUUGCGCCACACAACCUCAGUGAUGCUUUUGACAUGGUCGGAGAUCAGCCAGUCUACAAGACACCAAGCGCUAAUGUGGCUGUCGCCAUGGCAAACCUGGACCGGCUCCCUGAUACCCCGAAGUGCCAGGGCGUCCGAUCCAGUAUACGAGCACAUCUGAUCGCCGCGACGGGACAGACAGCCACCUUGCUCAAAAGGGUCCAAGCCGUCUCCUACACGGAGGUUUCUUCCGACCAGACUCAUCGUAGCCGGACUUCACCACGACCCAGCGGGCGCUAUCAUAGCCGCUCCCCCGACGGUCGCAAGAAGGUCGCUGGACACGACAACCGAGGUCAGGACACGUGCGGUUACCGCGAGCAGAGGCGCGGGCGUGGUCAGGAAGUAAACCAAGAUAGGGAUCUACGCUACAACAUUCCCCCCAAAGAUGCCCGCAACCGCAUCAACAGGCGCGCUACGGAAAGAGCGGUACACGAAAAUCUGCGACGCAUUGAGUACGAUGCUGCACACGGCCCCCCGGCCUAAGACAGUUCUCUUCACACCUUCGCCAAGUCGUAUGGCCCCGCAAUUUUAAGCUCGAGAAGCUUAAAAAAUAUGACGGCAAAGAAAACCCUGAAAACUGGAUUACUCUCUACGAGAUCGCAGUCCGGUCAGCAGCAGGAGACGAGCACGUCAUGGCAAAUUACUUCCCAGUCGUCCUUGACUAGGCUAGCCAUCAGUGGCUCCUCGGCCUGCCCGAGGACUCCUUCGACUCCUGGGAAGAGCUGCGCCAGGCGUUUAUUGACAAUUUCAUCGCUACCUGCGAACAGCCUGGGAACAAGUACGAUCUCGAGAGAAUAAGGGUCAGGAAGAACGAGCCCUUACGCGAUUACAUUCGACGGUUCUUAGAUAUGCGCCUUAAGAUUCCAAAAAUCUCUCACGACGAGGCCAUAUCAGCUUUCAUCAAGGGUCUACGCUUCCAUGAAGCACUAAGGAAUAAGCUACUACGCAAAAGGCCAACCACGGUUGCCGAGCUCCUCGCCACGGCAAAAAACUGCGCCGACGCCGAUGACGCAGAAAAGGUCAUCCAAGAAGACGCGAGGGGCACCGACCAGCCUCCUCGGCGAGACGACAGUCGUGGAUGCUUCGACAACCGGAACCCUCGCCGUGGCGACAACCGCGACCACCGAGAAGGUUGGGACAGGCGACGUGACAACCGCGACGAUUUCAGGGGCAAGCGACCUCGUGACCACGACCAUGAGGUGAACACAGUCAAGCGCCCCAAUGGGCGACGAGACUACCAGGAAGACUACAACAAGACGGUGAAAGGGCCAUGCCAACUUCAUCCCAAGUCCAAUCACACGAUGGAAGAAUGUUGCAUCCUCAAAAGCAUCUACACACAGCGGGCUGCUCAAGGGGAUUCCGCCAAGAAAAACGGGAAACAGGACAGACAUGGUCACGAAGACGAAGACGACAACCAGGAUAGGGACCCACGACACUAGUAUGUCAGUCCCACCGACAUGGUGCACUCCAUCUUCGGAGGCAAAGUUUCCAUCGAGUCUAAACGAGAGAGAAAGCUCCUGAAGAGAGUCUGCCUCAAUGUGGACAGCGCAGACGACCUGGUCGCCGACCCAAAGUUUCCUCCCUGGUCGCACAGGGAGAUCUCCUUCAACAGGAAGGACCAAUGGGCCACCAUCCCAGAACCAGGAUGCUUUCCUCUGAUCCUGGACCCUUGCAUCAAUAGUGUCAGAUUCGAGCGUGUGCUCGUUGACGGGUGCAGCUCCAUUGACAUCCUUUUCCGCAACAGCUUGCCUGCCCUUAGGCUAACCCCGGCGCAACUAAAGCCGUAUGAUGCUCAGUUUUGGGGCGUCCUUCCAGGCUAGAGUUCAGUACCCCUCGGACAGAUAACGCUGCCAGUCUAGUUUGGAACGUCGGACUACUUCCGCAUAGAGUUCGUCAACUUUGUGGUCGCUGACUUCGACGGCACCUAUCACACGAUUCUAGGCCGACCAUCGCUCACCAAGUUCAUGGCAGUUCCACACUACUCAUACCUGGUCCUCAAGAUGCCAAUAGAGAAGGGCGUCCUAACCGUCAGAGGCAACGUCUACACCGCAUACACUUGCGAGGAGGAAAGCUUCAAGAUCACCGAGGCAAUCGAUCCCUCGAUUUGUAUGGCAGAAACUGUAGCCCAAGCCAAGCAAGCUCCACCCGACCAGCUCCAGCUACCCGAGCAGGAGACUCCGAGGAAAAACUCAAAGUCCAAAGAGCACAAGGAGGUACAGUUGGUCGACGGCAGCCCUGAGAAGACGGCUCUCAUUGGGGCCAACCUGGACCCUAAAUAGGAAGACGCGCUCGUCAGGUUUCUAAGGGACAACGUAAGCGUUUUCGCAUGGAAACCCGCGGACAUGCCCGGCGUCCCACGAAACCUGAUCAAGCACUCCUUAAACGUUUCGAAGACCGCAAGACCUAUCAAGCAGAAACUACGGCGGUUCGCUCGCGACAAAAAGGAGGCUCGGCUUCUAGCAGUCGGAUUCAUUAAAGAAGUGUAUCACCCCGAUUGGCUCGCCAAUCCGGUUCUUGUAAGGAAAAAGAAUAAUGAAUUGAGAAUGUGCGUUGAUUACACUGAUCUCAAUAAACACUGUCCUAAAGAUCCUUUCGGUCUCCCUCGUAUCGAUGAGGUGGUCGACUCAAAGGCCGGAUGCGAACUCCUCUCUUUUCUAGACUAUUACUCUGGCUACCACCAGAUUUCACUAAAGGAAGACGACCGGAUCAAAACAUCUUUUAUUACUCCUUUCGGUGCAUAUUGCUACACCACCAUGUCCUUCGGACUCAAGAAUGCUGGAGCCACUUAUCAACGAGCCAUUCACCAAUGCCUCCACGACGAGAUUCAUGAUGACCUCAUCGAGGCUUAUGUCGAUGACGUUGUUGUCAAAACAAGGCAAGAGAGCACUCUGAUCGACAAACUAGACCAAACUUUUACGGCACUAAAUAAAUACAAGUGGAAGUUUAACCCCAAAAAGUGUAUCUUCGGGGUCCCCUCUGGUCUACUACUCGGCAACAUCAUCAGCCGCAACGGCAUACGGCCGAAUCCUUCAAAAGUUAAGCCGGUGCUCGAUUGCGACCACCCAAGAAUGUCAAGGAUAUUCAAAAGCUCACCGGAUGUAUGGCCGCUCUCAGCUGGUUUAUCUCUAGGCUAGGAGAAAAAGGCCUUCCCUUCUUCAAACUUCUAAAGGCGUCGGAAAAAUUCUCCUGGACAGAGGAAGCUAACGCUGCGUUCACCCAGCUCAAAACUUUCCUCACCUCACCACCCGUCCUCACAGCACCUCAACCUAAUGAGGACAUGCUACUUUACAUAGCAGCAACCGAUCGGGUUGUCUCCACGGCAAUGGUGGUCGAGCGGCACGAACCAGGCCACGUCUACAAAGUCAAGAGGCCUGUUUACUUCAUAAGCGAAGUCCUAAACGAAUCCAAGACCAGGUAUCCUCAGAUACAAAAGUUAAUCUACGCCAUCCUGAUAACCUCAAGAAAGCUGAAGCAUUACUUCGACGGCCAUCGGGUCUUAGUAACUACUAGUUUUCCCCUAGGGGACAUUUUGCGCAACAAGGUCGCCAACGGCAGAAUUGUAAAAUGGGCAAUGGAAUUAUGCCCAUUCUCCCUAGAUUUCCAGAGUCUCACUACCGUCAAGUCCCAGGCCCUGGUCGACUUCAUCGUGGAAUGGACGGACCUCAACGAGCCCCCCCCUCCGGAUACCUCCGACCACUGGUCAAUGUUCUUCGACGGGUCCCUAAACAUCAAUGGCGCCGGCACUGGGAUACUUUUUGUAUCACCAAACAAGGACAAACUCCGCUACGUCCUUAGGAUUCUCUUCCCGGCAUCUAACAACGUCGCCGAAUAUGAAGCAUGCUUGCAUGGCAUCCGACUGACUGUCGAACUGGGAGUCAAACGUCUUUACGUCCACGGUGACUCUGCCCUGGUCAUCAACCAGUUAAAUAAGGAAUGGGACACAACUCAUGAGAAAAUGGACCUCUACUGCAAAGAAAUCCAGAAAUGGGAAUCCGAUUUUUUCGGCAUCGAAUACAUCCACGUGGUCCGGGACAGGAAUCAGGCAGCAGAUGCGUUGUCGAAGAUAGGAUCAUCUCGGGCCCAGGUCCCGCAGGGUGUUUUUGUCCAAGAUAUUCACACCCCAAGCGUCGGUACAGACCUGGUCGACAAGCCACCCAAUGAGGCGAUGCUCAUAGACGAGACUACUCCAACGACCAGCAACCACGACUGGCGCACUCCCUUCAUCAAGUACCUAUCAGACGGUUCGGGAUUCCAAGAUAAAACGGAGAACGAGCGCCUUAUGCGGCGGUCUAAGAAUUACAUACUGGUCGAUGGCAAACUUAUGCGUAAGAACGUAAGCUCAGAAGUAUUGCUGAAGUGCAUAUCCCAAGAUGAUGGCAUCAAGCUACUGGAUGAUAUACACGCCGGGUCCUGUGGCAACCACGCCACCUCCAGAACACUGGUCGGGAAAGCUUUCCGAGCAGGUUUUUACUGGCCAACAGCAGUUACCGAAGCUGAGAAACUAGUCAAGCAUUGCAAAGGAUGCCAGUUCUUCGCCAAGCGGACCCACGUACCUGCUCACGAGAUCCAGACGAUUCCGUCGUCUUGGCCGUUCGCUUCUUGGGGCCUCGACAUGAUCGGGCCAUUCAAGCCGGCUCUUGGCAACUUCAAAUUCGUGUUUGUACUAAUCGACAGAUUAUCAAAAUGGAUUGAGUACAUGCCACUGGUCAAAGCAACUUCCGAGAAGGCUAUGGAGUUCCUCAAUCAAAUCAUACACAGAUCGGAGUUCCUAACAGCAUAAUUACUGACCUGGGCACCCAGUUCACCGACACUACAUUCUGGGACUUCUGUGAUGACAGAAGCAUAGUCAUAAAGUACGUGUCGGUAGCCCACCCGUGGGCCAACGGUCAAGUGCAGCGAGCAAAUGGAAUGAUUAUCGAUGCUCUGAAGAAAAGGCUGUAUACUGAAAAAGACAGAGCACCAGGACGAUGGAUAAAAGAGUUACCAGUUGUGGUCUGGGGUCUCCGAACGUAGGCUAGUCGAAACACGGGUAUAUCGCCCUACUUCAUGGUUUAAAGCACCGAGGCAGUGCUCCUUUCGGACGUGGUCUUUGGAUCUCCAAGAGUUGAACAUUUCGACUAGCCUUCGGCCGACCUCGCCAGAGAGCUCAAAACCAACUGCACAGAGGAAAAGCGCCUAAUCUCAUGCCUUCGAACAGCGAAGUAUCUCGAAGCUAUCAGGCGGUACCACAACAGGAACGUCAAAGAUCGCUCCUUCGUGGUCGGUGAUCUGGUACUCAAAUGGAAAACAAACCAGGAAGGAAUGCACAAGUUAUCUACACCUUGGGAAGGUCCCUUCGUGGUCGCCGAAGUUACACGCCCUACAUCUUAUAGACUGGCAUACCCAGACGGAACACGCUUACCCAACUGCUGGCACAUAGAUAAACUGCGCCGUUUUUAUCCCUAAGCUCCAGUACACUUUAUUUGUAAAUCUUUUAUGAUGAGUAAUAAUAAAAUUUGUCUUUCUUGCUAUGUACUUUUUUUCAUACGCAGAACAUUCGACAAGUGCUACAACUACUAUCAAGACAAAGGUCCUCAAAGGUCGUCAACUCGACUCAGUGAUGCAUCACUCAAACAAUGUUACAACGCUCAAAACCAUGGUUAUGAUAAAUUAAGCUUUAUUACAAACUUUAUACACUAAGUUUACAAUAAACACCCCUCUGGGCGGUCUCUAGUCUACUCCUACAGACUACUUUACAGGCCUACUCCUCGGGCUGAUCACCCGCACGGUCCUACUGUCCAGUCGAAGGGGUCGGGGCCAACGGCGCCUGGCUGGUCGAGACCGCAGGUGUCGACCGCCCAUCUCCUGCAAUGGAUGCCCCUAACAACUCCCUAGCUAACCUGUCUGAUCCAGGUUGGUUGAGGGGAGUUGACGUCCCACAGAGGUUUAUGUCGCCGAUCACUGUCGACGACAGGUCGAGUAGGCCGACAUGAAGGUCAUCUACCUCCUGCGGACCAACCUCCUUGGAUACCCCCUCUCCAGCCAGGACAGAUCAACCAGAGGAUAGUGGGCACGUACCAUGCUGAGGACGUGUGCUUCGGCGAACUCUCCGGCGUCCAUGACGAACUGCUGCAGCCAACCCCACGCUUGUUGCGCCUUCUCGACCGGAGUCAGCCACGGUGCGCGGGGCUGGUCUUCGGGGAGCUCGGGGCUGAUCAAGUCGAGCACUGGGGCUACUCCUUUCCAGAUCUUGAUACAGUUGGUCUUCUAGGAGUCCCGUUCCUUGACCAGCUCGUCGAGGUGCUUCUUGGUGUUAACUUUAAGCACUAUGAUAAAAUUUCCAAAGAGAACCAAGCCAGAAGUCAGUACAAACAUGGCAAGAGGAACAUUGCGUAGUCAACAAAAGGGCGAAACAGCUCUUACCAGCCAAUUCUCGACUCUUGUCCUUCAGCUCCUCGCCAGCCCGGCGCCCGGCCUCCAGUGCGCCGGUACGCUCCUGGUCGAGUCGCUCCUUUUCCUCUCGGAGGCGCAAAACCUCCUCCAGAUCUGUAGAAAUAGUCGCUGGUCAACAAAACCAAUUGCGCAGUUCAACUACAGCUGCUCGGAACGCAUGACUUACCUUUUUUCUCCCGAUCCUUGUUGGCUAGUCGUCAGUUAAGAUCGAGCAGGCGCUCUUCCUGAGCCGCCUUCUCGGCCGCUUUCUCCUCGGCUUCUGACCGAAGGCGGUCCGCCUCUGCGGCUAGGGCCUUAUUCUCAGCCACGAUCCCUUCAAUUUGGUCGAAGCACCUUUUACGGUACUUCGCCGUUUGCAUCGCGCCCUGCAAGAAGUAAACGUAUUGUUCAAUGGACAAGCAAACAGUACAUAAAUUUUCUGGCUGAGCAGAGGACCACUUACCUUAACCUCAUCAACGAGUCACUUAGCUACGCGCUCCACCCUCGCGGCCUCCUCUGUCUCCGCGAGUUCUUCAUACCAAUGAAGUGGUCCCCACGUUGGCGCCACACGUAAACGUGCUGGCGACCAUCAUGGGGGCGACACUAGAUUUCUUCCACUUCAUCGUCAGAGGCUGCCUGGGUCUCCUCGCCCUCUGUGCUACCACCAGUUGUGGUCAUGGGUAUCACUGGACCCUUACCCCGGCUAGGGGAGCCCUUUGGCGAAGAGGUUUCUGCUCGGGGCGGGGUUGGGGCCCUCUUUUCAUCUGGCGGGGGAGUCGGGGCUCUGUCUCCCUCCUCUGUGACACUGCUCGGGGGGUGUCCUUGCGGCCUCAUCGUCCCUCGUCAGUGUGCCCGCCCCGGUCCUUGCUUGAGCUGGGCUCUCCUCGGUAGUCUCCGCCACAGUCACCACCGUGGGCUGCUCCUCGAUUGGUGCCUAGGUGGUCUCCUCGCUGGGGUUUUCAAUGACAACCGCUGGCUCAGCCAUUUUCUAGCCGGCGACGUUGCCCGGAUCAACAUCUGACGCCGCACUAGCAAAAGAAGAUAUCACGCUGACAUCACAAACUCGCAACAAAAAAAAAACAAACAAUAACAAGGAGGAAGUGUAGAAGACGGGUUGUAGAACUCACAGGUCGGAGCGCCUGUGCGUCGCUGCGAAGAACCUCCUCCUGGUCCUACCAGUCGCCGCUACUGCCUCUGCCCCUCCACGUUGCGUCGGCUCGGUGUGCGGGGUCGGAGGAUCACUGGUCUCCCGACCAGCGGUGGCCGACGCAACGUCAGGUCGACUGCGUGGUCUCCGGACCAAAGAUGGCGCAGCCUCCUCCUCUUUGUCUUUGUCGUCAGUGUUCCUCACGAGCCGACGACGUUUCAGAGCUUGGCUGGUCUCUGCCGGCAAUGCCUCCGAAGGGGUUGGCUCUGCGGCCAUUGGCCUCUUCGCCGCCACCCUGUCCUCGGUGGUCGGCGCCGGCCGGUUUUUCUCUUCCUCGCUGCUAUUGUAUUGGGGACACCGAGCAGCAUCGUCUACUGCUGGGUCCAUCUCAGCAGGCUGCUCCAUGCUAGGUGCCAGUGAUACAUACACUGAGCACCGGUCAAUGUCUCCAAUCUGCAGUAGAACCAACAACAAGUCAUCAACCAAGAAACAACAGUUAUUCACAUGACGAUACAUAUCGGUAACAGUGCUCGUUUACCUUAGGAGCUGGUCGUCCUAGCUUGAAGGCGUGCAUCUGAUCAUCGCUCUGAACGAAAUUGUCAUCAGACAAGUUGAACAACUCAUUCAUCAGCUGCUGGACCUCCGUCUUCUCCAGACCACUCGGGCACAUCCUGGUCGGGUCUUGACUCCCAGCGUACUCAUACGCCGAGUGUACCCUCCUCUGGCAGUGCAUCACCCGUCGUACAAGGAAAUUCCCGACCACUCCUGGCCCGUCUAAGCGGGACCAGUCGAUCAGGAUCAUCAGCUCCGCCACUUGACCGUCAUACUCUUGAUGAUCUGUCCAGCUGACCCUCUUCUUGGGGAUGUAGCCGACGUCACAGAACGUGGUGCUACCCGGCUCCUCCCUGAUGUAGAACCACUUCUUCUACCAUUCGGUGAGAGAAGUGUUCCAUGGGCAGCUGAGGUAUCGGUUCUUCAUCCCGUCGCGCAGAUUGAGGUAUACUCCACUUGCAAUCUUGGAACCGCCAACUGCUCCUUUCUUCCGCAAAUAGAAAAGAUAACGGAAGAGGUCGAAGUGCGGCUCUAUUCCAACAUAGGCCUCGCACAAGUGGAUAAAGGUAGAAAUGAGGAGAAUGGAGUUCAGGUGUAGGUUGCAGAUCCCGAUCUCAUAGUAAAGAAGAAGGCCCUGGAGAAAAGGAUGGACAGGAAUCCCAAAGCCCCUCUUGAAGAAAUCUUCAAAAACAACAAUCUCACCGGCGCGGGGGUCGGGGUAGCUCUCCCCCUCUGGCGCCCACCAGCCGCCGAUCUCCUGGUUAUGUAGCAGACCCAUUUCGACGAGGUCGUUGAGGGACCUCGUGCUGCUCCGGGACUUCUUCCACUCCUUGGCCAUCAACUCGGCCCUUUUCUUCGAUUCGCUUUUCGCCAUUGACACCGGAGAAAGAACUUUGAGCUAGAAGUUAAAGAUGGCAGUCGCAGGAGGUAGGAAUGGCAAAGGCAGAAGGUUUGUAGGCAAAGGCUGGGUAAAGAAUAUGGAUGCUGCAUUGAGCUUUUUAUAACAGCAGCUCCACCUCUACCACUUCCCGCGUUAUGGGGAAGUGGGCAGAUCUUGCGGCGGCUGUGGCGCUUCGGUUCUCAAUACUUAUCACAAUUAAUAUGGUGACUUUUCCGCAUAAUUGAUGGUUUCCAUGUCUUGGGCUGCGCAAAGAGCGGGUGCACAGUUACCAGGCGAGCCUUUUUACGCGACAGCCUGACAAUGUACCAGGGCGCUCUGUCACAUCACACAUUAAUACGGCGAUAUGUUCUUUUCAAGAAAGAGAAGUGAGUCAGUUGGUGGAACAGGCGUGACAUACUCGACUGACUGCAUCGACCACCGAGCAUCACAAGCUCAGGGACUGGUCGACUAGUCUGCUCCUUUGACAUUUCGAUUGAUUGCACCGACCACCGAGCAUCACAAGCUCAGGAACUGGUCGACUAGCCUGCUCUCUUGGCAUCUACAUUGUUUGUACCGACCACCGAGUGUGGUACGCUCCGGGAAUGGCCGAUUAGUACACUCGUCUGAAAGUCUGGGGACUGUACCGAGCAUGUUUUGGUUCCCAACCAUGCUCGGGGACAAGUCGAUCAUGCUCUAUGGCAUGCUCGGGGACUGUGCUGACUAACAAUUGUGUUCGGAGACUCAUCAGUCACUCCCUGUGCUGUGCUCGGGGCUUGCCUUGAUCACUCUCCAACCACAAAUUGGGGACUGUUCUUCUCAGUUACAUAUGAAUUGGACUCAUAUACAACUGAGGGGUAGUUUUAUUUUUUAGACCUUGCUACAAGGCUCAUACUUCGCCUUCCAGCAAGCUCGGGGACUACAUCGAUACGAUGCAUCUGGCGAUGCAUCUCAGUUUUAGAAUUUCUAUGAACUUUUUUGACCCUGGCACCACGUGCCUACGUCACCUACUACUAAGCUCGGGGACUAAGUGGGCACAUUUCACCUUGCGGUGAACAUGCUUGCUUUUUAAAAGUUUGUACUUUUCAGAAAAGUAAAGUGGGCACACUUCAUCAGAAAAAAAAUAUUUUUUGAUUUAGAGCACCAUGCAUUCUUCGAACAAUCGGCUUCUUCGACGUUGAUGUUUGUCGACUGGUUUUCAAGUUGGCCGGAGUACCGCUGCAACUGCUCGGGUAAUUUUCCUGGUUGUCAAAGAUGUCAAGUCUUGUUGGUCGAAGAAGCUCAAGAUGGCGUGUUGCAUUACAAUACAUGGUGCUCGGAGACUAGCUGUGUGGGUAUAAACCCCUAUACCUUUACGGCUAGGCUUGGGCCAGGAGGCUUGGCCCAUUACGAGACGAGUCCGAGGCUUGAUCCGACUGCUCGGAGUUUCGCGCAAGGAAACAAGACGUGGAGAUUAAGCAGGAUUCUAGUCGGUUAGAAUAGGAAUUGAUGUCGUACUAUCUAUGGCAAUUGUAACCGACUACGAUUAGUUUCCAGAUCUGUAACCCUGCCCUCUGGACUAUAUAAGGAGAGGCAAGGGACCCCACUAGGACACAUUAUCUCAAUACAAUACAAUGCAACCAGACAAAGGACGUAGGUAUUACGCCCACACGGCGGCCGAACUUGGAUAAAAACCUUGUCCGUGUCUUGCGUCACCAUCAAGUUCGUAGCUUGCGCACCGUCUACCGAUAAACUACUACCGUGGGUAUACCCCAAGGUAGACUGCCGACUAGCUUUCGUCGACAGGUUGCAGCCCAUGGCAUGCUGCUCAACAUCUGUUAGAGGGUUGGUGAUGAGCUGACAGGAGGGCUAGUGGCCUCCAUUCCCAUGCUGACCUAGUAGCAGCGGAGUGGAAGCAGGCUGAUGGAUGUGCGUUGGUCCGAGGUCGAGGAGAGCGAGCUAAGAGCUCCAGUCCUGCUAUGAGCGCUAUGAUGGUUGUGCUCAAGCUGUUUAGUUAGUGAGAGGACACCUAUGCGCACAUGAUGGGUGUUGUUCGCCAGGCUCAGGAGAUACAACAAAAGGCUAAAAAGCGUGCUCACAAGUUUCGCAAGCAAGCUAGAUGCUUGGAGCAGGCCCAAAAGGACCGCAAUGAUUCGGAGGACAUUGCGGAGUAUUGUAGGUAGCAGUGGGUGAAGGCCACUAGGGAGAGAGAUCAUAAGCAGGUGCAGAUGAGUCAGUUGGCUAGGGAGAAGGAGACCGUGCAGGAGCGCUUGGUGCAGAUCACUAAUGAGAGGGAUACUGCACUACUUGUGUCGGAGAACAGGCGCCGGGCAUGGGAGAUGCACCGUGUCCAAUCGGCGGAGUGGGAGAACUAUCUACAGGAUCAGAUUGAGGCUGGUCUUGUGGAGAUUCACCACCUCAACAACUUGCUACACCCUAUUCCCCAUCCUACACCAGUGUACCCGGAGGUGGGAUCUCAGGUGAUCGUGGCUGAUGACGAUGGUAUGGAGGUAGAUGGACCGGCCGCGGCUGCACCACCCUUGCAUGAGGACAUGGAGGACGAGGAGCUUGAGCCGGUUAGCGACGAGGAUGGAGAGGCGAUCUUUGACGCUGACUCGGGCGACGAGCCUGGAGUGUAGUGGGUAGUUGGUAACCGUCUUGUGAGGUUCUUUUGUAGUUUGACGUGUGGCAGUUGUGCCCUUGUAAUCAUGAUGUAAUCCUGAACCUUGAUCUAAGACUUGUGUCUGUGCUAUGGUGAUGUAAUAACUUUAUGGACCAAGAUGUUGUAAUGACUCUAUCAUGUUUGAACGGCUGUUGAUGAUAUUUCCCUUUGUUGUGUGUUUUAUGGAUAUCUGUGUCAUGUGCUGUGAUUGGUGAUGUUGUUUUGUGGAAUUGAAUUAUUGUGCCUCUUUCUAUAAAGUUAUUCCCUCGAAUACUUUCAGGCAUGAUUAUAAGUUCUUAUAUGGCAAAUCUUAUCAUCAUCAAUACUCACUGACUGUGUCUUUACAGAUGUAUAGAGGCACUUGAGGUGCGGGAAAUCAUGCAAACAUGGAUCCACCCCCUCCUCCUCCACCACCGAAUCUAGAAGGGCUGAUGAAGCAAUGGUGGAAAAUCAGAGGUUGCUGACAGAGACUAUCCGUCAGAUGGCAAAUCAGGGUGGUCGGGACGUACAACAUGGGCCAGCACCUAAUUAGCACAACAAUUUUAAGGAUUUCAUGGAUACCAAGCCUCCAUGUUUUAGAGAGGCUGAAGAACCCCUUCGGGCAGAAGAAUGGCUGAACAUGGUGGAACAGAAGUUCCGCUUACUUCGGCUGACUGAAAGUCUAAAGGCGGAAUAUGCAGCUCAUCAAUUGUAGGGUACGGCUGGUAUCUGGUGGAAUUAGCAUAGGGAGGCUCUUCCAGAUAACACUAUGGUUGACUGGAAUCUCUUCCGUGAAGCUUUCAAGUGACAUUUCAUACCUCCUGGGGUCAUGGAGAUGAAGCACACUGAGUUUAUGCAGUUAACUCAGGGCAACAAAACUCUGAAGGAGUAUUUGCAUGCUUUUAAUCAUCUGUCAAGGUAUGCCCCUGAGUUUGUGAGCACUGGAUCAAAGAAGAUUGCUAGCUUCAAGAGGGGUCUUGGCCCCAAGUUGUUGAAGACUAUGGGCUGCACUAAGUGUGCCACCUUCAAUUAGCUUGUCAGUGAUGCUCUUACCCAAGAGAAUUACAACACUGUGUAUACUGCGACCAAGACUCGCAAACUAGCAUUUGAGGCCAGGGAAGGGGCAUCUCAGUCCAAGGCUCCAGUGGCAGCUAGGCCCCAGUAUUGUGCUCCAACUCCUAAUAUGCGAUACCGUCCUCCAGCAAAGAAGAAUCAAGCAAAGACGGGGUUUCGCAAAGGGUACUCCAUUGCUCUUCCUAGGGGGAACACUGGGCCUAGCUAUGCCAAGACUCCGCCUAACAACAGUCCACGCUGGAACUGUAAUCAGACAGGGCAUUGGCAAAGCAACUGUCCUUACCCACCAAAGAAGGGCAACCUAGGGAACGUCCGUCAGGGGCGUGUUCACUACACUACAGUAGAAGCCAUCCCUGCUGGUGAGGUAGUUAUGGCUGGUAAGUUCUUGGUUAACCAAUGUGAUGCACUUGUGCUUUUUGAUUUAGGAGCAUCGCAUUCCUUUGUGAGUUUAGAUUUUGUGUCUGAGCAUAAUUUCAAGGCAGUUACACUUGAUAAAGGCAGUUAUCGCAUUAGUGCCACUGGAAAUAAUAUUUCUACAAAUCAUGUGGUUUUGGGGGCAACUCUGGAAAUAGGAGGCUGUCAGUUCCUGGCUGAUCUGGUUGUUUUGCCCGGUGUGGGUAUAGAUGUAAUUCUGGGAAUAAAGUGGAUGAGUGGUAACGGGGUUCUCAUCGACACCACUACUCGCGUGGUGAUGCUGAGAGACCCUGGUACUAAGGAGGUGUUCUUAGUGCAACUUCCUCGUGAUAUUCAUAUCCAUAGCACAAUGAAUGCAGUUACAUCUAGGGCCAUCAAGGAUAUUCUGGUGGUGUGUGAGUUUCCGGAUGUAUUCCCUGAUGAUUUGCUUAGGCUUCCUCUAGACCGGGAUGUGGAGUUCAAAAUUGAAUUGCUUCCACGUACUGCACCUAUCUCUAGAAGACCAUAUAGAAUGCCGCCAAAUGAGCUAGCUGAGCUUAAGACCCAGUUGAAUGAACUAUUGAAGAAGGGUCUUAUUCAUCCUAGGUCUUCUCCUUGGGGUUCUCCAGCUGUUGGGUAUUUUAAACGCAAAUAGAAAAAUCUGCAAGCGCACGGAUACCGAUGUAGCCUUCACCCAAGAGUAUUCCAGAGUAUCGAUUUUCCACAGAGAACGUGAGUGUACUAAUUAAGAUCCAAGAUCGCCCAAGGAUAACUAUGUAAUUAUUUUUGGUGGGAAGAGAGGAAGUUUCCUGAGAGUUCUCUAGUUGAUCUAAGAAUCAUGAAUUACUUCAAGAUUAUCUAUAUCGGGACAUCAGAGCACUAACCACAGAAAGAGAUGAGAAGGGGGCUAGGAAGGUCUGACCACGGUCCUACAAACACCGAUCCGAACGAGGUGGAAUACGUCGACCGUUAGGGCUGUCACUACCCUAAGGCUACCACAACAAUCCGCAGGAUUGGGUGCAAUUCCAGGUAAUUGCAAGACUAAACACCAUGUCUAAUCUAUUAAUUACUACUCUAGCGUUAUAAAAACUAGAGCACUUGAUGCAAGCGGGAAUCCAAUAAAUAACUUGAAUGUAAAUAAAAGUAAUUAAAGAACUCAGGAAUUGUGAAUUAAAGAACCUGGAGAACGAUGAAGAACGAACCAGAUGCUGCAAAAGUACAAUGUUGAGAAAGAUCCGACAGACCCGGCUCCUCCUCCGCUCUCCUCUUCUCUCUCCCUAUUUUCUAGAUUACAACUAGAACUAACUAGAACUAGAAUUAGAGGAACUAGAACUAGAACUAGAACUAGAUGAACUAGAACUAGAUCUAGAUGAACUAGAGGUAGAACUAGAAGAACUAGAGGGAUCCUCUCUACUUGGAUGAAGAAUGAAACCCUAGCAUUGAUUCUGUAGAAGAGGUAUGAUCUCCAGGGGCCAGGGGGCCUUUCUUAUAUAGUCUAUUCAAAUGAAUCUGGGCCGUCGGAUCAAACCGACAUUAAUCGCAUGGUUUUCCUUGAUCCUUUAGGUCGGUGGAGCGUGGUCUGCGAAUCGGGUCCGAUUUGGACACUGUAGCUGGGCGGGCGCCCUAAGGACUUGGGCAGGCGCCCUGUCCCUGAGUCCUCUCGGCCUCCGCUUCGUUCCCGUGGCUUCUGGAGUCUUCUAGGUGAUAGAAAAUUGCGUGGCACGUUAAUAUCUCUAUGUAAACCCGACGUGUGGGCCUUUCUUCCGUAUUUCCUGAUAACCCCUGUUGACGGUCCUUAAUGCUCACAUUUAACCAUCAAUUAAUCAUGGAAAAGGAUCUAAAUGCAACCAACACCUAGACUUAGGGUUUUAUCUGAUAGAAUUCUAUGAGUUUUGGUGUUUGUCUAUUUCUGCAGGUGGUUAUCAGGAAAUACGGAAGAAAGGCCCACACGUCAGGAUUACAUAGAGAUAUUAACGUGCCGCGCAAUUUUCUACCAUCUAGAAGACUCCAGAAGCCACGGGAACGAACGGGAAUGAAAUCGGGCUCGGAGGGAGGGCGCCCGCCCAACUCUCCUGGGCGCCCGCCCAGCUAUAGUGCCCAAUCAGGACACGUUUCGCGGAUCAUGCUCCACCGACCUAAUACUUCAAGGAAAACCACACGAUCAAUGUCGGUUUGAUCCAACGUUCCAGAUUCAUCUGGAAAGACUAUAUAAGCAAGGCCCCCUGGCCCCUGGAGAUCAUACCUCUUCUACAGAAUCAAAGCUAGGGUUUCAAUUCUUCAUCCAAGUAGAGAGGAUCUCUCUAGUUCUUCUAGUUCUACCUCUAGUUCAUCUAGAUAUCUAGUUCUAGUUCAUCUAGUUCUAAUUCUAGUUCCUCUAGUUCUAGUUCUAGUUAGUUCUAGUUGUAAUCUAGAAAAUAGGGAGAGAGAAGAGGAGAGCGGAGGAGAAGCUGGAUCUGUCGGAUCUUCCUCAACAUUGUACUUUUGCAGCAACUGGUUCAUUCUUGAUUGUUCUCCAGGUUCUUCAAUUCAUAAUUCCUGAGUUCUCUAAUUACUUUUAUUUACAUUCAAGUUAUUUAUUGGAUUCCCGCUUGCAUCAAGUGCUCUAAUCUUUGAAACAUUAGAGUAGUAAUUAAUAGAUUAGACGUGGUGUUUAGUCUUGCAAUUACCUGGAAUUGCACCCAAUCCUGCGGAUUGUUGUGGUAGCCUUAGGGUAGUGACAGCCCUAACGGUCGACGUAUUCCACCUCGUUCGGAUCGGUGUUUGUAGGACCGUAGUCGGAGCUUCCUAGCCCCCUUCUCAUCUCUUUCUGUGGUUAGUGUUCUAAUGUCCCGAUAUAGAUAAUCUUGAAGUAAUUCUUGAUUCUUAGAUCAACUAGAGAACUCUCAGGAAACUUCCUCUCUUCCCACCAAAAAUAAUUAUAUAGUUAUCCUUGGGCGAUCUUGGAUCUUAAUUAGUACACUCACGUUCCCUGUGGAAAAUCGAUACUCUGGAAUACUCCCGGGUGAAGGCUACAUCGGUAUCCGUGCGCUUGCGGAUUUUUCUGUUUGCGUUUAAAAUACCCAACAAGCUUUCUGGCGCCGUUGCCGGGGAACGGUAGCUGUGCUAGUUUCGAACCAAGUCGUCCGUGUAUCCUUUUUCUUUUCCUUUUUCACCACACUCACCUUAUCAUUUUCACCAUACCACAUGGAUUUCACUCGAAGCAUUAAUGAGCAUAGAAUUUAUUUCAUAGCCACUUUAUUUACUCCAUGCUCAUAUGCAACAUCUUCACAAUCCAUUUGUCUCUCCAACAUCACCACAUUCGAGAUCUCCAACCCCCACUUCCUUUCUAUUUAUAGAAACAUUAAAAGGGCGGUUGUCGAUGCAUAUGUCUAUAUCAAAUAUUGCAGAUCUCGUUGAGUUGAUCUUGAUAUAGGUCAGCGUUGGAGGGGGAACCACUUCGCUGACAUAAAUUGAUGGUUUCCCAAGGACAAGCUUAGUGUCCUAAAACAAGCACUGAUCAGAUUGUAACAUGAGCUUUUAAUUAUUUGCAACAUACCUUGUGUAUUGAGCAUAUAAGGAUAAUUGUAAAAAAUAUUCCUUCGGGUAUUCUUGUCACUAACCUUUCCAGGAUUGGAGCAAGAAGAUCGGAUGAAUGACAAGCACAAGGUAUGUCCAACCAAUCAUCAUACAACAUUUAAUUAAAUUCAUCCAAACUUGAAUUUUGCAAAAUUCAAGCUUGGGGGAGUACUUUACAUAAAAACAUUCUUUGCCAUGUUGCUAUGUUGGUUGUCCCUACCUUUGAGACAUGCUCAAUUUGUUAAAUAGUAAUCACACUACUUCAUCUCCACUUGAGUAGAUCUCUAUAAAAGCCAUCACGCUACCUUUGUUUAUCUUAGCAAGUGUUAGUUUGGAAGUACUGUACAUACUUCUAUUGGUUUUUAAAUUAAGCAUGGUGCUUAGGUUAAACAGCUUUCCUUAAUCUAAUUAGACAUGGAGUCUAGUUUGGUUAUUGAACUAAAAACUGCUUGUGUAGACAUUGGUAUAUUUUGUCAGACUAACCCCUGCAGAAAAAAAAGAAAACUUUCAAUAUCGACCUGGGAAGUCCUGAGAUAAACUCAUAUUGGAGACAAAGAGAGACACACAUGAAGUUUAACAAUUUACACAAGGAAGACAUAGCUCACAAGAGAUGAUCCAUGGAGGGUGCCACCAACACGAUGCAUAACCGCAAAGAAAGGAAAGCUUCCAUAAGGUAAUACUGUACCAUCACUCUUCAAGAAAGGUAACAUCUUAAGGUACUUGACUAUCACUUCUAUAAGCUUCUCCUUAUUUCUGGCAUUCACAUGAGUAAAAGAGACAAACAUGUAAGAUUUACAACUCUAGAUUAACCAACCCAAUCGAUUCAAUAUGUUUAGUCCUUCCACCUUUGUGAUCCCACACUCCUAAUCAUAUGAGCUAAAAUAUUGCACACUCAAUCUUUGGAAGAUAUAUAUAUAUAUAUAUAUAUAUAUAUAUAUAUAUAUAAACAUAAGUAUAGAUAGAUUAUCUUUCCAUUAGGUUGAGUGAUCUGAUCUAACAAAUGUUUUAAAUGCUACACUCAUGAUCUUAUUAUCCAUCAACUGUGUCUUGCUCACGAUGCUUAAGGAUAGAGAAGAGCAAAUACACUUUUGGUUCUAUUGGUGUUUUCCACCAACAGGGCCCAUGCACUUGAUCUCUGCCUUGUCUCUAUGAGCAGGUACACUUCAAGCAAGAUAUGAGGGACUUUUAUAACUCCCACACUCCACCAAGUGAAGAACCUAGAUCUACGAGCACAAACACACUGGAGAUAUUGGACACUCAGGCAAUCACUACCCUGAGAUGCUUGAGGACAUAACUACUGGAGUAACCCUGUUGUGGAAGUAAUUACUGACCUUCUGCCGGUCAAGAGAUACAACCCAGGACGUCCCGUCAUCCCGAUCUCCAUCGGCAUGGUGGACUUCCUAGAAGCACUCUGCAACUUUGGCUCCAGCGUCAACAUUAUGCUCCGGGUACUCUAUGAAAAAUUCAUUACACAUCCUUUCCUGGAAACAACCAUGUGUUUGCAGCUUGCAGAUCAGACACUAAGUUUCCCAAAGGGAAUAUUGAAGAACCUCUACGUCCGAGUUGGUACCUUAUACGCUCCAGCAGACUUCAUGGUGAUAGAGAUUGAUACUGAUGAGAGGGCACCCAUCAUCCUAGGGAGGCCAUUCCUGAACACCUCGGGAGCUGUCAUCUACGCUAGUGCUGCCAAGAUCAGUUUCUACAUCAAGGGAAGGACAGAGACAUUUUCCUUCAAGAACAAGACUACACAAAUCUUAGAGCAAUCCUGACAUGAACCAAGGAAGGACCAACAGGAGGAACAGGAACAAGCAAAUGUGGACCAAGUCAGCUAAGAUGGUCACUGCAGUUCAAGGAGGUCAACACCGUCGACUUAAGUCAUCGUUCCUGACCAAAAAGGACGACCCAGUCACCUAUCAGCUCCUAUUCGGAACCAUACCCCUGAAACCGACAUACAUUUAGCUCCAGAUGGCAGAUCAGACAUUCCGAAAGAUUGAAGACAAGUACGAUCCACCCAUCAUCCUCGGAAGACCGUUCCUCAGCACCGUUAAAGCAAUCAUCUACAUUGGAACUAGAGAAGUCCACAUGCAUUUCCCCUCUGAGAAGGUACGCCGCUAUUUUACUGACCCUAACUAUAUAGUUGAAGACUCUAAGCAGGUCAGGACAAGAAGAAGACGACGCAACCGUAACCAGAGGAGGCGAAUCAUCAAGGACGGAUGGGCAGACUACGAAGGAGAAGUAGUAAUGUCUGAAGACAUACAACUUGAACAGAACUGUCCUAAGGAGACCGUAGCACCGAGUUAGGUGUGCAGAGAGAAGAUAGUUAUACAUGAAGAGGAGGCACCGCCGGAACCACCGACUACGCCAUCUAGCAAAUCCCAGGACGACUCAGGAAACGGAGAGUCCCGUUCGGAGGACUUAAAAACACCGAACGCCUUGCCAAGAGGUAAACUUGGUAGUUAUAUUUUUUCUUUCAAUUAUUUAAAAUAGUUUGCUUAGUUAAUCAGGUUCACAUCAUCUUGAGAAGAAAAUAAAAAUGUUGAAGAUAGUAAGCCCCAUGUGAGUGUGCUCAUGGCAUAAAACCCAUAAGUACAUUCACUGUGGUGGCAUAAAAAUGAAAUAAAUAUAUUCCUGUCCUAUAAAAAUAAAAUUAUAAAAAUAAAAUUAUGAUCCUACUAAUGAGUAACAUUUAUUGAGGAGGCUCAACAUGAUAAAGGCUAUAUAUUUAUGCUAACACUUAACUAGUUCCACAAAGCUUUGUUGUUUAUUUGAGCUCCACAGAAUUCAAGGAUCAAAGAAGACUAGCAGACGAUGGACAUCCUAAUCGCUGUCAGGGUGCUGCCGACAUUCAAAUACACCUCCACCACCUGCUAGCUACAUCAGAAGAAAUUACAUCAAAAUCCAGCUUGGGGGAGAGCACUUCCAUUUAUCCAGCUAAGUGUUUCUACUCGCGAUUAUACUUUACUCAAAUAAUAAAAAGAUGCAUAAUCAUAAAAACCCAAAUAAAGAUUUUGUGCUUAUAUAUAUCUUUGCUUAGUUUGCUGAAUAAAUAAAUAAAUAAAUAAAGUUUGCUAUGAACCCUCAUGAUAAGCUCUGACAUGGAAAUGAUGAAUAAUUGCUCUGCCAUGGCUAGUUCUCAAAAUUGAAAUCUCUCUCAAGUUUAGGCAUGACUUGUAUUAGUUAAGAUUUGCUCUAAACCUGAACUUGUGGGGAGAGUACUUGAUUUGAAGUCUAAGUCGUUAACGGAUAUGAUAUGGGAAGGUUGAGCUACUAUUUAUCUGUUCCUAGAGAUGCUAGAAUUCUGGAGAACUUUAUCUUUGAAAAUCUUUAAAAUGUUGCAUGAUGAGUUCCUGUAUGAUGAGAGUUUAAAUUCCUACCACAGCCAUAUAUACAUGCUUGCUAGACUUUGAGCCACACAUUUACUUUUUACUGCUUAUGAGCAUUGAGUGUGGUCAUGCUGUGUAGACCCUUAGGAGCUUGUCAUGUGGUUAAGUCAAGAUUCAUUUGCACGUUCACUCACACAUGCUGCUUCUACUCCGGAAGUACGCAUCCACAUAUAUCUACCCAUUUCCAUCUCCAGAAUUACCUAAAAGUAUUCUACUCCUAAUCCGGGAGAGAAUAGCCAAAAACAUUUUCCUAUUUCUGUUUUCCCCUGUGAAAUAAAUGCUCAAGUUAUCUUGGUUACUACCACUUGCUAUAUUAUUUCAGGAGAUGAGUGCUCUAAAAAAAAGAGAGAGAAAAAAAAAGAAAAAAAAUACGAGGAAAUAAAAAGGGGCAAGUGCCCGGAACCUCGAGAGAAAGAAAAAGUGAGACGAGAGGUAAAAAUGGACAAGUGUCCGACAGUAGAAUUAAGGGUACAAGAUACCCACGUGAGAGAAAAAGAAAAUAUAGAGCAUCUCAUUCUCCUCAAAAAGUUUCAAAAGAGCAAGAAAGGUAUGUAUCCCCUCAAAAGAGCACAAGUAGAAUUAGACUUUCACCAUUGUUAUUACCAUCAUCACCAUACAUCAUUCAUUCGCCACACAUGCACAUCUUGAUUUGACUUAUGGACUUGUUCUUCUAGAUCCAUGGUUUGACUAUGCAAUAAAUGUCUUGUAAGUAUGUAUUAGCUAUCUCCCACCUAUGAGCUCCAGAUAUCAAAACCUUAUUAGAGUAGGGUGAGAGAGAAGGCAAUGCCACUAUGCCUCUUACCAAAAAUACUACAUACUUUGAGAGAAGGCAUAUACCAUUACUGCCUUGGUUAGGAUCCAGAAAUACCACAAAAGAGAGACUAGAGAGAGUCAUACAAGGAAUCUCUGAGUUUUAUUUGAAAAUCUGCAAAAACUCCAGAGCUAUAGUUAAUCGAAGAACAAGAGACAUGGUACUUGACUAGACUGUUCUAUCUUUUAACUACUCAAGACAGAAGUGGCGGUUACAAGUCCCAUGGUGAAAGGUAAAAUGAGUAAGUUAUAAAUCUUAACAGAUUACCCUAACCCAGAGAUGAGAUCUUGUUUGAACGAAUGUGUAUUUUUAAGGCAUAAAACCACUGCAGAAACUCUUGAGUCCAUCUUUGCUCAGGGACGAGCAAAGGUUAAGCUUGGGGGAGCUUGUUGAUGGUCCUUAAUGCUCACAUUUAACCAUCAAUUAAUCAUGGAAAAGGAUCUAAAUGCAACCAACACCUAGACUUAGGGUUUUAUCUGACACAAUUCUACGAGUUUUGGUGUUUGUCUAUUUCUGCAGGGGGUUAUCAGGAAAUACGAAAGAAAGGCCCACACGUCGGGAUUACAUAGAGAUAUUAACGUGCCGCGCAAUUUUCUACCAUCUAGAAGACUCCAGAAGCCACGGGAACGAACGGGAAGGAAAUCGGGCUCGGAGGCAGGGCGCCCGCCCAACUCUCCUGGGCGCCCGCCCAGCUACAGUGCCCAAUCAGGACACGUUUCGCGGAUCAUGCUCCACCGACCUAAUACUUCAAGGAAAACCACACGAUCAAUGUUGGUUUGAUCCAACGGCCCAGAUUUAUCUGAAAAGACUAUAUAUGCAAGGCCCCCUGGCCCCUGGAGAUCAUACCUCUUCUACAGAAUCAAAGCUAGGGUUUCAAUUCUUCAUCCAAGUAGAGAGGAUCCCUCUAGUUCUUCUAGUUCUACCUCUAGUUCAUCUAGAUCUAGUUCUAGUUCAUCUAGUUCUAGUUCUAGUUCCUCUAGUUCUAGUUCUAGUUAGUUCUAGUUGUAAUCUAGAAAAUAGGGAGAGAGAAGAGGAGAGCGGAGGAGGAGCCGGAUCUGUCGGAUCUUCCUCAACAUUGUACUUUUGCAGCAACUGGUUCGUUCUUCAUCGUUCUCCAGGUUCUUCAAUUCAUAACUCCUGAGUUCUCUAAUUACUUUUAUUUAUAUUCAAGUUAUUUAUUGGAUUCCCGCUUGCAUCAAGUGCUCUAAUCUUUGAAACAUUAGAGUAGUAAUUAAUAGAUUAGACGUGGUGUUUAGUCUUGCAAUUACCUGGAAUUGCACCCAAUCUUGCGGAUUGUUGUGGUAGCCUUAGGGUAGUGACAGCCCUAACGGUCGACGUAUUCCACCUCGUUCGGAUCGGUGUUUGUAGGACCGUAGUCGGAGCUUCCUAGCCUCCUUCUCAUCUCUUUCUGUGGUUAGUGUUCUGAUGUCCCGAUAUAGAUAAUCUUGAAGUAAUUCUUGAUUCUUAGAUCAACUAGAGAACUCUCAGGAAACUUCCUCUCUUCCCACCAAAAAUAAUUAUAUAGUUAUCCUUGGGCGAUCUUGGAUCUUAAUUAGUACACUCACGUUCCCUGUGGAAAAUCGAUACUCUGGAAUACUCCCGGGUGAAUGCUACAUCGGUAUCCGUGCGCUUGCGGAUUUUUCUGUUUGCGUUUAAAAUACCCAACAACCCCCUGCAGAAAUACACAAACACCAAAACUCGUGGAAUUCUGUCAGAUAAAACCCUAAGUCUAGGUGUUGGUUGCAUUUGGAUCCUUUUCUAUGAUUAGUUGAUGGUUAAAUGUGAGUAUUAAGGACCGUCAACAAGCUCCCCCAAGCUUAACCUUUGCUUGUCCCAGAGCAAAGAUGGACUCAAGAGUUUCUGCAGUGGUUUCAUGCCUUAAAAAAUACACAUUCAUUCAAAUAAGAUCUCAUCUCUGGGUUAGGGUAAACUGUUAAGAUUUAAACUUACUCAUUUUACCUUCCACCAUGGGGCCUGUAACUGUCACUUGUGUCUUGAGCAGUUAAAAGAUAGAAUGGUCUAGUCAAGCACCAUGUCUCUUGUUCUUCGAUUAACUAUAGCUCUAGAGUUUUUUUGCAGAUUUUCAAAUAAAACUCAGAGAUUCCUUGUAUGACUCUCUCUAGUCUCUCUUUUGUGGUAUUUCUGGAUCCUUACCAAGGCAGUAAUGGUGUAUGCCUUCUCUCAAAGUAUGUGGUAUUUUUGGUAUGAGGCAUAGUGGCAUUGCCUUCUCUCUCACCCCACUCUAAUAAGGUUUUGAUAUCUGGAGCUCAUAGGUGGGAGACAGCUAAUACAUACUUACAAGACAUUUAUUGUAUAGUCAAACCAUGGAUCCAGAAGAACAAGUCAAUAAGUCAAAUCAAGAUGUGCAUGUGUGGCGAAUGAAUGGUGUAUGGUGAUGAUGGUGAAAGUCUAAUUCUACUUUUGCUAUUUUGAGGUGAUACAUACCUUCCUUGCUCUUUUGAUACUUUUUGAGGAGAAUGAGAUGCUCUAUAUUUUCCUUCUUUUUUUUCUCUCAGGUGGGUAUCUUGUAUCCCUAAUUCUACUAUCGGACACUUGUCCAUUUUUACCUCUCGUCUCACUUUUUCUUUUCUUUCGAGGUUUCGGGCACUUGCCCCUUUUUAUUCUUUCACUUUUUCUUUUAUUCUUUCUUUUUUUUCUCUUUUUUUAUUAGAGCACUCAUCUCCUGAAAUAAUAUAGCAAGUGGUAGUAACCAAGAUAACUUGAACAUUUAUUUCAUAGAGGAAAACAGAAAUGUUUUUGGCUAUUCUCUCCCGGAUUAGGAGUAGAAUAUCUUUGAGUAGUUCUGAAGAUGGAAAUGGGUGGAUAUAUGUGGAUGCGUACUUCCGGAGUAGAAGCAGCAUGUGUGAGUGAACAUGCAAGUGAAUCUUGAUUUAACCACAUGACAAGCUCCUAAGGGUCUACACAGCUUGACCACACUCAAUGCUCAUAAGUAGUAAAGAGUAAAUGUAUGGUUCAUAGUGUAACAAGCAUAUAUAUAUAUGGCUGUGGUAGGAUUUUAUACUCUCAUCAUACAGGAACUCAUCAUGCAACAUUUUAAAGAUUUUCAAAGAUAAAAUUCUCCAGAAUUCUAGCAUCUCUAGGAACAGAUAAACAGAAGCUCAAUCUUCCCAUAUCAUAUCCGUUAACGACUUAGACUUUAGAUCAAGUACUCUCCCCACAAGUUUAGGUUUAGAGCAAAUCUUAAUUAAUAACAGUCAUGCCUAAACUUGAAAGAGAUUUCAAUUUUGAAAAUUAAUCAUGGCAGAGCAACUAUUCAUCAUUUCCAUGUGAGAGCUUAUCAUGAGGGUUCAUAGCAAACUUUAUUCUUUUAUUUAUUUAGCUAACUAAGCAAAGAUAUAUAUAUUUAAGCACAAAAUCUUUAUUUGGGUUUUUAUGAUUAUGCAUCUUUUUAUUAUUUGAGUAAAAUAUAAACGUGAGUAGAACAUUUAGCUGGAUAAAUGGGUGUGCUCUCCCCCAAGCUGGAUUUUGACGUAAUUUCUUCUGAUGUAGCUAGUAGGUGGUGGAGGUGUAUUUGAAAGUCAGCAGCACCCUGACAGUGAUUAGGAUGUCCUCCGUCUGCUAGUCUUCUUUGAUCCUUGCAUUCUGUGGAGCUCAAAUAGACAACAAAGCUUUGUGGAACUGGUUAAGUGUUAGCAUAAAUAUCUAGCCUUUAUCAUGUUGAGCCUCCUCAAUAAAUGUUACUCUCUUUAGUAGGAUCAUAAAUUUAUUUUUAUACUUUUAUUUUUAUAGGACAGGAAUAUAUUUAUUUCAUUUUUACGCCACCACAGAGAAUGUACUUAUGGGUUUUAUGCCAUGAGCAUACUCACAUGGGGCUUACUAUUUUUUAACAUUUUUAUUUUCUUUUCAAGAUGAUAUGAACCUGAUUAACUAAGCAAACUAUUGAAAAUAAUUGAAAGGAAAAAGAUAACAACCAAGUUUACAUCUUGGCAAGGCGUCCGGUGUUUUUUAAGUCCUCAAAACGGGACUCUCCAUUUUCUCAGUUGUCCUGGAAUUCGCUGGAUGGCGUAGUCGGUGAUUCCGGUGGCGCCUGCUCUUCGUGUAUAACUAUCUUCUCUCUACACACCUGACUCGGUGCUACGGUCUCCUCAGGACAGUUCUGUUCAAGCUGUAUGUCUUCAGACCUCACUACUUCUCCUUCGUAGUCUGCCCAACCAUCCUUGAUGAUUUGCCUCCUCUGGUUGCGGUUGCGUCGUCUUCUUCUUGUCCUGACCUGCUUCGAGUCUUUAGCUAUAUAGUUAGAGUCAGUAAAAUAGCGGCGUACCUUCUCAGAGGGGAAGUGCAUGUGGACUUCUCCGGUUUCAAUGUAGAUGAUUGCUUUAACGGUGCUGAGAAACGGUCUCCUAAGGAUGAUGCGUGGAUCAUACUUGUCUUCAACCUUUCGGAAUGUCUGAUCUGCUAUCUAGAGCUGAAUGUAUGUCGGUUUUAGGGGCAUGGUUCCGAAUAGGAGCUGAUAGGUGACUGGGUCGUCCUUUUUGGUCAGGAAUGGUGACUUAAGUUGAUGAUCUUGACCUCCAUGAACUGCAGUGACCAUCUUAGCUGACUCGGUCCACAUUUGCUUGUUCCUGUUCCUCCUGUUGGUCCUCUUCCUUGGUUCAUGUCGGGAUUGCUCUGAGAUUUGUGUAGUCUUGUUCUUGAUGGAAAACGUCUCAUUCCUCCCUCUUGAUGUAGAAACUAAUCUUGGCAGCACUAGCGUAGAUGACAUCUCCUGAGGUGUUCAGGAAUGGCCUCCCUAGAAUGAUGGGUACCCUCUCAUCAGUACCAGUCUCUAUCACCAUGAAGUCUGCUGGGGCGUAUAAGGUACCAACUUGGACACAGAGGUUCUUCAAUAUUCCUUUUGGGAAACUUAGUGUACGAUCUGCAAGCCUGGGCAUAAUGUUGACGCUGGAGCCAAAGUCGCAGAGUGCUUCUAGGAAGUCCACCAUGCCGAUGGAGAUCGGGAUGACAGGGCGUCCUGGAUCGCCUCUGAGUAGUUUGGCCUCUAUUGAUUCCAACCUUGAUUUUGUUGAGGACUGUUGUAGUAGUAGUAGUUGUUGAAGUAGUUUACGUCCUCAAGCAUCCCAGGGUAGUGAUUGCCUGAGUGUCCAGUAUCUCCAGUGUGUUUGUGCUCGUAGAUCUAGGUUCUUCACUUGGUGGAGUCUGGGAGUUGUAAAAGUCCUUUAUAUUUUGCUCGAAGUGUACCUGCUCAUAAAGACAAGGCAGAGAUCAAGUGCAUGGGCCCUGUUGGUGGAAAACACCAACAGAACCAAAAGUGUAUUUGUUCUUCUCUAACCUUAAGCAUAGUGAGCAAGACAAAGUUGAUGGAUAAUAAGAUCAUGAGUAUAACAUUUAAAACAUUUGUCAGAUCAAAUUGCUCAACCUAAUGGAAAGAUAAUCUAUCUAUAGUUAUGUUUUUUUAUAUAUAUAUCUUCCAAAGAUUGAGUGUGCAACAUUUUAGCUCAUAUGAUUAGGAGUGUGGGAUCACAAAGGUGGAAGGACUAAACAUAUUGAAUCGAUUGGGUUGGUUAAUCUAGAGUUAUAAAUCAUACAUGUUUGUCUCUUUUAUUCAUGUGAACGUCAGAACCAAGGAGAAGCUUAUAAAAGUGAUAGUCAAGUACUUUAAGAUGUUACCUUACUUGAAGAGUGAUGGUACAAUAUCACCUUGUGGAAGCUUUUCUUUCUUAGCGGUUGUGCAUCGUGUUUGUGGCACCCUCCAUGGAUCAUCUCUAGUGAGCUAUGUCUUCCUUGUGUAAAUUGUUAAACUUCAUGUGUGUCUCUCUUUGUCUCCAAUGUGAGUUUAUCUCAGGACUUCCCAGGUCGAUAUCGAAAGUUUUCUUUUUUUCUGCAGGGGUUAGUCUGACAAAAUAUACCAAUGUCUACACAAGCAGUUUUCAGUUCAAUAACCAAACUAGACUCCAUGUCUAAUUAGAUUAAGGAAGGCUGUUUAACCUAAGCACCAUGCUUAAUUUAAAAACCAUUAGAAGUAUGUAUAGUACUUCCAAACUAACACUUACUAAGAUAAACAAAGGUAGCAUGAUGGCUUUUAUAGAGAUCUACUCAAGUGGAGAUGAAGUAGUGUGAUUACUAUUUAACAAAUUGAGCAUGUCUCAAAGGUAGGGACAACCAACAUAGCAACAUGGCAAAUUAUGUUUUUAUAUAAAGUACUCCCCCAAGCUUGAAUUUUGCAAAAUUCAAGUUUGGAUGAAUUUAAUUCAAUGUUGUAUGAUGAUUGGUUGUACAUACCUUGUGCUUGUCAUUCAUCCGAUCUUCUUGCUCCAAUCCUGGAAAGGUUAGUGACAAGAAUACCCGAAGGAAUAUUUUUACAAUUAUCCUUAUAUGCUCAAUUCACAAGGUAAUAUUGCAAAUAAUUAAAAGCUCAUGUUACAAUCUAAUCAGUGCUUGUUUUAGGACACUAAGCUUGUCCUUGGGAAACCAUCAAUUUAUGUCGGCGAAGUAGUUUCCCCUCCAACGCUGACCUAUAUCAAGAUCAACUCAACGAGAUAUGCAAUAUUUAAUAUAGACAUAUGCAUCGACAACCGCCCUUUUAAAGUUUUUAUAAAUAGAAAGGAAGUGGGGGAUGGAGAUCUCGAAUGUGGUGAUGUUGGAGAGACAAAUGGAUUGUGAAGAUGUUGCAUAUGAGCAUGGAGUAAAUGAAGUGGCUAUGAAAUAAAUUCCACGCUCAUUAAUGCUUAGAGUGAAAUCCAUGUGGUGUGAUGAAAAUGGUAAGGUGAGUGUGGUAAAAAAGGAAAAGAAAAAGGAUACACGGACGACUUGGUUCGAAACUAGCACAGCUACCGUUCCCCGGCAACGGCGCCAGAAAGCUUGUUGGGUAUUUUAAACGCAAACAGAAAAAUCCGCAAGCGCACAGAUACCGAUGUAGCCUUCACCCGGGAGUAUUCCAGAGUAUCGAUUUUCCACAGAGAACGUGAGUGUACUAAUUAAGAUCCAAGAUCUCCCAAGGAUAACUAUAUAAUUAUUUUUGGUGGGAAGAGAGGAAGUUUCCUGAGAGUUCUCUAGUUGAUCUAAGAAUCAAGAAUUACUUCAAGAUUAUCUAUAUCGGGACAUCAGAGCACUAACCACAGAAAGAGAUGAGAAGGGGGCUAGGAAGUUCUGACUACGGUCCUACAAACACCGAUCCGAACGAGGUGGAAUACGUCGACCGUUAGGGCUGUCACUACCCUAAGGCUACCACAACAAUCCGCAGGAUUGGGUGCAAUUCCAGGUAAUUGCAAGACUAAACACCACGUCUAAUCUAUUAAUUACUACUCUAGCAUUAUAAAGACUAGAGCACUUGAUGCAAGCGGGAAUCCAAUAAAUAACUUGAAUGUAAAUAAAAGUAAUUAAAGAACUCAGGAAUUAUGAAUUAAAGAACCUAGAGAACGAUGAAGAACGAACCAGAUGCUGCAAAAGUACAAUGUUGAGGAAGAUCCGACAGACCCGGCUCCUCCUCCGCUCUCCUCUUCUCUCUCCCUAUUUUCUAGAUUACAACUAGAACUAACUAGAACUAGAACUAGAGGAACUAGAACUAGAACUAGAUGAACUAGAACUAGAUCUAGAUGAACUAGAGGUAGAACUAGAAGAACUAGAGGGAUCCUCUCUACUUGGAUGAAGAAUUGAAACCCUAGCUUUGAUUCUGUAGAAGAGGUAUGAUCUCCAGGGGCCAGGGGGCCUUUCUUAUAUAGUCUUUUUAGAUGAAUCUGGGCCGUCGGAUCAAACUGACAUUAAUCGCACGGUUUUCCUUGAUCCUUUAGGUCGGUGGAGCGUGGUCCGCGAAACGGGUCCAAUUUGGACACUGUAGCUGGGCGGGCGCCCUAAGGACUUGGGUGGGCGCCCUGUCCCUGAGUCCUCUCGGCCUCCGCUUCGUUCCCGUGGCUUCUAGAGUCUUUUAGAUGAUAGAAAAUUGCGCGGCACGUUAAUAUCUCUAUGUAAACCCGACUGUGGGCCUUUCUUCCGUAUUUCUUGAUAACCCCCUGCAGAAAUACACAAACACCAAAACUCGUGGAAUUCUGUCAGAUAAAACCCUAAGUCUAGGUGUUGGUUGCAUUUGGAUCCUUUUCUAUGAUUAGUUGAUGGUUAAAUGUGAGCAUUAAGGACCGUCAACACCAGCUAUCUUUGUGAAGAAGAAAGAUCAAUCUUUGCGCAUGUGUGUGGACUGUCGUCCCCUGAAUGCGGUGACCGUCAAGAAUAAGUAUCCUCUUCCUCGCAUUGAUAUCUUGUUUGAUCAGUUGUCUAAAAUGAAGGUAUUCUCCAAGAUCGAUUUGCGGUCUAGGUACCAUCAGAUCAGGAUCCGUCCUGAAGAUAUACCUAAGACAGCUUUCUCGACGAGGUAUGGGUUGUAUGAGUAUCUCAUCAUGUCUUUCGGUCUUACGAAUGCACGGGCACACUUCAUGUAUCUCAUGAUGUGUUUGCAGAUCAGUAAGAUGGCCGUUGGCUUCGUCGUCCCUGAGGUCAGACUUCCAUCUCAUCUGCUGUACCUUUUUUCUGCAUUCCUGUUCAUCUGCGAUUUAUCUUACCGAAUAUUCUCCUUCUCCUUUUUCUUUGUAUCUUUAUUCCCCAAAACACUAGGAGUUAUCCAACAAAAUUGUCAUUCCUACCGAUCAACCACAUCUUCAAUGCCUCGGCCCUCUAGGGGAUCCAGAUCCAACCGACCUUAUCAAUGCAGAAACCAACAGGAUUCCCUUUAGAGCUGAAAACUUUGCUUUAGAUCUAUGGAAGGACACCUUUCGCUCUUGGCCCAGCCCUACUGCAGGGUGGAAAGACUGGUUCUUGAGGGUCAGUAACUCUUAUGAAGUUCAAUGGGGUGAGAGGAAAUUAGCUCAAUGCAUUAGGCUGUCCAUUGCCGAUAUGCACAGGAACGAGUCAUUGCUGAUAGCUGCAUCUUACUUUUGGUCAGACACUCUCAAUGCUUUUGUUUUUGGCCACGGCCCUGCUUCUCCUACCCUUGCCGAUGUAGCCAUGCUUACUGGGUUAGAUAUAUCUUCCGCCGAUAGCACCCACUUUUUUGAUACCGCCCCCAGUGCCAAAGUGGAGACUCGCGCUACCGGCGGUUGGUCAGGGUACAUCCAGAAGUACCGCGGGAGAGGGCCUGUCACCAUAAAGGAGCAAACCACCUUUCUGAACAUGUGGCUAGACAAGUUUGUAUUCUGUGGUCGAUCGGCAGGACCGACUUCUGUCUAUCUAUCGGCAGCAGAAAGACUGGCUAGCGGUGGUCAAUUUCCUCUCGGCCGUUAUUUGCUCGGCGCUGUUUAUCACCUUCUUCAUCAGGUAGUCCAGAAACUCCUGCUCGGCCAACCUAUCGGCAACUUGGGAGGUCCUUGGUGGUUUAUUAAUAUGUGGCUCAAUUUGCACCUGCACAAGCGCCUCGAUCUCAACUUGUUCUCUCAGCACUUCCCAAGAGAUAUAGCCGAGAACCAUGUGUUGGGUGAAGAGGAAUCGGCAACACGUGCCCCCCUGAACUUUGGCGAAGCUGUUAUAGUUUUACCCGGUUCAGGGAACACUCCGGAUCAGAUCGGCCGAUUCUUCGAGACGUUGUAUGAAGGUCUGGCCAGAGAUGAACGACCAUGGCUGGCUUAUGACGACCCAGAUAGCAUGCUCCCUCUAACCUUCAAUCCGUUUGACGAAGCUCUUGAUAGGGACAAUGAGGUGAUGAUGGCAAUCGUGACUCCCAGAGCCAUACCAGUGAAUUUCUUCGGCAGCACGAAAACCUCUCCCCAAACCUAUGAAUUUUAUAAUCCAUCGGCAUUAGCUCGCCAGCUAGCUUUCGGCAAAUUGCCGAUCGCACUUCCUUAUGCCGAUGUAAUAAAGCCGAGAGAACCCAUCGCCAACCUCCUCGAGUGGACUCGAGUAGCCCAGCUACCACCAAAUGCCGAUACGGAUGUAGAUCUGUCAGAAUGGGUUCCAGCCGCCUUUAUCACCCAGGCAUACAAACUAUGGUGGACAGAAUGGAAAGAGAAUCUGUUCUGCAGAUCGGCCCUCUCAUACCGCGGCAUGAUCGACCCCGAAUAUGAAGUCCCUGAUGACACUGUAAGUAUUUUGAACUGAUGUCUCAUUUUCCAAUAUUACUCCCAUCGGUAACUUACCCCUGUAUUCCUUUUGCAGAUUGACAACACCCCCCCAUCAGUCAGCAGGAGUGGCAAGCCGAUCGACUUCUUCCCAUCAGGCCCGAUCUCCUCAAUCGGCCAUAAUGCUCCCACUCUGGCUUCCAUCGUGCACCGGGGUGCGCGUCUCAAGAAAGUUACCACCAGGAAAACUCCACCGGUAACUGCUUCCACUCUGGCGCAAGCUUUCAAGGCAAUCUGUUAAAACCUUUUUUCAUCUACGCUGACUAUCUUUGUAUCGGCUGUCUGUGCUCAUAAACUCCUUUUUGUUGUCGCAGCAAACUGGUGCAUCGGCGAAAGUCAAACGCCAAGGCGCCGAUGCCCCCCAGUCUAGCCAGCCAAAGAGGAAGGGCAUCCACGGUGCUAAGGCUGGAACAAAGCGCCAGAAAGUGGCAACUCCUCCUCCUCCUCCGGUGUUUUCAAUCCCGGUGGAAUCUUCCCCUUCUUCUCCAGACGUCCAGGCACAGCAAGUACUAUCUCUACAACCAACACAGGAAGCACCACAGAUGGAAGAACCCCAACAGGAAGAACCUCAAACGGCAGGUAUGUCAACUGAUGUAGGUGAACAAACAACUGGCCCGGCAGGUACAGUUACAUCAUCGGCGGUCUCCUCAAUUCAAACAACUGUUGUUUCUCCUCCGGGUAACAUAUCUCAACAAUACUCCUACUGAUAAACUUAUUCUCAUUUAUUCUUAUAAUCCUUCCUGCCUUCUUUCAGGCGAUAUCGUUCUAUCGGCAACAUUUGCCGAUCAACCUGCAGCUCCAUCGGCUUCUCUGAGUCAAAGGCAAGAAAUCGCCUUGAAGCAAGUAAGUCAUCCACUUUUCCAUCAGUAUCGUCUGCCGAAGUUUUGACCAUAAAAUUGACCUAUUUCAUUUUCAUUUUCAGGAACAAGAUUCUCCCAACAGCUUGUUCUCCUUCGCUAUUGAUAUCUUCGAAGAAGAAGGCGAGGAAGUAAGCUCCUCUCGGGCAGUUGGAAUUGUAUCGGCAGAAACCAGAGCUAAGCUGGAGGAGCUAUCGGCCAUACUUCAUCAAGACACAACUCAACUAGUCAACGAUUCUGACCCAGCCAAGGCCCUGUUCAAGACUCUUAGAGGCCAAAUUCCUGCCGAUGCUGAAGAAACACUCUUCCACGCUGCACAUCUAGAAAGCCGCCAGCUACAGUACCAGAGAGCUACUCGACGCCUUGCCGAUAGAGCUGCUCAAAUCCAGCUCUCUGAGGAGAUGAUGAAAGAAAAACUCUUAGCUGAUGAGAAACAUAAGAACAUCGGCACCUUAAAGUCCUCAGGUGAUGCACUGAAGCAGAAAGUGUCUGAUCUAUCGGCAAAAAGAGAAGCUCUGCUGGCUGAACUCAAGCAAGUAGAAGACGCUCUGUCCCAAGCCCAGCAAGAAGAGAGUCAACUGCCGGAGACCAUCAAGCAUCUUGAACAGGAACGAAACGUCCAUGGUCGCAAAGCGCUGCAACUGAAGAGGAAGUUGAAGCCGAUCGAAGGUUCUGCCGAUGAUGAUAUCAAAGAGAUAGAGACAGCCAACCAGAUUCGGCUGCGCGCCAUAUCCGCAAUCCAAGCGCUGCUGAACAUCUGAAGCUUUCAUCGGCGACACACCUUUGUCUCUCCGCUUUUAGCUUUUAGUCUAGCCGAUAAGACUGUUAUCGGCAUCUUUUGAAACAUUAAGUCUGCCUUUGAACAUUUAAAUCCAGCCGAUAGGAGUGUUAUCGGCACUUAAACUUUUAUGCGUCGAUCCAUAUGCUGGGGUAGUACUUCUUCAAAUAUUUGCCAUUUAAUGCUCUGGGAAAUUCAACUCCUUCGAGAGUUUCUAGAAUAUAGGCAUUACCAGGAGCUGAGUGUCUUAUCCGAUAAGGACCUUCCCAAUUAGGAGACCACUUCCCAAACUUUGAACUUUUAGUCCCGACUGGCAAAAUCAACUUCCAUACCAAAUCCCCAUCGGCAAACUCCUUAGCCUUCACUUUUUUAUCAUACCAUCUAGCAACUCUCUUCUUAUUUUCUUCUAUACUCAUUAAGGCCUUUAACCGAUGUCCCGCUAAAUCAUCUAACUCAUCGGUCAUCAAAGUGGCAUAAUCAUCGGCAGCCAAUUGAUCUUGAAAAGAUAAUCGCCUAGACCCAGCCUUAAUCUCCCAAGGCAACACCGCAUCAUGUCCAUACACCAAUUGAUAGGGUGACACCUUGGUUGAUCCAUGGCAAGCCAUCCGAUAAGACCACAGCGCUUCAUUUAACACUGUAUGCCACCGCUGUCACAGAACCGACCAAAUUAUAAGAGUUCAAGUGCAGAAACGAUCGUCAAACAAUCAAGUUUCUAGACUUGAGCCCAUAUAAUCCCGGUAGUCAAUCGAAAUCACGAAGGACUUCAAACCAACUCGCAACAAACCAAGAUCGUAAUAGUUCAACAUAAACACAACGAAUGUUACAUAGUCAUUCAUUGCCGUCGAAGCGGCACCACAUCGGAGUAUUAAGUUAUUACAACACAUGUUCGAAGUAGCGGAAGCAAAAUAAGUACACACACUUGUUUAAAGCUCAGUUCACAAGCUUGUUACUGCCAGAGUCUAGGUCAUCCUUCCAAAAGCAUCAUAGAUGAGAAGAUUAGAGAACCGUGCCCAACGGUUAGUCCUCAUCCCCAGCGGGAUGGAGACAGGUCUUGCAGAAACCGUCAUAGAAGAUAUCAUCUGCAACAGGUGGGAAUAAACCCUGAGUACGAGGAUGUACUCAGCUAGACUUACCCGUCUAGUAAAACACAAAAGACACCAAGGAUCAUGCAAGGCUACAUUUUAAGUGGAGCUGACUGACUCACCUUUUUGCCAAAAGCUUAACUUACAACUAAAUCAUUUUAAGAGCAUCAAUUUAUUUAUCAACAGCCUACCACUAGAUUAGCACCUGUACUACAACACAUCACUUGAUUAUUACAAACAAUAGUAACCAUAUCAAAAUUCAUCAUAUGUUCUUCAUGCUAUCAUUGUUAUCAUGAACCAAGUUUAUUAGUGAAUGCUACGUUUGCCGCUGCUCUGUCAAGUUCUCACUAACCGGGAGAGACGGCGAUUCGAAUCGAAUUCCUAUCCAGCUGGAGGUUUACUCCUAGCACUCACCCAAGCAUCCCCUGCCGGAGAGCCAACGGGUUACCUUUGGUACAACUCAGGAAUCGCGGCUCCGAUCAGCGCCGCACUCCCAGGGCUACCACUCUGCCAGGGAGGUCAGGAAUUUUAACUCACCUGCCUUUGGGCUUACGCCAAUGGUCCCCCGCACACCGCACUUCCUCCGGUAGUGCGCACUUUAUACUUGCCGGUCUUCCGGCCUGAGUCAUACUACUCGGCUUCGCGGUCGGAACGAGUUAUCCGGCCAACUAAGUGUCAGGCAUGCGUUCAACAUGACAAGAGGACGUACAACGAUCGGUCCUUAGCUGCCACAGACGGAGUUACUACACACUUGCAAAACUCCGCCCGGCUUAAGUCAAUUUGAUCAGGUUCCAUCCACGAUAGCACAUAUAGACCAUCGUGAUCCGACACAACCCUAUAUCGCGCGGAUGACAGGAUAUCACCCGACUUCUACCGGUUUAAGCAUGACUAAGCUGCUACUCGAUCCUAACUCUACAACCAGGGAGGGUAAGUUAUCUGGACAAGGAUAGAGUAGGAUGCAGCAACAGUUUCAUCACAACUCCUAUACGUAAUGCAUCAAUAGAUAUAACGUAUUAAGUAAACUUUCGAAAAUAGAGGAGGCUUAAAAUGCUCCGGGGCUUGCCUUUCACGAACGAUGCCGGCUCGUGACUUGGGCACUCAACUUCUUCUUCGGGCUCCUCGAGUCCGGCUUGCUGGACCUCCACCUCCUGGCUGCCUUCCUGGCCUUCGGGAUUCGCUUGGAGCUCGAAGGAAACUGCCACGUCCGGUGCACCUAUUGCAUGCUCGAUGAAUGAGAAAGUGCACAUGCUACAGAUGAAUGCUUAACAACACAAGCAACUCACUGGACACUCAUUUACGGAACAAGAGUUAUACUAACUCACAUGAAUAAACAAGUUAACAUAACCCAAAACCUAUCAUGGCACUAAAGCAGCAAGCAACAUAAACAAGUAUGCUCAGUAAAUAAAUCAUAAGUAUAGAUAGACAGGUCCAACAACAUGAGUGAGGACAUUCUGGAAAGCUUAGGAAAUUGUCUACAACUCAUCUUUAAACAUGACAGCAAGAUUCAAACAUUAAAUUAGUCUUUUUAACAAAGUUCCAGAUCCUGUUCCAGAAAAACAGAGAACCCCUAUUUCUGGAACCCAACUUGGAACAGCUAUAACUUUUAAACUACUUGGCCAAAUGACCUCAAAUUUAAACCACAGUUAGUUCAACAAGUUUAGAACAACUUUGUUUUAUAUAAGUUUCACAGAAAGUCAACUUAUCAUUAAGCAAAGUUAAAUUAUUCACUUGCUGUCCAAACAGCAUUUAACCCUAUAGUUAAUUAUUUAAUGACAUGAUCAAAGCAUAAACUAGGCCAACCAUAUGACUCAUGAGCACAAACAUAAUACAAGGUCACCAGAUCAUCAGUUGAAAACCCCAAAACAAUUACUUAACAAGGCAUUUAUUAAUUAAUUUUAGAUAAGGCAUAUUUACAAGAUAUUAGUUAAAGUGCUCAGAAAAAUCUACAAAAAUUACAGAGGCACAAGGAUAACAUCAGAUCACCACCAUAAAAAUUUCAGGACCAAUGCACAUACCAAAUUAAAGAUAUGCAUUUAACAUGUAUCAAGGCAUUUAUUUCAUAAAUUCAUAAACAUGACUUAUAUAAUGUCAAACAACAGAUUUCAGAUUAUUUACAUCUUAGGAAUACCAUAAACAAGUUUACCACCAAAAUAGAGCACCAGCAUAAGCACCAAUUAUUUUAUGUAAUUUAAUUAAAGAAACAAGCCAUAUUUCAAACACAAAUUACAUAUCACCACUGCAGUGCUCCAAAAAUCAUGAAAUAUUUAUCAGAGCACCCUAAUGCCAUGCAAAGACUACCAUAAAAUUUUCAAAGCAAACUAAGCAGUAUAACCAGAGAUAUGCAUUUAUCCAUAAAUAACAAGAUUAAAUCCUUAAUAAAUAAUUUCCCAGAAAACAUGAUUCAUUUUAUAUUUUUAUUAAAUACUAUCCAUCUCAAGAAACAACACAAAAUUUGUUUCACAAUUUUUGGAUCUCAGAAACAGGAGAUAUGAUUUUUGCAAGAAAGCCAAAAAUCAGGAUUUUGAAUAAAAGAAAAGGAGGGAAAGAGAGAGUCGCUGACAGGGGGUCCCACCCGUCAGGCUCUUCUUCCUCACGGCCGAGGCGAUCUUCGCCGGCGAUUUCUCCGCGACGGCGAGGUCUCCGGCCAAACCCAGGGCAUCAACGUGAUCCCCAAACCCUAACGACUCGAUUGACCCUACUUUUGCCACGGCGGAGCCACCGGAAGGAGCUCACCGUCGACAAUGGCGGCUCGGCGGAGGUGCUCGGCGUUACGCCGGAGUCCUCAGGCCGGUAGAGCGUGACCUAAGGCCUUCUACAGCACCAGCAGACUAAGGCGAAGCUCCCUAGGUACACGGCUUGGCCUGGAUCCCCGUGGAAAGCGCUGGCCACGAGAGGACCCAACUCCGGCGGAAGCACAGCGGCGCUGCGCACCGUGUCCGGCGACGGAGAACCCGGUAGAGCGUCCACCAGGUGGCGCAAAAGCUCGCUAAGGACCUAAGCUACCUCUAGGACCUAACCAAGGACGAUGAGAAGCCUCACAGCGCUCGGCAUUGAGUUCGCCGGAGAAGAGGGUCACGGCGGACCGAUUUGGGGGAAGAAAGAAAUGUCGGCUCACCGGUGGGUCUCUCGGCGAGUUAGAGGGUGGAGCUUGGAGAGCGGCUCACGGCGGAGCUUUGGGUGGAGUUUGGUGGACGGGGACGCAGAGAGGAGCGCACACGAGCUCGCCGGAGUGAGCUCGCGGCGGAGAGCUCGCUGCGGGCGAGGUUCAGGCGAGAGAGGGCGAGGCAGAGCGAAAUGGACGCGUCCACGCGCUCGGGGCGACGCCGUGGUGGUCAUGCACGCGACGAGAGCUGACAAGCGGGGCCAGGAACGGCGUACGGGCGCCAAAUGGCGACGGAGCGCUGCCGGCGGUCGGCCACGUCGACGAGGUCCAAGUCGAUUCAGACAGUGCAUCGACCGACUGACAGAGCGACUUCACCGGUGAUUAUCUCCCAAACCAGAGCGAAUUAGGAGAUGGCGUAGUUGACAAACUUGGAGUAUUAGACGAGAUCUACAACUUUGUCAACUAGAGCAAAGACUAGAUCGGCCUGGAUUGAAAGAUAUAGAGUUUCCAAAAUCGAUCACGCAAACUGCAAACCACCCGGGGACUUAGAAAAUUUCUAAGUGUGGAAAACAGCCCCAAAUCUGCCUUGUGGGCCACUUUUGAGCUAUUUGUGAUCAUUUUCAUGAGAUGGCCAUAAAACAACUUUUGUUCCUUAUAAAAUUUGCUACAACUUUGCUGUAGGAAGUUUUGACAUGCAAACAUUUUAUGAAACACUUUUUAAAAGCCUAAGCAAAAGAGGUUUCUAGGGUCUAUUUGAAUAAGUAUGACUUAAGUGAUUAUUUUGGAGAAGUGAUCAACAUGAACAUUGUUCCCAAGAUUAAGUCAAGCAUAGAUAAACUAUUUACCAAGGCAUUAAGCACAAACACAAGCAUUGUUCACUCAAACAUAAGCAUAGGAAGCCUAUUUAAGCAAUUUAAAACACAUUUUUGCAAAGGAUGACAUGUCUCAAGAUAGAUGAUGAUCAUGGAUGCUUUGAAUAAAAGAUGAUGCUCAUGCUAUGCACAUGUUUGAUGUAACCAUAACACUGGGGUGUUACAGCCCUCCCCCCUUACAAAAAUCUCGUCCCGAGAUUUGAAAGCUUACUGAUUUUCGAAGAAGGUUUUGUAGACUUCUUUUAAAUAAUCCUCCGUCUCCCAAGUGGCAUCUUCUUCCCCGUGGUUGCUCCACAACACCUUGUAGAGUUUAACCACACGAUUACGCGUUUCUCGUUCCUUGCGAUCAAGAAUCGCUACGGGUUUCUCCUCAUACACCAAGUCUGAUUUUAACUUGAUAUCUCGAAUUUCCACUCGUUCCUCCGGUAUACGAAGGCACUUCUUCAGUUGUGAUACGUGGAAAACAGGGAAGAUAGCUCGAAGCGCAACUGGGAGUUGAACUUUGUAUGCCACAUUCCCUUUCUUUUCGAGAAUCCGAUAAGGUCCCACAUAGCGAGGCGCAAGCUUUCGCUUGACUCCAAAUCUUUGUACACCCUUCAUCGGAGACACCUUGAUGUACACAUGGUCACCAACUGAAAACUCAAUCGGCUUCCUUCUCUUGUCAGCAUAACUUUUCUGACGAGCUUGAGCAGCUUCCAGGUGUUGCUGGAUAACACGGACUUUCUGCUCCGCUUCGUUCACGAAAUCGAUGCCGUAGUAUCUUCGCUCUCCAGCUUCUACCCAAUUCAACGGGGUUCGACACUUUCGACCGUACAAGGCUUCAAAUGGAGCCAUUUUAAUACUCUCCUGAUAACUGUUGUUGUAGGAGAACUCAGCUAAUGGCAACCACUUGACCCAAGAACCUUUUGACGAGAGAGCACAUGCCCUCAACAUAUCUUCAAGGAUCUGGUUAACUCGUUCAGUUUGACCUGCUGUUUGGGGAUGAUAAGCAGAACUGCGGACCAAGUGAGUACCAAUCUGCUCAUGAAGACAUUCCCAAAAACGAGCAGUGAACUGUGGCCCACGAUCAGAUAUGAUUGUUCGAGGCACACCAUACUGACGAACAAUGUGCUCGAAAUACAACUCCGCAUACUGAUGGGGACGAUAAUCAGUUCGGACUGGAAUAAAUCGAGCAACCUUGGUCAAACGAUCCACAACCACCCAGAUAGAGUCAUAACCCUUAACAGAAGUUGGGAGUCCACUGAUGAAAUCCAUGCUGACUUCUUCCCAUUUCCAACCAGGAAUUGGCAAGGGUUGAAGUAAACCAGCUUUCAUGUGAACAGCCUUCACACGACAACAAUUGUCACAGCGAGCGACGAAAGCCGCUAUCUCCUUUUUCAUCUUUGUCCACCAAAACAAAGGUUUCAGAUCCUGAUACAUCUUGCUACUACCAGGAUGGAUAGACAUUUUGGAUGAAUGAGCUUCAGAUAGGAUCUGAUUUCGCAGCUCGCGAUCUUUUGGGACCACAAGUCGAUCCUUGAACCAAAGGAUUCCGUUUUCAUCAACUCGGAAAUGCUUGGUUUCUUCUUCUUUCAUCUUCCUCUUGAUAUGGUAGAUGCCUACAUCUGUUUGCUGCAAUUCGAUGACUCGAUUGCGAAUGGUACUUUCCAGAGAAAUCUGGUUGAGCACAAGUGGAUGCAUAAGAUGUGACAACAACGGAUCUUCCACUUGGAUUGAGUGACAGUGCGCUUUCCGACUCAAGGCAUCCGCCACCACGUUUGCCUUGCCCGGAUGAUAGUGCACUUGGAGAUUGUAGUCCUUAAUCAACUCAAGCCACCUUCACUGCCGCAUGUUCAGUUCAGGUUGAGUGAAGAUAUACUUGAGGCUCUUAUGAUCGGUGUAGAUAUUACACAGAUUACCCAGCAAAUAAUGCCUCCAGAUUUUCAAAGCAUGAACAACUGCUGCCAAUUCUAAGUCAUGAGUGGGGUAAUUGACCUCAUGCUUUCGAAGUUGGCGCGAGGCAUACGCGAUAACUCGACCUUCCUGCAUCAAUACACAGCCUAAACCAAUGCCUGAUGCGUCGCAAAAGACAUCGAAAGGCUUCUCGAUAUCAGGUUGAGCUAGGACAGGAGCUGAUGUCAACAGUGUCCUUAACUUGUGGAAUGCCUCUUCACACUUAGGUGUCCACACAAACUUCUCAUCUUUCUGAAGUAGACGAGUCAUAGGCUUGGAUAUUUUGGAGAACUCCGGAAUGAAUCGACGGUAAUACCCAGCCAGACCAAGAAAACUCCGAACCUCGUGUACCGAAGUUGGAACUUUCCAAUCCAGCACCUCUUGCACCUUAGCCGGAUCUACUGAUAUGCCUUCUUCAGAUAAGACAUGGCCCAAGAAAGGUACUUUCUUUAGCCAAAACUCGCAUUUGCUAAACUUAGCAUAAAGCUGAUGUUCGCGCAAACGCGACAACACGACACGCAGAUGCUCUGCAUGCUCCUCUUCAUUGCAAGAAUAUACCAAGAUAUCAUCAAUGAAGACCACCACAAACUUGUCCAAUUCGGGCAUGAACACCGAAUUCAUAAGAUACAUGAAAUGAGCAGGUGCAUUCGUAAGCCCGAAGGACAUGACAAGGUACUCAUACAACCCAUACCUCGUCGAGAAAGCCGUCUUAGGUAUAUCUUCGGGACGAAUCUUGAUCUGAUGGUACCCAGAUCGCAAAUCAAUCUUGGAGAAUACCUUAGCUUUAGACAACUGAUCAAACAAGAUGUCAAUGCGAGGGAGAGGGUAUUUGUUCUUGAUAGUCACUGCAUUGAGGGGACGAUAGUCCACACACAUGCGCAAAGACUGAUCCUUCUUCUUCACAAAGAUAGCCGGACAACCCCAAGGAGAAGAACUAGGACGAAUAAGACCCUUCUGCAACAACUCAUUUAGUUGGGUCUUAAGCUCAGCUAAUUCAUUGGGCGGCAUCCUAUAAGGUCUUCUAGAGAUCGGAGCGGUGCCUGGAAUCAAUUCAAUUUUAAACUCCACAUCCCGAUCCGAAGGAAGCCCGGGUAGAUCAUCAGGAAAAACAUCCGGAAACUCACACACCACCGGAAUAUCCUGAAUAGCCUUAGAGGUAACUGCAUUCACAGUGCUACGGAUUUGGAUAUCACGAGGGAGUUGCACUAGAAAUGCCUCCUUGGUAUCUGGGUCUUUCAACAUCACUACGCGAGUGGUGGUGUCAAUAAGAACUCCAUUACCACUCAUCCACUUCAUCCCCAGAAUUACAUCUAUGCCCACACCGGGUAAAACAACCAGAUCAGCAAGAAACUGACGGCCUCCUAUCUCCAGAGUUGCCCCUAAAACCACUCGAUUGGUGGAAAUAUCAUUUCCCGCAGCACUAAUACAAUAACUGCCCUUAUCAAGUGUGAUGGUCUUGAUGCUAUGCUUAGAUAUAAAUUCAGAACUCACAAAGGAAUGCGAUGCUCCAGAAUCAAAAAGCACGAGUGCAUCAUGUUGGUUGACCGGAAACUUACCAGCCGUGACUACCUCACCAGCAGGGAUUGCCUCCACAGUUGUGUAAUGAACACGCCCCUGACGGACGUUCCCCUGGUUGCCCUUCUUUGGCGGGUAAGGACAGUUGCUCUGCCAAUGCCCGGUCUGAUUGCAGUUCCAGCACGGACGGUUGGCAGGUGGAGUCUUGGCAUAGUUGGGGCCCGUGUUGCCCCUAGGAAGAGCAAUAGAGUACCCCUUGCGAAAACCCGUCUUUGCCUGAUUCUUCUUCAUUGGAGGGCGGUAUCGCUGGUUGGGGGUUGGAGCACGGAAUGGUGGCUUAGCUGCCACUGGAGCCUUGGACUGAGAUGAUCCUGCCCCGGCCUCAAAAGCCCUCUUGCGAGUCUUGGUCGCAGUGUACACAGUGUUAUAAUUCUCUUGAGUAAGAGCAUCACUGACAAACUCAUUGAAAGUUGUACACCUAGUGCGGCCCAUAGUCUUCAGCAAUUUGGGACCCAAACCCCGCUUGAAACUAGCGAUCUUUUUCGUCUCCGUGUUCACAAACUCAGGAGCAUACCUAGACAAGUGAUUGAAAGCAUGCAAAUACUCCUUCAGAGUCUUGUUGCCCUGAGUCAGCUGCAUGAACUCGGUGUGUUUCAUCUCCAUAACACCCGGAGGAAUGAAAUGCCCUUUGAAAGCAUCGCGGAAAAGAUUCCAAUCGAGCACGGUGUCGGCUGGAAGAGCUUCCCGAUACUGGUUCCACCAGAUGCCUGCCGGCCCUUGCAGUUGAUGAGCUGCAUACUCCGCCUUCAAACCUUCAGUCAAACGAAGUAGGCGAAACUUUUGUUCCACCGUAUUCAGCCACUCUUCAGCUUGAAGGGGUUCCUCAGCUUCUCUGAAAGGUGGGGGCUUCGUAUCCAUGAAAUCCUUGAAGCUACUAUACUGGUUAGGAGCUGGCCCUUCUUGUGCAUUACGGCCACCCUGAUUUGCCAUCCGAGUGAUGGUCUCAGUGAGCAUCCUCUGGUUUUCCACCAUCAUUUGCAUCAGUUCAGCUGGGUUUGGUAGUGGAGGAGGAGGUGGUGGAUUCAUGUUUGCACGCUGUUCCGCACCCCGGGUGCCACGAGACAUCUGUAAAGACACAGUCAGUGAGCAUUGAUGAUGACAAGAUUUGCCGUAGAAGAACUUAUAUUCAUGCCUGAAAGUAUUCGAGAGAAUAGCUUUACAGAAAGGCACAACAAUUCCAUUCCACAAAACAACAUCACCAAUCCAACACAUGACAUAGAUAUCCGCAAUACGCACCACAACGGAAAACAUCGGCAUAACAUAACGAUCAUAAAGACUGCACAUAAGGUCCAUGAAGUUAUUACACCCUUUCAGUACAUGUCAUGAGUCAAGGUCAAAGUUUCGGAUUACAACAUGGUUACAAAAGCACCAUAACCGACUGGCAUACAACCAAAAGAUCCUGGCAACAACUACUCACUACUCCCUACACUCCAGGCUCGUCGUCCGAAUCAGCGUCGAAGAUCGCCUCUCCAUCCUCGUCGCUAACCGGCUCAAGCUCCUCGUCUUCCACGUCCUCGUGUAAAGGUGGUGCAGCCGCUGCUGGUCCAUCAACCUCCAUACCAUCAUCAUCGGCCACAAUCACCUGAGGUCCAACCUCUGGAUACACGGGUAUAGGGCGAGGAAUAGGGUGUAGCAAGUUGUUGAGACGGUGAAUCUCCACAAGACCAGCCUCAAUCUGACCCUGUAGAUAGUUCUCCCGCUCAAGCGACUGAACUCGGUGCAUCUCCCAUGCUCGGCGCCUGUUCUCCGACACACGGAGUGCAGUAUCCCUCUCACGGGUGAGCUGCACCAAGCGCUCCUGCAAGGUCUCCCUCUCUCGAGCUAACUGGCUCAUCUGAUCCUGCUUAUGAUCUCUCUCCCUGAUGGCCUUCACCCACUGCUGUCUACGGUACUCCGCUAUGUCCUCCCAGUCAUUGCGGUCCUUCUGAGUCUGCUCCAGGAGUCUAGCUUGUUUGCGAAACUUGCGAGCACGCUUUUCAGCCUUCCGCUGCAUCUCCUGAGCCCUGCGAACAGCCACCAUCACCUGUGCAUAGGUGCCCUCUCGCUGACUGAUCAGCUUGAGUACAGCCAUCAUAGCACUCAUAGCAGGACUAGAGCUCUCAGCUCUCUCUCCUCUACCUCGAACCAAAGCACAACCAUCAGCCUGUUUCCACUCCGCGGCUGCUGGGUCAGCACUAGGAAUGGAGGCCGCUGGUCCUCCUGUCAGCUCGUCACCACACCUCUGACAGAUGUCGAGCAGGAUAGCCUGGGCUGCAACCUGAGCUGCCUCCCAAGGAGUCUGCCCAUCUGAGCUGCAAUUCCAGCCUGUCCAUGCAGGCUUGUCCCCAUGUGGAGGGACAACUCCCUGCACAGCAAACCACUGGAUCCCUCCUGCACUCUCCACCUCCCACCAAGAAUACUGAGGUGGCUCAGUAUACCCAACAGUCCGUAACACUCUCCAGAGCAGGGUAGGAGUACCAAACUCGUGCAAGAAAGUGUCACUGGGACGAGGUGAAGCGGGUGCGUCCAUCUGUGGAAAGGAAUAGGAGUGCCAUGGGUAAAAGAGGAUUAGUUGAAGCACAUUUAUUUAUUUAAAAAGGGACGAAAUUGUAAGGGAAGAAACGGACAGAAUGUAUGUAUGAAUGCGACAUGAUGCAUGCACGAACCGUACGUCCUCACAAACUUAGAAAAUUAAUAUUCUAACAGAUAUACGGUAGCAUACAUUCGUCUCUCGAUACGGUAACUAUCGGUUUACACGUGCGCUGUUAGAGUACCUGCAGAAAACUUCAUUUCAGCCCAACAGUUCCCAAUAUAUCACUCAAGAAAGCAGUAAACUAAGUGCUCAUUGCUUGGACAUGCCCAACAUGUCCCAACAAUGACACCACAACUACCCGAGAAAUUAAUAUACUCCCCAAUUAAGUUUCCUUCGUGGUUCCAUGGUUUCGACAUGUAACCAUUCCAGAAAACCACCGCGAACACUCCCCUAGACCGCCGUUUGGACGAUCAUGCUCUCACAGCUCACACUUACCAGAGCGUAGGUGCGACGUUGCAUAAUUUUAAAUCUAGCGACAUAUGUGGCUAAUUCACAUAUGAAGGCUACCUCCACCAUUAGACCACAGGGUAGCAUAGUGCGGUCAUCACACAUCCAUACCUGAGUACUGCCGGAGAUGCAUAAAUAAAACCCCCCAAGUCAGUACUUAAAUAGCCACCUAAAGUCCUUAUAUGGGCAAGGAGGAUUCGACCACUGGCAUAACUUAAUUAUUUGUUUUACACCAUUUUAUUUAAAAAUUCUUUUGUUUUAAAUACACAAACGCUGCAUUUAUGAUGCUGAACUUGCUCCGAUGCCAGCUGUCACAGAACCGACCAAAUUAUAAGAGUUCAAGUGCAGAAACGAUCGUCAAACAAUCAAGUUUCUAGACUUGAGCCCAUAUAAUCCCGGUAGUCAAUCGAAAUCACGAAGGACUUCAAACCAACUCGCAACAAACCAAGAUCGUAAUAGUUCAACAUAAACACAACGAAUGUUACAUAGUCAUUCAUUGCCGUCGAAGCGGCACCACAUCGGAGUAUUAAGUUAUUACAACACAUGUUCGAAGUAGCGGAAGCAAAAUAAGUACACACACUUGUUUAAAGCUCAGUUCACAAGCUUGUUACUGCCAGAGUCUAGGUCAUCCUUCCAAAAGCAUCAUAGAUGAGAAGAUUAGAGAACCGUGCCCAACGGUUAGUCCUCAUCCCCAGCGGGAUGGAGACAGGUCUUGCAGAAACCGUCAUAGAAGAUAUCAUCUGCAACAGGUGGGAAUAAACCCUGAGUACGAGGAUGUACUCAGCUAGACUUACCCGUCUAGUAAAACACAAAAGACACCAAGGAUCAUGCAAGGCUACAUUUUAAGUGGAGCUGACUGACUCACCUUUUUGCCAAAAGCUUAACUUACAACUAAAUCAUUUUAAGAGCAUCAAUUUAUUUAUCAACAGCCUACCACUAGAUUAGCACCUGUACUACAACACAUCACUUGAUUAUUACAAACAAUAGUAACCAUAUCAAAAUUCAUCAUAUGUUCUUCAUGCUAUCAUUGUUAUCAUGAACCAAGUUUAUUAGUGAAUGCUACGUUUGCCGCUGCUCUGUCAAGUUCUCACUAACCGGGAGAGACGGCGAUUCGAAUCGAAUUCCUAUCCAGCUGGAGGUUUACUCCUAGCACUCACCCAAGCAUCCCCUGCCGGAGAGCCAACGGGUUACCUUUGGUACAACUCAGGAAUCGCGGCUCCGAUCAGCGCCGCACUCCCAGGGCUACCACUCUGCCAGGGAGGUCAGGAAUUUUAACUCACCUGCCUUUGGGCUUACGCCAAUGGUCCCCCGCACACCGCACUUCCUCCGGUAGUGCGCACUUUAUACUUGCCGGUCUUCCGGCCUGAGUCAUACUACUCGGCUUCGCGGUCGGAACGAGUUAUCCGGCCAACUAAGUGUCAGGCAUGCGUUCAACAUGACAAGAGGACGUACAACGAUCGGUCCUUAGCUGCCACAGACGGAGUUACUACACACUUGCAAAACUCCGCCCGGCUUAAGUCAAUUUGAUCAGGUUCCAUCCACGAUAGCACAUAUAGACCAUCGUGAUCCGACACAACCCUAUAUCGCGCGGAUGACAGGAUAUCACCCGACUUCUACCGGUUUAAGCAUGACUAAGCUGCUACUCGAUCCUAACUCUACAACCAGGGAGGGUAAGUUAUCUGGACAAGGAUAGAGUAGGAUGCAGCAACAGUUUCAUCACAACUCCUAUACGUAAUGCAUCAAUAGAUAUAACGUAUUAAGUAAACUUUCGAAAAUAGAGGAGGCUUAAAAUGCUCCGGGGCUUGCCUUUCACGAACGAUGCCGGCUCGUGACUUGGGCACUCAACUUCUUCUUCGGGCUCCUCGAGUCCGGCUUGCUGGACCUCCACCUCCUGGCUGCCUUCCUGGCCUUCGGGAUUCGCUUGGAGCUCGAAGGAAACUGCCACGUCCGGUGCACCUAUUGCAUGCUCGAUGAAUGAGAAAGUGCACAUGCUACAGAUGAAUGCUUAACAACACAAGCAACUCACUGGACACUCAUUUACGGAACAAGAGUUAUACUAACUCACAUGAAUAAACAAGUUAACAUAACCCAAAACCUAUCAUGGCACUAAAGCAGCAAGCAACAUAAACAAGUAUGCUCAGUAAAUAAAUCAUAAGUAUAGAUAGACAGGUCCAACAACAUGAGUGAGGACAUUCUGGAAAGCUUAGGAAAUUGUCUACAACUCAUCUUUAAACAUGACAGCAAGAUUCAAACAUUAAAUUAGUCUUUUUAACAAAGUUCCAGAUCCUGUUCCAGAAAAACAGAGAACCCCUAUUUCUGGAACCCAACUUGGAACAGCUAUAACUUUUAAACUACUUGGCCAAAUGACCUCAAAUUUAAACCACAGUUAGUUCAACAAGUUUAGAACAACUUUGUUUUAUAUAAGUUUCACAGAAAGUCAACUUAUCAUUAAGCAAAGUUAAAUUAUUCACUUGCUGUCCAAACAGCAUUUAACCCUAUAGUUAAUUAUUUAAUGACAUGAUCAAAGCAUAAACUAGGCCAACCAUAUGACUCAUGAGCACAAACAUAAUACAAGGUCACCAGAUCAUCAGUUGAAAACCCCAAAACAAUUACUUAACAAGGCAUUUAUUAAUUAAUUUUAGAUAAGGCAUAUUUACAAGAUAUUAGUUAAAGUGCUCAGAAAAAUCUACAAAAAUUACAGAGGCACAAGGAUAACAUCAGAUCACCACCAUAAAAAUUUCAGGACCAAUGCACAUACCAAAUUAAAGAUAUGCAUUUAACAUGUAUCAAGGCAUUUAUUUCAUAAAUUCAUAAACAUGACUUAUAUAAUGUCAAACAACAGAUUUCAGAUUAUUUACAUCUUAGGAAUACCAUAAACAAGUUUACCACCAAAAUAGAGCACCAGCAUAAGCACCAAUUAUUUUAUGUAAUUUAAUUAAAGAAACAAGCCAUAUUUCAAACACAAAUUACAUAUCACCACUGCAGUGCUCCAAAAAUCAUGAAAUAUUUAUCAGAGCACCCUAAUGCCAUGCAAAGACUACCACAAAAUUUUCAAAGCAAACUAAGCAGUAUAACCAGAGAUAUGCAUUUAUCCAUAAAUAACAAGAUUAAAUCCUUAAUAAAUAAUUUCCCAGAAAACAUGAUUCAUUUUAUAUUUUUAUUAAAUACUAUCCAUCUCAAGAAACAACACAAAAUUUGUUUCACAAUUUUUGGAUCUCAGAAACAGGAGAUAUGAUUUUUGCAAGAAAGCCAAAAAUCAGGAUUUUGAAUAAAAGAAAAGGAGGGAAAGAGAGAGUCGCUGACAGGGGGUCCCACCCGUCAGGCUCUUCUUCCUCACGGCCGAGGCGAUCUUCGCCGGCGAUUUCUCCGCGACGGCGAGGUCUCCGGCCAAACCCAGGGCAUCAACGUGAUCCCCAAACCCUAACGACUCGAUUGACCCUACUUUUGCCACGGCGGAGCCACCGGAAGGAGCUCACCGUCGACAAUGGCGGCUCGGCGGAGGUGCUCGGCGUUACGCCGGAGUCCUCAGGCCGGUAGAGCGUGACCUAAGGCCUUCUACAGCACCAGCAGACUAAGGCGAAGCUCCCUAGGUACACGGCUUGGCCUGGAUCCCCGUGGAAAGCGCUGGCCACGAGAGGACCCAACUCCGGCGGAAGCACGGCGGCGCUGCGCACCGUGUCCGGCGACGGAGAACCCGGUAGAGCGUCCACCAGGUGGCGCAAAAGCUCGCUAAGGACCUAAGCUACCUCUAGGACCUAACCAAGGACGAUGAGAAGCCUCACAGCGCUCGGCAUUGAGUUCGCCGGAGAAGAGGGUCACGGCGGACCGAUUUGGGGGAAGAAAGAAAUGUCGGCUCACCGGUGGGUCUCUCGGCGAGUUAGAGGGUGGAGCUUGGAGAGCGGCUCACGGCGGAGCUUUGGGUGGAGUUUGGUGGACGGGGACGCAGAGAGGAGCGCACACGAGCUCGCCGGAGUGAGCUCGCGGCGGAGAGCUCGCUGCGGGCGAGGUUCAGGCGAGAGAGGGCGAGGCAGAGCGAAAUGGACGCGUCCACGCGCUCGGGGCGACGCCGUGGUGGUCAUGCACGCGACGAGAGCUGACAAGCGGGGCCAGGAACGGCGUACGGGCGCCAAAUGGCGACGGAGCGCUGCCGGCGGUCGGCCACGUCGACGAGGUCCAAGUCGAUUCAGACAGUGCAUCGACCGACUGACAGAGCGACUUCACCGGUGAUUAUCUCCCAAACCAGAGCGAAUUAGGAGAUGGCGUAGUUGACAAACUUGGAGUAUUAGACGAGAUCUACAACUUUGUCAACUAGAGCAAAGACUAGAUCGGCCUGGAUUGAAAGAUAUAGAGUUUCCAAAAUCGAUCACGCAAACUGCAAACCACCCGGGGACUUAGAAAAUUUCUAAGUGUGGAAAACAGCCCCAAAUCUGCCUUGUGGGCCACUUUUGAGCUAUUUGUGAUCAUUUUCAUGAGAUGGCCAUAAAACAACUUUUGUUCCUUAUAAAAUUUGCUACAACUUUGCUGUAGGAAGUUUUGACAUGCAAACAUUUUAUGAAACACUUUUUAAAAGCCUAAGCAAAAGAGGUUUCUAGGGUCUAUUUGAAUAAGUAUGACUUAAGUGAUUAUUUUGGAGAAGUGAUCAACAUGAACAUUGUUCCCAAGAUUAAGUCAAGCAUAGAUAAACUAUUUACCAAGGCAUUAAGCACAAACACAAGCAUUGUUCACUCAAACAUAAGCAUAGGAAGCCUAUUUAAGCAAUUUAAAACACAUUUUUGCAAAGGAUGACAUGUCUCAAGAUAGAUGAUGAUCAUGGAUGCUUUGAAUAAAAGAUGAUGCUCAUGCUAUGCACAUGUUUGAUGUAACCAUAACACUGGGGUGUUACAACCGCCUAGGAUUUUCUUCAAUCUUUCGCUUAAUAAGCUUGAUAAUUCCUUUGUUAGACGCUUCGGCCUGCCCGUUGGCUUGAGCAUAGUAAGGAGAAGAAUUCAACACCUUAAUUCCCAUACCGAUUGCGAAUUCAUCGAACUCCCCUGACGUGAACAUGGUGCCCUGAUCGGUAGUAAUCGUUUGGGGAAUCCCAAAUCGGUAAAUAAUAUGCUCCCUCACAAAAUCAAUCAUAUUGGCCGAUGUGACUUUCUUCAAGGGAAUAGCUUCGACCCACUUAGUGAAAUAAUCAGUGGCAACUAGAAUGAACUUAUGCCCUUUGCUAGAUGGUGGAUAAAUCUGACCGAUCAGAUCGAUGGCCCACCCCCGGAACGGCCAAGGUUUUAUUAUAGGAUUCAUAGCCGAUGCGGGUGCUCUCUGGAUAUUACCGAACUUUUGACAACCUUGACAUCCCUUGAAAUAUCUAAAACAAUCUUCAAGUAUGGUUGGCCAAAAAUAUCCAUUCCUUCGAAUCAUCCACUUCAUCUUGAAAGCUGACUGAUGCGCUCCACACACUCCUUCAUGGAUUUCCCCCAUUAAACUUCUGGCUUCAUCAUCACCUAAGCAUCGGAGAAGAAUUCCGUCGAUAGUUCGAUAAUACAAUUCAUUUUCAAGGAGCACAUACUUGGUCGCUUGAAAUCGAACCCGUCUUUCAACUUUCUUAGAUGGAUCUUCUAGAUAGUCGACAAUUUCUUUCCUCCAGUCACCGGCACUGACUGCCGAUGUUGCAUUAAUCAUUGGCUGAUAUCCUGAGGCAUGCUGGGCUAACCGAUUAGCGUCCUCAUUAUGCAAUCGGGGAACAUGCUCCAAUCGGAAGUUCUUGAAUUCCUUUAACAGUUGCAUACUUUUCUCGAAAUAGGUUAUGAGAACUUCAUUUCGGCAUUCAUAGCUUCCGGCCAACUGAUUUAUAACCAACAUGGAAUCCCCGAAUACUUCAACAGCAUCAGCACGAACCUCUCUUAACAACUCCAAUCCCUUGAUCAGAGCUUGAUACUCAGCCUGAUUAUUAGUUGAUGUAGCAACAAUCGGUAAGGAAAAUUCAUACUUCCUCCCCUUAGGAGAAACUAACACAAUGCCGAUUCCUGCUCCCCGGUCACAGGUAGAUCCAUCAAAGAAGAGCGUCCAGGGUGCAAUUUCUAAGGUUUCCACUAGGCCGCAAUGUUGAGUCACAAAAUCGGCCAUAACCUGCCCUUUGACCGCUUUAGCCGAUUCGUAACGCAAAUCGAAUUCCGACAGCGCUAAAAUCCAUUUACCGAUCCUUCCACUCAUAAUCGGCAUAGAUAGCAUGUAUCGGACUACGUCAUCUCUGCAAACAACAGCACAUUCGGCCGACAAUAGGUAAUGCCUUAGCUUGAUACAUGAAAAAUACAAGCAUAAGCACAACUUCUCAAUGGCCGAAUAUCUGGUUUCAGCAUCAAUCAACCUCCUACUCAAAUAAUAAAUUACUCUCUCUUUCCCUCCAAAUUCCUGAACCAAAGCUGAGCCGAUAACCGAUCCAUCGGUAGAUAAAUAUAAUUUGAAGGGUUUCCCUUGUUGAGGUGGAACUAAAACUGGAGGAUUUACUAGAUACUUUUUGAUUUCGUCUAGAGCCAACUGCUGCUCUUCUCCCCAAACAAACUCCUGAUCGGCUCUCAAUUUCAGAAGAGGACUGAAAGCACGAAUUCUCCCAGAUAAAUUUGAUAUAAAUCUUCUGACAAAAUUCACUUUGCCGAUCAAAGAUUGGAGCUCGGUUUUAUUGGUAGGGGCCACUAUUUUAUUGAUGGCAUCAAUAGAUCUUCGACUAAUUUCAAUACCCCUCUGAUGUACCAUGAAACCAAGAAACUGCCCCGCCGAUACACCAAAUGCACACUUGUUGGGAUUCAUCUUCAAUCCAUGCUUCCUUGUGCACUCCAGCACUCUUCAUAAAUCGGCAAGAUGCUUCGAGAAAUCUCCAGACUUGACCACUACAUCAUCAAUAUAAAUUUCUACGAUCUUGCCGAUGAACUCAUGAAAUAUAAAAUUCAUAGCCCUUUGAUAAGUGGCACCAGCAUUCCUUAACCCAAAAGUCAUGACUAUCCAUUCAAAUAGUCCAACAUGACCAGGACACCUGAAUGCGGUUUUUGGAAUAUCCUCCUCUGCCAUGAAUAUUUGAUUGUAACCCGCAUUACCAUCCAUGAAGCUGAUGAUCCGAUGGCCAGCCGCAGCAUCAACCAGUAGAUCGGCGACAGGCAUUGGGUAUCCAUCCAUCGGCGUAGCUUUAUUGAGAUUCCUGAAAUCAAUGCACACCCGAAGCUUCCCGUUCUUCUUGUAAACCGGAACAACAUUGGAAAUCCACUCGGCAUACCGACACUGCCGAAUAAACUUAGCUUCGAUAAGUUUAGUGAUUUCGGCCUUAAUAUCAGGUAGAAUAUUAGGAUUACAUCGGCGGGCUGGUUGCUGAUGUGGCCGAAAUCCAGAUUUGAUGGGUAACCGAUGUUCAACAAUUGAUCGGUCCAAACCAGGCAUCUCUGUAUAAUCCCAAGCAAAGCAAUCUUUGUAUUCCUUUAACAAAUUAGUUAACUGCCGUUUACACUCAGAAUCUAAUUUAGCACUAAUAAAAGUAGGCCUAGGCUUAUCACCACUACCUAUAUCUACCUCUACCAAAUCAUCGGCCGAUGUGAAUCCCUGGCCUAAUUUUCCAUCAUCGGCGAAUCUAUCCAUUAAAAACUGUCGUCAGAACCGACUGCUUGGAUCGGUGGAAUCUCAUAAUCGGCAACUUUGAGAAAAUCCUUCUCCCAAACUUCUCCUGAAAUGCACCUAGUCUUUUCAUAAGUAUCCGCUUCUGCCGAUGCGAUAACAUAAGAAGAAUCCCCUGGGACGAUCUCAAUCUUGUCACCUACCCACUGAACCAAGCACUGAUGCAUUGUAGAUGGACACAACAAUUGGCAUGAAUCCAAUCUCUCCCUAAUAAUAAAUUGUAGGCACCCUUCCCGCUGAUCACGAAAAAGGUUGUCGGCAAGGUUUUGCUGCCGAUGGUCAACUCUGCACAUAUCGCCCCCUUGACCGGAGACACGUUUCCCUCAAAGUCUUUGAGCAUCAUAUCGGUCUUGGUCAAAUCUUGAUCCCCUCUCCCAAGCUUCCGAUAUACUGCAUACGGCAUAAUAUUAAUAGCAGCUCCACCAUCAACCAGGAUCUUAGUCAUUGGCUGCCCAUCAAUCCUUCCUUUGAGGAACAGAGCUUUAAGAUGCUGCCUCUCGUUAUCAGCAGGUUUCUCAAAGAUAGCCGUCAUCGGAUCCAGAGCCAACUACGCUAUCUGAUCAGAAAAUCCCAACUCAUCGUCACUGGCUGGUGCAAGAAACUCCAUCGGCAACAUGAAUACCAUGUUGACGCCUGCCGAUGGACCUUCCCUCUUAGUGUCUGCCGGCUGCCGACUUUCAGAACUUUCUCCUUUAUUUAACUCCUCCUGCCUUUCUCGCUGCAACCUCCUUUUCUGUGUCUUGGUUAAUCCUUGAGGGCACCAUGGAGGAAGUGGCCUUUGCCUUACUGCCGGGCGUCGAUUCUCCCUCGAAUCCAUACGAUGUGUGUUAGCAUCUCUGCAAAAUAUAAACUCAUCGGGAACCCGCGCAUUAGCCAUCUCCUCAAGCUCUUCCUGGUUCCUGGGAAAAUACUGGACACGGUCACCGAGCCGAUCGCGAACGCUAAGCCUGCCCCCAAGCCGAUCAUGAACUGACGCCCUUCCUCUGAUCGGCCCAUUAAAUCGCCGUUCAUCAUCAUGAUAACGCCGAUCGUUCCUAUCGUACCGAUCAUAACCGUUGCACUCAGGGCAGUCUCUGACAGUAGGGAGCUUGAUAUUUUCCUCCCAACAAUGGAUGAAGAAUGGGCAAUUCCAAUGAUCCCUGUGCCGAUUCCACUCCUGUCGGCGUCUUUCUUCUUCUCGUUGAUAAUCUUCCUGCUGGCGCCGAUACCGAUCUUCCCGUUGUUGCCAUCUCUCUCGAGGCCUUCUAUGAGUUAUGACGAUGCCAGAUCGAGGAAGCCUUCCUGAACUAGUUCCUUCCUGGACCAAGCCCUUACUUCUUGCAUCGGCAGUAGUAACUUGAUGCUGAGGAUCUACCGAUGCACUCUUCUCAGCUGUUUCCGAUGUUAAGACCUUAGCCUUCCCCUUGGCAUCCAACAUGUUUGUCGGGAAAGGAUGUUGGUCUAUCUUCAUCGGCUUUUGGGCUUUAGAACUGUCAAACUUGAUUCUCCCUGACUCUAUGGCCGAUUGCAACUGCUGUCUGAAUACCUUGCACUCGUUGGUGUCAUGUGAAGUUGCAUUAUGCCACUUGCAAUAUCUCAUCCUCUUCAACUCUUCUGCCGACGGGAUCACAUGGUUGGGUGACAGCUUGAUUUGACCUUCCUGAAGUAGAAAGUCAAAUAUCCUAUCGGCCUUGGCGGUGUCAAAGGCAAACUUCUCUGGUUCUUUCUGCCCAAAAGGACAAGACAUCGGCUUCUUGUUUUUUACCCACUCUGCCAAACCGAUUACUGGUUCCUCGUCGGAAUCUGAGCUUGUUGCUUCGUCAACAAAUGACACUUUCUUAUUCCAUGCCCUCUUAGGCUCGAAAGGCUUGAUGUCUUGAUCAGAUAUCCUCUGCACCAAAUGACUUAAACUUUCGAACUCCUGAGAUGCAUACUUAUCCCUGAUAUGUGGCAACAAACCCUGGAAAGCCAAAUCGGCUAGCUGCCGAUCAUCCAGAACCAGGCUAUAGCAUUUAUUCUUGACCUCUCGUAUCCUCUGCACAAAUCCCUCAACCGACUCAUCAUUACGUUGCCUCAAUUUAACCAAGUCGGUGAUCUUCUUCUCAUGAACCCCCGAGAAGAAGUAUCUAUGGAAUUGCUUCUCUAGAUCGGCCCAAGUAAUUACUGAGUUGGGAGGUAAUGAUAUGAACCAAGUAAAGGCCGGUCCAGACAGUGAUGACGAAAAUAGACGAACCCUCAAUUCGUCCGUGUUACCAGCCUCUCCACAUUGAAUAAUGAACCUGUUGACAUGCUCCAUGGUUGACGUAUCGUCCUGUCCGGAAAACUUUGUAAAAUCUGGUACCUUGUACCGAUGUGGAAGUGGGAUCAAAUCGUACGCUGGAGGAUACGGUGUCCGAUAAGAAUAAGUGUUGACUUUGGGUUUUAUCCCAAAUUGUUCCCUCAUUACUUCAGCAAUCUUAUCGGCCCAAUAAGCAUCGGCAUCUUGCCGAUGAGGCUGCUGCGGAUCUGGCGCUUGGUGGCGAACCUCCACGUGUCUGUUUGGGAUGUGACCUGUAUGAAACAUCGUAUUGGUCACCUGUCCUCCAACCUGCGAACCACCAAACUGCUGUCCACCGAUUGGCUGUCCUCCGAGUUGCUGUCCAAAAUUUAUUGGCUGGUUGGGAAUUCCCUGACCUUGGAACCCGGGAUAAACCUGCCCCUGCUGGAACCCCGUAGUCUGAUAACCCUGCUGGGGCGACUGUGGAAAGGCUUGCUGUCCAAGCCAUCCAUUAUUAGCGUUCAUCGGCAUAGAUGCUGCCGAUGAUUGGUAAUUGGGUACCGUCGUUGAAUUGACAUACCCCGACUGGGCCAUAGGCCUCUGUUGCAUUAGCAUUGACUCUGCUGAUGCGUUGGGCAUCUGGAACAUUGAAUCUUGAGGAUUUCCAGUGUGAGGCCUUGCAGUAGUAGUUGUGGUAUACCGAGGACUCUGGUUUACCGGCACAUUGGAAGGUGCCGAUGUCAUAGGAGUUUUGCCCCUCAUGUCAGCUAUCUGUGAUGUUCCCGGCGUCAACUCUGGAGGCAUACCAUAACCCCACCAGUUGGGAGGAAGAGUUAAUCCCGACAUUGCCGAUGCCAACAUAUCUGUUGUCAGUUUAUGCUGCCCAACUGAAAUUUGUGGGUUGGUCGCCAUCGGCAUAGAUAGUGCACCAGUAGUCCCCAAUGUACUCGGAGGAACGGCAGACUGUGCACUCGCACUUGUCAAGGCAGCCGAUGGAGCCGUGACCUCUGGUGCCGUGGGUUGAUGAUGGGAAGGGCCCACAUAAUCCGGCGGGAUUUGUCCUUCCUUGAAGGUUCUUGCCACGGCGUUGAAAACCGUAUUAGACAGUACACCAGCUUGGUUAAUCAAGGCUCGAUUGAUGGCAUUAUCAACCAUGUCUUGAAGCUUGCCAGGAUUGGUGUCAAAGGUGACCUGCCGUGGUGCCGGCAGUGCAUCUUUCUGGACCACUUCGCCGCUCCUGUUUAUGCUGAAAGACUUCAGACAUUGCUGCUUGAACUCUUCCAUGGCUUGGGCAAUAGCUUGCUUCUGCUCAUCCUUGAGGUUAGCUUCCGUCACGGGGAUGACGUUGUCUUGAUCGAGGUCAGAGAUCGACAUGUUGAUCUUGAUCUUGAAUCUGUCCCACUGGGCGUGCCAAAAGAUGUGUUGAUGCAAAACUGAUCUGCAAACACAAAGGGCUAAUACCCGAUACAAACGUUAAGGCGUGCCAGCCGAUUUAACCUUACUAUCGGCAAAGGUGGUAACUCGAAUACUUUAGUCCUGACAACAGCGAUGCGCCCGGAUGUCACGGCUAAGAGGUAUUCACGCGGAACUUGAGAACACGCCGAGCUUAAGUCGACGAAUUCCUAAGAACUCGUAGUAAAAAGGAAAAAGUAUGACGAAGUCGUCGAAAAAGUAGAUGCUGGAAUAUGAGUAAAAACGUGUAUUUGAUUGAUUGAUAGAUGUCCUGAUUACAAGGUCCUAGGGCUUAUAUUUAUACCCUGCUCAAAGAGCUACGACCAGACACGAUUAGAAUUCGAAUUCCAAAUUACACGGAACCCGUAUACAAAACGAUGCGAAUAACUAAGGAAAUAAUAAAACCAUCCUUCGUGACAAACCGAAACUCCUCCACAUGACCACUGGCAGCUUCCGGACUCCUCCUUCGCGUCAUCGGCAAUCCCCUUGCCAUAGUCAUCGGCAGACCCUUUUACUUGGUCAUCGGCACCAUAUUACUGCCUGAGGACUUAGUCACACUCAACCUUUCCCUCAUCGGCAACCAUCCUUACCAGCAACCCGCAUCGUACUGCCACCCUAUCCUGCCAUCCUGGACACGUGCCCAAAAAUGGUGUCAACACAUGAAUUCGGUUUUCAUGCCCAAAUUGGACAAGUUUGUGGUGGUCUUCAUUGAUGAUAUCUUAGUAUAUUCUCGCAAUGAAGAAGAACAUGCAGAGCAUCUAUGUGUAAUGUUAACUCGUUUGCGUGAGCAUCAGCUUUAUGCCAAGUUUAGCAAAUGCGAGUUCUGGAUAAAGAAAGUACCUUUCUUGGGCCAUGUCUUAUCUAAAGAAGGCAUAUCAGUGGAUUUGGCCAAGGUGCAAGAAGUGCUGGAUUGGAAGGUUCCAACUUUGGUGCACGAGGUUCAGAGUUUUCUGGGUCUGGCUGGGUAUUAUCGCCGUUUCAUUUCAGAGUUCUCAAAAAUAUCCAAGCCUAUGACUCGCCUACUUCAAAGAGAUGAGAAGUUCAUGUGGACGCCUAGUGUGAAGAGGCAUUCCACAAGUUGAGGACAUUGCUCACAUCAGCUCCUGUCCUAGCUCAACCCGAUAUCGAGAAGCCUUUCGAUGUCUUUUGUGAUGCAUUUGGUAUCGGUCUGGGCUGUGUGUUGAUGCAAGAAGGUCGUGUUCUCGCUUAUGCCUCGUGCCAACUUUGAAAACAUGAGGUCAAUUACCCUACUCAUGAUUUAGAAUUGGCCGCGGUUGUCCAUGCUUUGAAGAUCUGGAGGCACUAUUUGCUAGGUAAUCUGUGCAAUAUCUACACUGACCAUAAGAGUCUCAAGUACAUCUUCACCCAACCUGAAUUGAACAUGUGGCAGCGAAGGUGGCUUGAGUUGAUUAAAGAUUAUAAUCUUCAAGUGCACUAUCAUCCAGGCAAGGCAAACAUGGUUGCGGAUGCCUUUAGUCCGAAAUCACACUGCCAUUCAGUUCAGAUUGAAGAUUCAUCGUUGUCACGCCUGAUGCACCCACUAGUGCUUCACCAAAUUGCGUUGGAAAGUUCUCUUCGCAAUCGAGUGAUCGAAUUGCAGCAAACUGAUGUAGGUAUCCACCAUAUAAAGUGGAAGAUGAAAGAAGAAGAAACCAAGCAUUUCCGGGUCGAUGAGAACGGAAUUCUAUGGUUCAAAGAUCGGCUUGUUGUACCAAAGAACCGUGAGCUCCGAAAUUAGAUCUUAUCUGAAGCUCAUUCAUCCAAGUUGUCUAUCCAUCCUGGUAGUAGAAGGAUGUAUCAGGAUCUGAAACCUCUAUUUUGGUGGACAAAGAUGAAAAAGGAGAUUGCUGCUUUUGUUGCUCGUUGUGAUAACUGUUGUCGUGUGAAGGCAGUUCACAUGAAAGCAGGUUUACUUCAACCCUCACUAGUAUGGACUUUAUCUCUGGACUCCCAACUUCUGUUAAGGGUUAUGACUCUAUCUGGUUGAUUGUGGAUCGCUUGACCAAGGUCGAUCGCUUUAUUCCAGUUCAAUCUGACUAUCAUCCACAUCAGUAUGCGGAGUUGUACUUCGAGCACAUCGUUUGUCAAUAUGGUGUGCCUUGUACUAUCAUAUUAGAUCGUGGACCGCAGUUCACUGCCUUUUGGGAGUGUCUUCACGACCAGAUUGGUACUCACUUGGUUCGGAGUUCUGCAUAUCAUCCUCAAACAGCUGGCCAAACGGAAUGUGUUAACCAAAUCCUAGAAGACAUGUUAAGGGCAUGUGCUCUCUCUUCAAAAGGUUCUUGGUUAAAGUGGUUACCAUUAGCUGAGUUCUCUUAUAACAACAAUUACCAAGAGAGCAUCAGGAUGACUCCUUUUGAAGCCCUGUAUGGCCGAAAGUGUCGAACCCCGUUGAACUAGGUAGAACUCGGGGAACAAAGGUAUUACGGUAUCAAUUUCAUGAACGAAGUAGAGCAACAAGUCCAUACAAUCCAGCAACAUCUGGAAGCUGCUCAAGCUCAUCAGAAAAGUUAUGGUGCCAAGAAGAGAAAACUGAUUGAGUUUGUAGUCGGAGAUCAUGUGUAUCUCAAGGUGUCUCCGAUGAAAGGUGUACAAAGGUUCAGAGUCAAGCGAAAGCUUGCACCCCGUUAUGUGGGACCUUAUUAGAUUCUUGAGAGGAAAGGGAACGUGGCUUACAAGGUUCAACUACCGGUUGAGCUACAAGCUAUUUUUCCUGUCUUUCACGUAUCGCAGUUGAAGAAAUGCCUUCGUGUUCUGGAAGAAAGAGUAGAGGUUUGGGAUGUCAUGUUAAAAUCAGACUUGGUGUAUGAAGAGAAGCCUAUAGCGGUUAUUGACCGCAAGGAGCGGGUGACUCGUAAUCGUGUGGUUAAGUUCUACAAGGUAUUGUGGAGUAACCGCGGGGAGGAAGAUGCUACUUGGGAAACAUAGGACUAUUUAAAAGAAGUUUAUAAAACCUUCUUCGAAAAUCAGUAAGCUUUCAAAUCUCGAGACGAGAUUUUUGUAAGGGGGAGGGCUGUAACACCCCAGUUUUAUGGUUGCAUCCUUUCACAUGCAUAACAUGAGCAUGAUCAUCUUCAUAAGCAUACCAUGAUCAUCAUUCACCUUGGGUCAUGUCAUUUUAUGCAUAAGUGUGGUUUAACUUGUUUAAUUAUGAUCUCUAUGCUUAUGUUUGUUUAUGCCAUGCUCAUGUUUGUGUCCUAGGCCUUGGUAAAUAGUUCAUCUAUGUUUAACUCAACCUUUGGAACAAUGUUCAUGUUGGUCAUAUCUUCAAAUUAUGUCUCUAAGUCAUACUUUCACUCAUAGGCCCUAUAAACCUCUUUUGCUUAGGCUUUUAAAAAGUUUUCAUAAACUAUUUGCAUGUAUAAACUUCCUAAAGCAAAGUUGUAGCAAAUUUUAUAAGGAACAAAAGUUGUUUUAUGGCCAUCUCAUGAAAAUGACCACAACUUGCUCAAAAAGGGCUCACAAGGCAGAAUUGGGGGCUGUUUUGACACUUACCAAAAUUUUGCCAAGUCCUGGCGCCACCAGUUUGCCUGAAGGUUAUUGGAAGCUCUAUAUCUUUUCAUCCAGGCCGAAUUGGUCUUUGCUCCAGUUGUCAAACCUAUAGAACUCAGUUAGUACUCCAACAGUGUCAACUACACCAUCUCCUAAUUCGCCAUAAUUUGGAAGAUAAUCAGUGCCAAAGUACCUCUGUCAAUCUCUGAAACCAGCUCUAAAUGGACACCGUCACCGACGACGUGGCCGACCAGCGGCAGCGUUUCGUCGACAUUUGGCAACCGUACGUCGUCUCUGGCCCCGCUCGUCGGUGCUGAGGGCGUGCAUGACCUCCACGGCGUCGCCCUCGAGAUCCUAGACGCAUCCAUUCUCUCCCUCUCGCCCUUCUCGCGCAGAAACUCAGCCGCAGCGGAGGCACCAUCGUCGGGCUCACUCUAGCGAGCUCGAGCGCGCCCCACACUGCAUCGCCGUCCACCAAAGUUUGCCCACAGCUCCGCUAUGCUCCGCUCUCCAACCUCCACCCUCAAGCUUGUCGUGAAACCCUCCGGUGAGCCGACAUUUUCAUCUUUCCCCAAAUCGGGUCGCCGGAACAGUUUUCUCCGGCGAGCACAAUGCAGAGCUCCUCGGAGCUUCUCGUCCUCUCUAGUUGGGUUUUCGGUGUAGCUUAGGACCUUAGCUAGCAUCUGCACCACUUGGAGACACUCUACCGCGCUCACCAUCGCCGGACACGACGCGCAGCGCCGCCGUGUUUCCGCCGGAGCUCGGUCCUCUCGUGGCCAGCCCUCUCCACAUCGUUUCAAGUCAAGUCACCUACCUAGAAAGCUUCGCUGUAGUUCACUGGUGCUGUAAGAAACACCAGGGCACGCUCUACCGGCCUGAGAACGCCGGCGUAUCGCCGAGCACCUCUGCCGAGCCACCAUUGUCGACGGCAAGCCCCUUUUGGUGGCUCCGCUAUAGGGAAAAGGGGGUCAAUCGGUUCGCAUGUGACCUGGGAUCUCGUUGGUGUCCUCGGUUUGGUCGAAGACCUUGCCGUCGUAGAGAAAUCGCCGGCGAACUUCGUCGCGGUCGAGGGGAAGAAGAACCUGACAUGCGGGUCCCGCUGUUAGUGGCUCAACGGCUCCCUCCUCUCUUUUAUUCAAAAUCCAGAUUUCUUGCAAUCUUGCAAAAACCAUAUCUCCAGUUCGUGAGCUCCGAAAAUUGUAACAAAUUUUGUGAUGAUCCAUGGGAUGGCUAGUUUUUAAUACAAAUAUAAUAUGUACCAUGUUUUCUGAGAAAAAUAAUUGUUAUGAAUUAAUCUUUUUAUUUCUAUAUAAAUUCAUAUCUCUUGAUAUACUGCUCCAAAUGUUGUAAAAAUAUUAUGCUAUGCUUUGUGUGUUACUGGUAUGCUCUGGUAAUUAUUUCAUGAUUUUUGGAGUACUAUAUCUCUGACAUGUAAUUUAUGUUAAUACUAUUGCUUAAAUCCUUGUGUAAAUCAUAUUAAAUGUUACAUAUCUAUGCUGGUGCUUUCCUUUGGUGUCAAGCUUUCUCAUGGUAGUAAUAGCAUGUAAAUAAUCUGAAAUCUGUUGUUUGACACUAUUUAAGCCAUGUUUCUUAAUUUAUGAUAUAAGCACCUUGUUACAUGUUAAUUAAAUAUCUUGUGUUUGGCAUGUGCAAUUGCUCUGAAAAUUUUAUGGUAAUGUCAAGGUAUCUUGCUAGUGCUUGUGUAAUUUUUGUAGAUUUUUAUGAGCACUCUUGCUGGUAUCUUUUAAUUAUGCACUUUUUAGAAUUAAAUUAAUAAAUGCCUUUUAAUUAAGUGUUUAGUAGUCAACAUGUGGUUUUCUGGUAAUCUUAGGUUAUACUUGUUCUUAUGAGUCACUUGGUCUGUACUAAAUACGUUUUUGCUAUAUCAACAAAUAAUUAAUUAAAGGUUAUAUAGCUGUUCUGGACAGCAAGAGAGUAAUCUGAUUAUUUCAUAAUGAUAACUCUGUUUUCAAAAAAACUUGUCUAUAUCAAAGAUAUUGUAAACUUUGUGUUCUAGCUGUGGUUAAAUUUUGGGGUCAUUUGGCCCAGUAGUUUAAGAGUUAUGGCUUUUCCAAGUUAAGUUCCAGAACUAGGUGCUCUCUGUCUUUCUGGAACAGAACCUGGAACUUUGUUUAAUUGACCUGUUUAACUUGUGAAUCUUGCUGUGAUGUCUAAAGAUGAAAUGUAAACAAUUUCAUAAGCUUUCCAUAAUGUCUUCAUUCAUGUUUGUUGGAUCUAUAUAUCUCUAGUUAUGGCUUGUUCUGUGAGCUGCCCUGUUGUUGGUUGUUGCUGCUUAAUUGUGUUAGUUGUGGUGGUACUCUUUUGUGAGCUUGUAAUAGAAGCUUACUCCGUAAAUGAGUGUCCAAUGAAGUAUGUAAUCAUGUUUUCCAAGCAUUCAUCAUUCUCUUCGUAUGCAUACAUUCCUUAUUCAUUUGUGCAUACAAUAGGUGCACCGGAGACUGCGACCUCGUUCGAGCUCGAGAGGGUGAUUCCAGAAGGUCCGGAGGUCACCCAAGAGACGGAGGCCCAGCCAACAGGACCCGAGGAGCCCGAAGAGGAAGUCGAGUGCCCUAGUCAUGAGCCCACUUUGUUCAUGAAAGGCAAGCCACAGAGCAUCUUAAGUCUCCCACUUUAAUUUCAAAGCAUACUUGAAUAUGUUAUAUCUAUUGAUGCAUUACGUAUAGGAGUUGUGAUGGAACCCUUGCUGCAUUAUACCUUUCCUUGUCCAGAUAUCUUAUCCUACCUUGUUGUAGAGUUAGGAUCGAGUAACAGCUUAGCCAUGCUUUAAUCAGUAGAAGUCAGGUGAUACCCUGUCACCUGUGUGAAAUAGGGUCUGUUGUUGGAUCACGAUAUCGUGUCACCUGGUUUAAAAUGACUUAAGCCGGGCGGAGUUUUGCAAGGUGGUAGUAACUCUGUCUGUGGCAGCUAAGGACUGAUCGUUGUAUGUUCUCUUGUCAUGUUGAACGCAUGCCUGACACUUAGUUGGCCGGAUAACUCAUUUCGACCGUGAAGCCUAGUAGUAUGACUCAGGCCGGAAGACCGGCAAGUAUAAAGUGCGCACUACCGGAGGAAGUGCUGUGUGCGGGGGGCCAUUGGCGUAAGACCAAGGGCAGGUGAUUUAAAAGUCCUGAUCUUCCUGGCAGAGUGGCAGCCCUGGGAGUGCGGCGCUGAUCGGAGCCGCGAUUCCUGAGUCGUACCAAAGGUGACCCGCUUCCUCUCCGACGGGGGAUGCAUAGGUGAGUGCUAGGAAUAACCCUCCUGUUGGAUAGGAAUCGAUUCGAAUCGUCAUCUCUCCCGUAUAGUGAGAACUUGACAGAGCAGCAACAAACUUAGCAUCCACUAAGUACUUAAUGGUUCUUAAUGAUGAUGUUGAGGAUAGCAAGCAUGAACAUAUGUUGAAACUUGAUAUGGUUAUUAUUGUUUGUUAAUAAUCAAGUGAAGUGCUUAGUCUAGGUGCUAAUCUAGUAAUAGGCUAAUGAUAAUCAAUAUGAUGCUUAUAAGAAUGGUUUAUUAUCCAGUCUAAGCUUUUUAGCAAAUGUAUAAGUCAGGCCAGCUACACUUUAUACUCAGCCUUGCAUGAUCCUUGGUGUCUUUUAUGUUUGGUUAGAUGGGUAAGUCUAGCUGAGUACAUCCUCAUACUCAGGGUUUAUUCCCACCUGUUGCAGAUGAUAUAUUCUAUGAUGGUUUCUGCAAGACCUGCCUUCAUCACGCUGGGGAUGAGGACUAAACCGUUGGGCACGGUUCUCUAACGACUUCAUACCUCUGAUGCUUUUGGUGGAUGUGAUGAGACUCUGGCUGUACAAGAACUUAUGAAAUGUGUGUGUGAAAACUAUGUUGCUUCCUCUAUUUCAAACUUGUGUUGUAAUAACUUAAGUAACUCUGAUGUGGUGUCGCUUCAUCAGCAAUGAAUGAACUAUGUAACAAUCACUGUAUUGUGUUGAACUAUUACGAUCUUAGUAUGUUGCAAGUUGGUUUGAAAUCCUUCGUGAUUUCGGUUGACUACCGAGAUUAUAUGGGCUUAAGUCUAGAAACUUGAUUGCUAGUUUGAUCGUUUCUACACUUGAACUCUUAUAAUUUGGUCGGUUCUAUGACAGAGCCAGAGUUUUCUUCGUAUCACCAAACAAUGACAAGCUUUGUUACGUCCUUAGGAUUCACUUCCCCGUGUCCAACAACAUGGCUGAGUACGAGGCAUGCCUAGCUACACGGCAUACGACUAGCCGUAGAGUUGGGAAUACUCCCUUCACUCAUUUCCUUGCUUGAUUGCUAAUCCUAGUGAGAUUGAAUGAGAUUCAAGUGCAUUGCUUAGUGAGUUGCAUCUAGUGGCACUUGAUUCUUGAGUUUGCUGUGGAAUUCGUGUUACUCUUGGGUGUUUCUCGACACCCUAGAUGGCUUGGAGCAGCGGAGGUGUUGAGCUCGUAAUUGGAGAUUGUUUCGAGCCUCACCAAGUGAUUUGUGAGGGGUUCUUGAACCUUCCCCACGGGAGAUCGCAAUUGGCAACUCUAGUGGAUUGCUCGUGGCUUGGAAGAUCCCCAUCUUGGAUUGGAUGUGCAGCACCCGCUGAGGGUUUGGCUUUGAAUGCCAAUUAGCUCGUGAUCCAUCAAGUGGGUGUAUCGCCACAACGAGGACUAGCUUGCCAAGAAGCAAGUGAACCUCGGUAAAAAAUCAUGUGUCAUCUUGUGCCGAGGAUUAUCUCUUGUGUUUGUGAUUGAUUGGAUAUAUCUCUUCUCUACAACGUCGGUAUAACAAUCACUCACCACUCUUUUACAUACGUGCUUACCUUGCUAGUUGUUUAGCUUGUUUAGCUUAGUUCUUGUUUAGAGUAGAGUUGUUGUGUAGCAUUCUCUUGUUGUUGUGGUUUAGUGUUUAGCCUUGUACUACUUUGUAUAGGUGGCUUGCAUAGCUCAGUUGAGAUAGUGCUAGAAUUUCUUCACCAUUAGUUUUACUAACUCACUUGCUUAGUGAAGUUUGUAGAAAAUUUAAAUAGGCUAUUCACCCCCGUCUAGCCAUUUGGACCUUUCAGCCGAAAAGGGUUUGCAUUAUGAUUGUGUAUAUCUUUACAAGGGUCGGGUUCCCAAUAUUUAUAUUCUAAAAUUUUAGUCUCAUGUCCUAAUACAACUCUUUCCUCAAAAAGGUAAUCUGGACUUUAACUUCUCCUUUCUUAAUUGAACCUGACACGUCUCCUUCGUCUUGCCUUGUUCUGACACCCUUUUGAUCGACUAAUUCCACUAUGCCUCUCGUUUAGUUGAUCCACUUAUCCGGCUGUCCCUCCUUCUAUGAAGCAGGCCCACUGGCAGUUUCCUCACUCACCAAAAUUUGAGAUUAACACACGCCCUCCAAUUUUGGGAUAAAAAUAGUUUUAUUCCAAAGUUGCCACUCAAAACCGAUACAGACAUAUUGAUUACUCUGUUUCCUCCUCCGUCUUCUCUGUUCAUCGAUCUUAAAAGAUAGAGUUCCCCUUGAAGCAUCCUCAGUUGAAAAUUCUAAACCCGCAUAAUCCACCAAAUUUCCACACAAUUAAACCCUAGUACACCGAAUCCUUCAACUCGUUGAUUUUUGCUCCAAUGGCGUCCAUCGACAAUAUCCAAGAGGUAUACCAUCUCCCUUUGAUCCUCUGAGUUUUCUUAUUUUGUUAACCUACCCUUACUCUUUUCUAGCAGGGUAAUUGUUGUCGAGACUAACAGAGUUCCUUUCAAGGAAUCCAAUAUGCAUCCAGGUCUUUGGGACAAAAGGACUUCUUUAAAGAACUGGCCCUCAAUCAUCCCAGGCUGGAGGAACUAGCUGAUCAAAGUAGCAGCCAAGAAGAGAGUAGAUUGGACAACUAGGAACUUGGACCAAUGCAUCUCCUUGUCCCUCUCUGAUAUCUAGAAGAAUGAACCUAUGCUCAAAGCUGCCUAUUUCUUCUGGUCCAACACCUAUAAUGCCUUUCUCUUCAGACAAGGCCCAAUGUCCCUAAUAUUAGCCGAUGUUCAUAUGCUGACAGGCCUCAGCAUCAUAGGACACAUUAACCCUUUCAGUCUGCUGGUGAAACCCACUGCUAAGCUUGAUAGCACAAAAACUGGGGGUUGGUCCUAAUACAUUAUCAAUCACAGGACUGAUAGCAGAUUUGUGUCUGAUAGAGAACACACGGCCUUUCUCAACAUGUGCCUGGACAUAUAUGUCUUUUGUGGACAAGCCUGCUCUCCAACUUCCAAUUAUCUGACUUUUGCAGAAAAGAUACCAGGCAAUUCUGAAAUCCCACUUGGCAAGAUUGUCCUUGGAGCAUUGUUCAAUCUACUAAAUAGAGUUUCUCAGCAUUUGAUGCAUAAUGAGAUUGUUCCAAUAAUCAUAGGCCCCUAGUGGUUAUUGCAAUUAUGGCUCAACUUACACCUACACAAGUUAGUGACCCCAGAGCUAAUUAACAUGUCUUUCCCUUCUUUGGAAUACUCAAAAGAGCAGGAAGAACAACUUCCAAGAAGUCAGAAAUUUCGCCGAUGUAUGUCCUUUGGUGAGGCAGCAUCGGCAAUAACUAUUGACAUAUUGAUUGCUGACUUCUUCAAGCUUUUUUACAAAAAUUCCCCAGAGGCAGCUCUAGAAUGGUUUGUUUACUCUGAUAUCCUAGAAUUUGAGUUCCCAGCAUGUGGGGGUAUAAACCCCUAUACCCUUACGGCAAGACUUGGGCUAGGAGAUUUGGCCCAUUACGAGACAACUUACGGCUUGAUCCAUCUACUUGGAGUUUCACGCAAGGAAACAAGACGUUGAGAUCAAGCAAGAUCAUGGUCGGUUAGAAUAGGAAUUGAUAUCGAAUUAUCUAUGGCAAUUGUAACCGACUAGGAUUAGUUUCUAGAUUUGUAACCCUGCCCUUUGGACUAUAUAAAGAGAGGCAAGGGACCCCCUUAGUUCAAGUCAACACAUCUCAGAUCAAUACAAUUAGACACAGGACAUAGGUAUUACACCCACACGGCGGCCGAACCUGGAUAAAAACCUUGUCUGAGUCUAGCAUCACCAUCGAGUUUGUAGCUUGCGCACCUGUCUAUUAAUAAUCUACUACCAUGGGUAUACCCCAAGGUAGACUGCUGAUCAGCUUUCGUCGACAGUGGCGCGCUAGGUAGGGGAUGUGUGUAUAGCUCUUCAGACAAACAAGAUGGUCAUCAUCCCCGCUUCUGCUUCUCUAGCAGAAGGCCUCAUGUUCACCGUAGGCCAGAUCACCUAGAGAAGUCAUGCCGGUGGCCUCAUGACCAUGGCUUUGGAAGAAAACCAGAUCCAAUCUGCGGCGACGACGGCGGUGGUCUCGACCACGUCAACCAUGACCACCCCUGCUCCGACAAUGUCACCGACCACAACGACAACUCGCCCGCUGAUUCCCCGCUACAAUGGGAAGCAGAUCGACAACUCUAACCUGCUCGAGGCCAUUGAUCGCGCUGAUCACAAGGUUUCCGAAGCCUUCGAUGUGGUAAACUCGUUCUCGGGCCAGACCACCAGGAUGACACCAUCCGAUUGCCAUGGAUCUACUCAGCCAAAUCGUGUCACUACACAUGAAUGGUUGGGAACGGCCCUAACGAUCACAGCUACCCUGGAAGGACAGACCGUUCAGAUCAAGACAACCUCCCAAAGCAGGCGUCGUUCGCUUUUCUCUCAUGGCUUACGCAACGCAGCCAACCUAGCCUCGCAUCAUACCUAGCGGCUAUUCACGAACUCUGAGCUAGUAGAUUCGACACCGAGUCAACACGUGCAACCAGCACACCACUUCGUCAACAUGGUCUUCGUCCAAACUCUACAGGAGAAUAAUACCGCCAGCACGCACUCUAGCACGGGCUCCGUCCCUAUUGAGGUUGUACACCCCGAGGAUGAGGACUAUGAUAUGGAUCUCCCCCUACCCCCCAGGCUUCUCUAGCUUCCUAGUUUUUCCUCCUCGAUGAGGAGAUCUGGUCCUCAAAGUUAGCUACGAUGAGCUAGUGCUCGAUGGGGAGACCGACGAUCAAAGACAACAGCGCGAGCAGCGCAACACCGAUCGCGCCCAGUGGCGAGCACAUGAAGAAGAGCAGCAGAGGCAACUGGUCCCGCACAAUCUUGAUGAUGCUUUCGACAUAGUGGGAGACCAACAAGUGUUCAAGACCCUGAGCACCAAUGUGGUUGUUGCUAUGGCAAAUCUUGAAUGACUCCCGAACACGCCAGAGUACCAGGACGUUUGGACCAGCAUACGAGCACACCUGAUCGCUGCCAUGGGACAAACGGCGGACCUCCUUAGGAGGACGCAAGCCAUCUCCUAUACGGAGGUCACUUCUGAUCGGAGCCACCGAAGCCAGGCCUCACUGUGACCCAACGGGCAUUGCCGCAAUCACUCGUUGGAUGCUUUCCAACAAAAGAACAACAACGACCAUCACAAUAGAAAGGCCCAUCCUGACACCCGUGGUUGGGACGCCAACCGCAAACGUCGUACUUAUAGGCCGAGAUACGACCACAACCAAGAAGUUGAUCAGGGAGAAGGCUAUGAUCUCUAACAUAGCCUCCCCUGCAAGGACAUCCAUGAUCACAUUAACAAACGCAUCAAUGACAGAGCCACACGCAAAAACAUCCGCCGUAUCAAAUAUGAUGUUGUACACUGCCCUCCUGGGUUGAAGCAGUUCUCCUCACACCUUCGACAAGUCGUCUGCCCACGCAACUUCAAGCUAGAUAAGCUCAAGAAGUACGACGGCAAGGAGAACCCUAAAAAUUAGAUCCCCUCUAUGAGAUCGCUGUUCGAUCAGCAACGGGGGACAAGCACGUAAUGGCAAAUUAUUUCCCCAUUGUUCUUGAUCAAGCCGGCCACCAAUGGCUCCUCGGCUUGCCUGAAAACUCAUUUGAUUCAUGGGAAGAGCUACACCAAGCAUUCAUCAAUAACUUCAUAGCUACUUGUGAGCAACCAGGCAACAAGUACGACCUCAAGAGAAUACGGGAUCGCAAAAACAAACCACUAUGCGACUACAUCCGAUGCUUCUCGGAUAUGCGUCUUAAGAUUAUGAAAAUCUCCCACGAUGAAGCAAUCUCCGCUUUCAACAAAGGUCUUCGUUUUCAUGAAACCGUUUGGAGCAUGCUACUUUGUAAGAGGCCAAGCAUGGUUAUCGAGCUCCUUGCUACUGCCAAAAAUUACGUCAACGCUAACGACAUGGAGAAAUUGAUCAGAGAAGACGUCAGAGGAAGUCAACAGAAUGACCACCCUCCCCGGCGAGACUACAAUCGCGACAACCGCGGGCGGUUUGACAGUCGCACUUCUUGCCACAAUGAUAAUCGGGACCUCUAAGAAGGAUGAGAUAGGCGUCGUGACCACCGUGAUGAAUUCAGGGGUAAAAGACCCCGUGACAACGAUCAUGAGGUCAACACGGUCAAACGAUUCACUGGUCGUCGCGACUAUCAGGAGGACUACAACAAAACCUUGAAAGGACCAUGCCAACUCCAUCCUAAGUCCAACCACACAAUGGAAGAAUGUUGUGUCCUCAAAAGUAUUUACAUGCAGCAGGCCAUCCAAGGUGACACCGCCAAAUCCACCAGCAAACGCGAUUGGCACAACUAAGAGGACGAGGACGAGGACCAGGACCGGGAUCCUUGCCAUCAGUAUGUCAAUCCAACUGAUGUCGUCCACUCCAUCUUUGGUGGCAAAGUGUCAAUUGAAUCCAAGAGAGAACAAAAACUCCUCAGAAGGGCAUGCCUGAAUGUAGAUAGCCCCGAUGGUCUCGUCGCUGAUCCAAAGUUUCCUGCCUGGUCUCAUCGAGAGAUAUCCUUUAGCAGACAAGAUCAAUGGGAUGCUAUCCCCAAACAAGGGCGAUUCCCUUUGAUCUUGGAUCCAUGCAUCAAUAGCGUCUGAUUCGAACGUGUGCUCGUGGAUGGCGGCAGUUUCAUCGACAUCUUGUUCUGCAACAGCCUUCUCGCCCUAAAGCUAACUCAAACAGAGUUGACGCCAUAUGAAGCCCAGUUCUGGGGUGUUCUGCCGGGCCAGACUCAAUCCCUCUUGGCUACAUAACGCUUUCCUUGCAGUUUGGAACUCCAGACCACUUUCGCACAGAGUUUGUAAACUUCGUGGUUGCUGAUUUCGAUGGAACAUACCAUGCCAUUCUGGGUCGUCCGUCAAUCACCAAGUUUAUGGCAGUUCCGCAUUGUUCAUAUUUGGUGCUCAAGAUGCCAACGGAGAAAGGGGUCCUCACGGUAAGGGGCAAUGUCUACACAGUAUACACCUGUGAGGAAGAAAGUUUCAAGAUCACCGAAGCCAUCGACCUCUCGAUCCGGAUGGCACAAACCGCAACCCAAGCAACGCAAACCCCCUCCGACCAGCUUGAGAUCCCGGAGUAGCAGGUCCCAAGGAACAACAUUAAGUCCAAGGAGCACAAAGAAGUCCAACUGGUCGACAAUGAUCCCAAGAAGACGACUCUCAUCAGAGCCACUCUGGAUCCUAAAUAGGAAGACGUGCUCGUUAGGAUUCUGAGGGACAAUAUAAGCGUUUUCGCAUGGAAGACCACAUGAUAGAUAUGCCCGGUGUCCACCGCCACCUGAUCGAGCACUCUUUGAAUGUCUCAAAGACCACAAGACCCAUCAAGCAGAAACUACAAUGGUUCGCUCGUGACAAAAAGAAGGCCGUUAGGACAGAGGUAACAUGGCUUUUCGUAGCCUGAUUUAUUAAAGAAAUGUAUCAUCCGAAUUGGCUCGCCAAUCUAGAACUUGUAAGAAAAAACAAUAACGAAUGGAGAAUGUGCAUUGAUUACACUGAUCUCAACACACACUGUCCUAAGGACCCCUUUAGUCUCCCUCAUAUUGACGAGGUGGUCGAUUCAACGGCUGGAUACGAACAUCUUUCUUUUCUUGACUGCUACUCUGGUUAUCACCAGAUCUCUUUAAAGGCUGAUGACCAGAUUAAAUCUUCCUUUAUGACCCCCUUCAGGGCAUAUUGCUACACGACCAUGUCUUUCGGGCUAAAAAAUGCCAGGGCCACAUAUCGACAUGCCAUCCAACAAUGUCUUCACGACGAGAUACAGGAUGACCUGGUCGAAGCUUAUGUCGAUGACGUUGUCAUGAAAACCAAAGAUGUCGGCACUCUGAUCUACAACCUCGACCAAACUAUUGAAUGCAAAAGCUAAUCUGCAAACACAGAGGGCUAAUACCCGAUUCAAACGUUAAGGCGUGCCAGCCGAUUUGACCUUACUAUCGGCAAAGGUGGUAACUCGAAUACUUUGGUCCCGACAAGAGCGAUGCGCCCGGAUGUCACGGCCAAGAGGUAUUCACGCGGAACUUGAGAAUACGCCGAGCUUAAGUCAACGAACUCCUAAGAACUCAUAAUGAAAAGGAAAAAUAUGACGAAGUCAUUGAAAAAGUAGAUGUUGGAAUAUGAGUAAAAACUUGUGUUUGAUUGAUUGAUAGAUAUCUCAUUACAAGGCCAUAGGGUCUACAUUUAUACCCUGCUCAAAGAGCUACAAUCAGACACGACUAGGACUCGAAUUCCAAAUUGAACGGAAUCCGUAUACAAAACGAAUUUAAAUAUCUAUGGAAAACAUAAAACUAUCCUCCCGUGACAAACCGGGACACCACCAUAGAUCAAUCGGCAACCUUCAUGUUCUCCUUCCGAGUCAUCGGCAGAUUUCUCAUCAUAGCCAUCGGCAAAGACUAACGCUGACCAUCGGCACGAACGCGCCACCACUUCUGGACUUAGUCACAUUCAGCUGUCUCUUCAUCGGCAACCAUCCUCAUUGGCAACUCCCCUGCAGACCAGUUACUGUUGCCCCAUCUUGCCGAUCUAUACUUUACCGAUCCCUAGGUACGUGUCCAAAAACGGUGUCAACACAUGCCCCCCAAUUUUGGAGUAUAAAAUUAUUAAUGCUCCAAAAUUCUCUGCAGUAAUGAUGCCUUUCCGCAAUUAAUUCUCUCAAUUUGGUAACCGACCGUUGAAGUCGAACAACCCUGGCCCGAUUCUUCCGUAGAUUCCUCGAAUUCCUCAACCUCCCAAACUGGACAUCUCCACUUUAUUCGCCUAUCGGCAAUAUUACCGAUAGAGGGAGCUGCCGAUGGACCGACCAGGAGAUCUUGCACAGUGAAAUAUCUCCAAAACCACGACCGCCUGCUGUCAAAUCACCUGUGCAAUCCCUUGAUUAUCGUGCGAACAGUUACCAUAUCCAUCUGAACACCCUCGGAUUUUACGGAUGCGGCAAAGAGAUAAAUCAGAUUUGCCCCUGCCCGUUUUGUCCCAUAAAUACUUCCUUCUCGGGUACUCCUUCUCCAUCCUGUCAUUCUACAGCCCAAAACUUUCACGGCGGCAGCACCACCCGAGGUUUCCAAGAUCUCCGACGAAGGCCCUUCUCCACCAACCCCAAAGUCUUUGAUCAUCUUCCUUGCGAGGAAAUGGCCAUCAACUUUGAUGUUCCUGAGGUCAGUUCACCACCCCGUCUUUUGUACUUUUACCAUAUCCCUGCUCAUCCACAAUUCAUCUUACUGAACAUUCCUCUCCCCUUUUUUUGUUCUUCUUUUUAUCCUUAAAAACUUCUAGGAUUUGUCCAAUAAGAUUGUCAUCCCUACCGAUCAACCACACCUCCAAUGUCUCAGCCCGCAAGGGAACCUAGAUCCCACUGAUCUGAUAAAUGCAGAGACAAACAGAAUUCCUUUUAUAGCCGAAAAUUUUUCUCUAGAUCUAUGGAAAGAUGCCUUCCGUUCCUGGUCCAGUCCUACCAAGGAAUGGAAGGAUUGGUUCUUGAGAGUCAGCCAUUCCAAUGAAGUUCAAUGGGGCGAGUGAAAAUUGGACCAGUGCAUUAGGCUGCCUCUUGCCGAUAUGGAUAGGAAUGAAUCACUGUUGAUUGCUGCAUCAUAUUUCUGGUCAGACACACUUAAUGCUUUUGUUUUCGGUCAUGGCCCUGCUUCUCCCACUCUUGCCGAUGUGCUUAUGCUCACUAGCUUAGACGUAUCCACUGCCGAUAGUAGUCACAUAUUUGACACCAAACCUAGCGCUAAGGUGGAAACUCGCUCUAUCGGCGGUUGGUCUGGGUACAUUCAGAAGUACCGUAGAACAGGGCCUGUCAACAUAAAGGAACAGACCACCUUCCUGGACAUGUUGGACAAAUUUGUAUUCUGCGGUCGAUCGGUAGGACCAACCUCUGUUUACCUAUCGGCAGCAGAGAGAUUAGCUAAUGGUGGCCGAUUUCCCCUCGGUCGAUACCUGCUUGGCUCUGCCUAUCAUCUUCUCCACCAAGUAGCCAAGAAACUUCUGCUCGGCCAACCCAUCGGCAACUUAGGGGGCCCUUGGUGGUUCAUCAACAUGUGGCUUAGCCUCCAUAUGCACAAGCGACUGGAAUUCGACCUCUUUGCACAGCAUUUCCCCAGGGAUAUAGCAGAGAAUCAUGAGUUAGAUGAAGAAGAAUUGGCAACCCGUCCUCCCUUAAACUAUGGUGAAGCCGUCAUAGCCUUGCCUGGUACUAGAGGCAAUGGAGAUCAAGUCAACCGAUUCUUUCAGACUCUUUAUGAGGGUCUCACCAAAGAACAGCGAGCCUGGAUGCCUUAUGAAGAUCCAGACACCAGAUUUCCUCUAACCUUUCACCCCUUCGACGAUGCUCUCAAUAAAGAUCAUGAUGUGAUGAUGGCACCUAUCACUCCAAGAGCUAUACGGGUAAACUUCUUUGGCAGUGGGAAAGCCUCCAACCAGACCUAUGAAUUCUACAACCCAUCGGCACUAGCCCGUCAACUAGCUUUCGGUCAGCUGCCGAUUACACUUUGUUAUGCCGAUGUGAUAAAACCCAGGAAAACCAUCACUAGUCUUCUCGAGUGGACUAGAAUAGCUCAACUGCCACCAAAUGCCAGUACAGAUGCUGAUUUAUCAGAUUGGAUCCCGGCCCUCUUCAUCACUCAGGCAUACAAACAAUGGUGGGAAGAAUGGAAAGAGCACCUGUUCUGCAGAUUGGCUCUUACAUACCGUGGCAUGAUUGACCCUCAAUACGAAGUCCCUGAUAACAAUGUAAGUACUUUUAAACCGAUGUUUCAAUCAUUCCACUUUUACUUCCAUCGGUAACUCACUUUCUAUGUUAUAUUAUAGGUUGAUUACACCCCCAUCGGUCAGCAGGAGUGGUAAGCCGAUUGAGCUCCUUCCAUCGGGUCCGAUUUCUUUCAUUGGCAACAACUCUCCAUCCCUGGCUGCUACAAUGCAUCGGGGUGUACGUCUCAAGAAAGUCACCACCAAGCGGACGAAGGCAUCUGUUGGGUAUUUUAAACGCAAACAGAAAAAUCCGCAAGCGCACGGAUACCGAUGUAGCUUUCACCCGGGAGUAUUCCAGAGUAUCGAUUUUCCAUAGAGAACGUGAGUGUACUAAUUAAGAUCCAAGAUCGCCCAAGGAUAACUAUAUAAUUAUUUUUGGUGGGAAGAGAGGAAGUUUCCUGAGAGUUCUCUAGUUGAUCUAAGAAUCAAGAAUUACUUCAAGAUUAUCUAUAUCGGGACAUCAGAGCACUAACCACAGAAAGAGAUGAGAAGGGGGCUAGGAAGGUCUGACUACGGUCCUACAAACACCGAUCCAAACGUGGUGGAAUACGUCGACCGUUAGGGCUGUCACUACCCUAGGGCUACCACAACAAUCCGUAGGAUUGGGUGCAAUUCCAGGUAAUCGCAAGACUAAACACCACGUCUAAUCUAUUAAUUACUACUCUAGCGUUAUAAAGACUAGAGCACUUGAUGCAAGCGGGAAUCCAAUAAAUAACUUGAAUGUAAAUAAAAGUAAUUAGAGAACUCAGGAGUUAUGAAUUGAAGAACCUGGAGAACGAUGAAGAACGAACCAGUUGCUGCAAAAGUACAAUGUUGAGGAAGAUCCGACAGAUCCGGCUCCUCCUCCGCUCUCCUCUUCUCUCUCCCUAUUUUCUAGAUUACAACUAGAACUAACUAGAACUAGAACUAGAACUAGAAGAACUAGAACUAGAACUAGAUGAACUAGAACUAGAUCUAGAUGAACUAGAGGUAGAACUAGAAGAACUAGAGGGAUCCUCUUUACUUGGAUGAAGAAUUGAAACCCUAACUUUGAUUCUGUAGAAGAGGUAUGAUCUCCAGAGGCCAGGGGGGUCUGGUUUUAUAGUCCCUUCAAGUGAAUCUGGGCCGUCGGAUCAAACCGACAUUGAUCGCACGGUUUUCCUUGAACCUUUAGGUCGGUGGAGCAUAAUACGCGAAACGGGUCCGAAUUGGACACUGUAGCUGGGCGGGCGCCCAGGAGAGUUGGGCGGGCGCCCUGCCUCCGAGCCCGAUCGGCCUCCCGUUCGUUCCCGUGGCUUCUAGAGUCUUCUAGAUGGUAGAAAAUUGCGUGGCACAUUAAUAUCUCUAUGUAAACCCGACGUGUGGGCCUUUCUUCCGUAUUUCCUGAUAACCCCCUGCAGAAAUAGACAAACACCAAAACUUGUGGAAUUCUGUCAGAUAAAACCCUAAGUCUAGGUGUUGGUUGCAUUUGGAUCCUUUCCUAUGAUUAAUUGAUGGUUAAAUAUGUGCAUUAAGGACCGUCAACAAGCUCCCCCAAGCUUAACCUUUGCUCGUCCCUGAGCAAAGAUGAACUCAAGAGUUUCUGCAGUGGUUUCAUGCCUUAAAGGUACACAUGAGUUCAAACAAGAUCUCAUCUCUGAGUUAGGGUAAACUGUUAAGAAUUAAACUUACUCAUUUUACCUUCACCAUGGGGCUUGCAACCGUCACUUCUGUCUUGAGUAGUUAGAAAAUAGAACAGUCUAGUCAAGUGCCAUGUCUCUUAUUCUUGAUCAGCUAUAGCUCUGGGGUUUUUGCAGAUUUUCAAAUAAAACUCAGAGAUUCCUUGUAUGACUCUCUCUAGUCUCUCUUUUGAGGUAUUUCUGGAUCCUUACCAAGGCAGUAAUGGUAUAUUCUUUCUCUCAAAGUAUGUGGUAUUUGUAGUAUAAGGCAUAGUGACAUUGCCUUCUCUCUCACCCUACUCUAAUAAGGCUUUGAUAUCUGGAGCUCAUAGGUGGGAGACAACUAAUACAUACUUACAAGACAUUUAUUGCAUAGUCAAACCAUGGAUCCAGAAGAACAAGUCAAUAAGUCAAAUCAAGAUGUGCAUGUCUGGCGAAGGAAUAGUAUAUGGUGAUGAUGGUGAUAACAAUGGUGAAAGUCUAAUUCUACUUGUGCUCUUUUGAGGGGAUACAUACCUUUCUUGCUCUUUUGAAACUUUCAGGGAGAAUGAGAUGCUCUGUAUUUUCUUUUUCUUUCUUUUUAUUUUUUUUUUCUUUUCUCUCAGGUGGGUAUCUUGUACCCCUAAUUCUACUGUCGGACACUUGUCCAUUUUUACCUCUCGUCUCACUUUUUCUUCUUUUUUUUUCUUUCGAGGUUCUGGGCACUUGCCCCUUUUUAUUUCCUCGUAUUCUUCUUUUUUUUCUCUUUUUUUUCUUUAGAGCACUCAUUUCAUGAGAUAAUAUAGCAAGUGGUAGUAACAAGAUAACUUGAGCAUUUAUUUCACAGGGAAAAAAUAGAAAUAUUUUUGGCUAUUCUCUCCCGGAUUAGGAGUAGAAUAUUUUUGGGUGGUUCUGGAGAUGGAAAUGGGUAUAUGUGGAUGGUACUUCCAGAGUAGAAGUAGCAUGUAUGAGUGAACGUGCAAGUGAAUCUUGACUUAACCACAUGACAAGCUCCUAAGGGUCUACACAGCUUGACCACACUCAAUGCUCAUAAGCAGUAAAAAGUAAAUGUGUGGCUCAAAGUCUAGCAAGCAUGUAUAUAUGGCUGUGGUAGGAAUUUAAACUCUCAUCAUACAGGAACUCAUCAUGUGAUAUUUUAAAGAUUUUCAAAGAUAAAAUUCUCCAGAAUUAUAGCAUCUCUAGGAACAGAUAAACAGCAGCUCAACCUUCCCAUAUCAUAUCCGUUAACGACUUAGACUUCAGAUCAAGUACUCUUCCCACAAGUUCAGGUUUAGAGCAAAUCUUAAUUAAUAACAGUGAUGCCUAAACUUGAGAGAGAUUUCAAUUUUGAGAACUAGUCAUGGCAGAGCAACUAUUCAUCUUUCCAUGUGAGAGCUUAUCAUGAGGGUUCAUAGCAAAUUUUUAUUUAUUUAUUUAUUUAGCAAACUAAGCAAAGAUAUAAGCACAAAAUCUUUAUUUGGGUUUUUAUGAUUAUGCAUCUUUUUAUUAUUUGAGUAAAAUAUAAACGUGAGUAGAAUACUUAGCUAGAUAAAUGGAGGUGCUCUCCCCCAAGCUGGAUUUUGACGUAAUUCCUUUUGAUGUAGCAGGUGGCUGAUGUGUAUUUGAAUGUCGGCACCACCCUGACAUUGAUUAGGAUGUCCUCCGUCUACUAGUCUUCUUUGAUCCUUUAAUUCUGUGGAGCUCAAAUAGACAACAAAGCUUUGUGGAACUAGUUAAGUGUUAGCAUAAAUAUCUAGCCUUUAUCAUGUUGAGCCUCCUCAAUAAAUGUUACUCUCUUUAGUAGGAUCAUAAAUUUAUUUUUAUAUUUUCAUUUUUAUAGGACAGGAAUAUAUAUAUUUAUUUUUACGCCACCACAGUGAAUGUACUUAUGGGUUUUAUGCCAUGAGCAUACUCACAUGGGGCUUACUAUUUUUAACAUUUUUAUUUUCUUUUCAAGAUAGCAUGAACCUGAUUAACUGAGCAAACUAUUUUAAAUAAUUGAAAGAAAAAAGAUAACUACCAAGUUUACCUCUUGGCAAGGCGUUUGGUGUUUUUAAGUCCUCCGAACGGGACUCUCCAUAUUCUCAGUCGUCCUGGGAUUCGCUGGGUGGCGUAGUCGGUGGUUCCGGCGGCACUUCUUCUUCAUGUAUAACUAUCUUCUCUCUCCACACCUGACUUGGUGCCACGGUUUCCUCCGGAUAGUUCUGUUCAAGUUGUAUGUCUUCAGACUUUACAACUUCUCCUUCAUAGUCUACCCAUCCGUCCUUGAUGAUUUGCCUCCUCUGGUUGCGGUUGCGUCGUCGUCUUCUUGUCCUCACCUGCUUAGAGUCUUCAACUAUAUAGUUAGGGUCAGUAAAACAGCGGCGUACCUUCUCAGAGAGGAAAUGCAUGUGGACUUCUCUGGUUCCAAUGUAUAUGAUUGCUUUAAUGGUGCUAAAGAACGGUCUUCCAAGGAUGAUGGGUGGAUCGUACUCGUCUUCUCCUAUGUCAAUAACUUUCAAUCUUUCAGAAUGUCUGAUCUGCCAUCUGAAGCUGAAUGUAUGUCAGUUUUAGGGGCAUGGUUCCGAAUAGGAGCUGAUAGGUGACUGACGGCCAUUAUGUCGACGCCUGACCCGGUGUCGCAAAGCAUCUUCUAGAAGUUGUAUCCAUCAAUGGAGCACUGGAUGCUUGGCAUACUUGGGUCAUCCUUUUUGGUUAGGAACGGUGACUUAAGUCGACGAUCUUGACCUCCUUAAACUGCAGUGACCAUCUUUGCUGACUUGGUCCACAUUUGCUUGUUCAUGUUCCUCCUGUUGGUCCUCUUCCUUGUUUCAUGUCGGGAUUGCUCUGAGAUUUGUGUAGUCUUGUUCUUGAAGGAAAAUGUCUCCUUCCUCCCUUUGAUGUAGGAACUGAUCUUGGCAGCACUAGCGUGGAUGACUGCUCCUGAGGUGUUCAGGAAUGACCUCCCUAGAAUGAUGGGUGCCCUCUCAUCAGUAUCAGUCUCUAUCACCAUGAAGUUUGCUGGGGCAUACAAGGUACCAACUCGGACGUAGAGGUUCUUCACUUCCCCACAUCAACCAACGUGGCCGAGUAUGAGGCAUGCCUGCACGUCAUACAACCAGCCGUAGAGUUGGGAAUCAAACGUCUCUACGUCUAAGGCGACUCAGCUCUGGUCGUCAACCAGCUCAACAAAGAUUGGGAUACUACGCAAAACAGAUGGAUUUAUACUGCAAGG
Molecule: long non-coding RNA, 101041 nt
Filed under: Sorghum bicolor (sorghum)
Lineage: Eukaryota; Viridiplantae; Streptophyta; Magnoliopsida; Poales; Poaceae
Description: long non-coding RNA (SBIC_LNC003235)
Rfam family: Plant small nucleolar RNA R71 (bases 4004-4110)
Source: RNAcentral